Molecule: long non-coding RNA, 153191 nt
Filed under: Triticum aestivum (bread wheat)
Lineage: Eukaryota; Viridiplantae; Streptophyta; Magnoliopsida; Poales; Poaceae
Description: long non-coding RNA (TAES_LNC017507)
Source: RNAcentral
UUUAUUUCAUUUCAUUUCAUAAACCCAUAUGUCAGCCAAACAAGAAAAUUGGGUAUGGAAUCCAAAUCCCACCAAAUGAAAUCCUCUCAGGAUUAUGUUUUCAUUUCAUUUCCACAAAACGAAAUGAAAAGCUAGGUGCCAAACGAGCUGGUAUAGAAAUCACCAUAGUGAAAUGUGGAUAUAGCCAACUGUACUACUAUUUGGAGUGUCAUCUCAACUCAUAACAUGCUCAUCUAGACAACCACAAAGAAAGUAGGGAUUUAUUAUUUAUUUUAACAAGCCUGCAUCUUUAUUGAUGUAACUAAGUUUGAUACACCCGCCAAUGGGAUCCCCCACCUCUUCAUUGUUGUGUGUCGGAGUGAUGUGCAUGUUAUUUAUCACACUACUCACUCCGCUUAUAGUAAAUGACAUUUAAAAUCCUCUUAUUUUAAGCUUUUCUAGAGAUAUCCACAGGGUAGCAAUUGAUGCAGUUAGCCCAGGGUCCAUCCGCGCAGGAAGAUGGUUGUAUACACACCCAACUAGCGGUGUUGCACUCGUACCCUGCACCAAAUCCGAUCAUCCACACCUUGUCGCCUUUCUUCAUUAGGCCUUUAGCAUCGAUGUAUGCCAACUCAUACCACACUGAUGCGGCCGACUGGUUUCCAAAGCGAUAUAGUGUCAUUCGUGACGGUUCAACGUGCUUGUCUGAUAGAUUGAGGCCACGCUGUAUUGAGCUGAUAACCGCAGGUCCACCUACGUGGAUGCAUAUAUGUUCAAAUGCAACACAAAAGUUGGGGAUGUAUGGUCUAAUCUUCCUCCAAUAGAGCACCUUUCCAGCAAUGUCAAAAAGGAAAAACUUGAGAAGCUCUGCUGUCGGCAGUACAAGUGGCCCGCUUGUAGUGAGAUUGUCCUUGAGUGCUUCUCCAGCAACAACCAUAAGGUCUUUAGUGAGACGUGUCCCUAGGAUGCCCUUCUCAUCUUCCUCCUGAUAUGCACAUCGGUACGCGGAGUUGUUUGGCGCAGUAAUUAUCCGCGUGACAUGUGCAAGCUCAAACCGAGCUUUUGAGCUAGAAGUCGACAACAACUUCGCCACUCCACCUAUGCGGAAUAAGAUGUUAGGCAACUGCAUGGAGCUUGUAUUCCCUUGAUAGUGGCCUGGCCCAGUGGUCUCUGUUGACACUAUCAAUGCAUGCGACCCCCAAGGCAUGACCUGCAACAUAUUGCUUGCGAGCCCCACUGCGGUCACUGAUGCAGAGCAUGCCAUCCCCGAGAGGUUCAUUACACGAAGAUCACCUCUUAACUUGUAUCUAUUCACAAUCAUGUCAGCAAUAGAUGGUAUCGGACAAAAUAUACUUGAGGUGGUGAUAAGAACACCGAUUGCAUCACGAUUGAUGCAUGUCUUGGCCAAAAGAUCGUCGGUCACCGAGAAGACAAUUGACUCUGCUUCGGCACGUGCUUCGUAAAGCCCACAAUAUGGCUCUAUAUAGUGAAGUACAGGCGGGACAUAUGUCUCAUCGCUCAUUCGAGAAAAAGGGUUUCCCCCGCUUUGUAUUACAAAGCAACCAGUCUCAUCGCUCAUUCCUGAGCGCUUGAGAACAUUUCCUAUGAAGUUGACAGUAGAAUCAUCAAGCAAAGACGAGAGAUGUGCAUGGGCAUCUUAGGUUGAAACUUGGCCGGAAGCAAGCGUAGUCAACAAGGUAUACAGUUUUACGACGGAGUGCAAGGUAGAUAGUUGCGGUGAUGGUCAGUAGAACCAUGGCAAGAAGUAGGUGGAUGGGAUAAAUAGCUCCGGGUUGAGGUGCAACUAUUUUUAGGACACCUGCUGCAAGUGCCAUUGUGAUUACAAUUCGAGGGACGUGGGUGUUGGCUGAAAGAUUGUAUAGCAAUCUGAAGUGCUUGACAGAAGUAGGGACGAAGCUCUAGUAUGGCCGCUGGGGUCAAUCAAGGGACCUCCUAUAUGCCGCGCUUUGCGGCAAAUUAGCGGCGUGCCGCACAGAGAGGGACCCGACUGGGCCGGCCCAUGGAGUUCUACCGCAGGACGCAAAAAUACAGGAGAAGAAUGAAACGCGCGUGACCCAGGAAUCGAACCUGAGACCAGCUGCGUACUAGCACGCACUAGUAGAAACUCCAACUAACAAGUGCUGUUGUCAAAUAAAGCAGUGGAUAGCUUAAAGACCUAACCAUAAAUGUAAAACAGAAACGGUAUCCUGUAGCGAACUGGAACCAGUACUGUAGCAAAUUAGCUAUUGUAGCGAAUCUGAAUUAGUUACUGGGGUGAACGUUUUUUAAUGCAUAUUUUGAAAAAAGUAUCAACAUUUCUUGAAUUUCUGAAGAAGAAAAACGGAGACAGGAACAUUUUCUGAAUAUGCGAACAAAAAAAUUGAAAAAGCUAUGCACUGCUUUAUUCAGUUUCCGUGCGUGCUAAUGAUUCCAAGUUUCCAAUUGUCCGAUUUACAGCGCUAGUAUCUAAGAAUAACAACAGUGCCAGAACUCAACACUUUUUGAUUUUAUUCGAACAAAUCUUGGAAAUUAUGAACAAUUUUAAGGUAAGUAAUGUUUCAAAGUUUGAACAUUUUUCAAACAAGGCGAACAAAUUUUGAAACUCCAAACAAUUUUUUUGAAUACGUGAACCAUUUUAAAAACAGGAACAUUUUUUUUGAAAAUUUCUGAAUGAAAAGUUGAAAAGCUGACCAUUUAUUGAAUUUGCGAACAAUUUUUUGGAAACGCGAGCAAAUUUUUAAGAAACACGAAGAAUUUUUUAAAAAUGGGAACAAAUGUGAAAUCCCAAAAAAUUGAAAAAAUGAACAAAUUUGGAAACGCGAACAUUUUUUGAAAACCACGAACAAAAUUUGAAACUCCAAACAAAUUUUGGAAACACAAACAAAAUUUUGUACAUUUUUUGAAAAGAAUGAAAUGUUUUUCGAAACCUGAACAAUAAAAUUCGAACAUCUUUUUAAAAACCGAACAAAGUAUUGAAUAUACUGAACUUUUGUUUAAAUUGCGAUUUUUAUAUUAAAAAAGAAAUAAACAGAAAAACAAAAACGAAAAAACGCGAAAAAAAGAAACAGAUAAUAGACGCCCUCUUGCACGCUAUGACACUAGCGUUGUUAUGCUGCAGUGGCUAGCAACCCACCUCCACGAGUGGGAGGUCGGAGGUUUGAUUCCUGUGGGCUGGGCCGCGAACGAUCGAUGGUGUGUGGCAGGUCGACACUUUUCCGCAUAAUGCGGCCAAUAGGGAUUUCCGCCAAUUGACCCCAAUGCCUUCGAGUAUUUGAAGCUAACUAGGUCCAUCCAAACUGCGUUUGACCCCAGCCCAAAAUAUGUGUUGACCCCAGCCCAGUAGCUAAUGUCCAAUUAUUCAUAGUCUCAGCCCAUAACAUCCAUAAAAUCUAGUAAAAGAUAAAAAAGAAUGUGGUGUACAGCUCCACACAGCGUUAGCACACAAGGCCCAAUGCAUAAUACGUGGCUUAGGCUUACACACCAUAACACACACGUACACGUUUGACGUUUCGUGAACAGCCCAGGUCACCUCACCUCUUCGUCUCUUCCGCAUCGUCAGGUCGCCUCUCCGUCUCAUCGCCUUCCCCUAAUCUUUUCCUCAUCUAAACUCUCAAUCCCUAAUCCCCAAUUUGCAUCGGCGACGAACAGCGGCGAUCCCUAAUCUCCAAGGGUGAUGCCGGCCGGCCGGCCGCCGCCGUAUAGUCCUUAAUCUCCCGAGUGUUGCCUGUUGGUUGCCCACUUGGCACUUGCCCUCCUCGUAGGCUGUUCUCACGCAGGUACGGCAAUCUCUUUCUCAGUUUCUCUUGGUCUCACGCACUAACAACUCGGUCUCUCACUCUCUCCGGAUGGCUAAUUACUAAAUUUGCGUUUAUGUUUUUUUGCUGCAUCUAGGAGGCUAGGGCUAGAAGGAUAUGGACAGAUUUCUGCUGAAACGAACGGCACCAGAGACUGAUCUUGCAGGGACUUCAAGGCCAGUUAGACUAAGGCAAGAUCAUGCAUCAAAUAUUGGUACUACUACUACUACAGCAGAUAUUAAUUUGGAUGAACUUCCUUUUGAUCUGGCCAAUCGAAAAAGAAUAUCACAGUACACUAAGAAUCCAAAGAAGCAAGAUGAGAUCAGAAGAAUAUAUUUAACUAGAGGACCUUAUAGGCCAAAAUAAGGCUUUGUAUAUCCGCAGAAGACCAUCGGAGGAUUCGAAAGAAGAUUCAAGCCAGAAUGGUUUAAAGAUUAUCAUUGGCUAGAGUACAGUGAUAAAGUGCAUAAGGCAUUUUGCCAAUGUUGCUAUUUGUUCAGAGAUUGCAUCGACGGUCAAGGUGGGAAUGAUGUAUUUGUUGUCAAUGGUUUCUCUAGUUGGAAUAAGAAAUACAGAUUGGAUACUCAUGUGGGUGAGGUUAAUAGCUAUCACAAUGUAGCUGCUAAAAGGUGUGAUGCCUUGAUGAAUCAAGAUCAGUCCAUUAAAGUUGCCCUCAACAAGCAAACAGAUAUUACAAAAAGGCAAAAUCGUAUUCGGUUGAAUACUUCCGUCGAAUCUGUUAGAUACUUAUUACAUCAAGGUUUAGCUUUCCGGGGCAAUGAUGAAUCAGAGGAAUCCAAAAAUAAGGGGAAUUUUCGAGAGUUGGUACAAACAUUAGCAUAUCAGAAUGAGGAUGUGAGGAAUGUAGUUCUUAAGAAUGCUCCAAAAAAUUGCAAAUGGGUGUCUCCAGAUAUUCAAAAGGAACUUGCAAAUUAUUUUGCAAAGGUAAAUUACUACUUUCUAGCAUCUCUAUUCUUUAUUUAUUUCAUAUGAUUUAUCUCUCCGAGCACCCAAAAAUAUAUUUUAUCUGGUUUGUUACAGAUAACAUUGAAUUCUAUUCUUGAAGAAAUUGGUGGUGAUGUUUUCAGUUUGUUGAUUGAUGAGGCUUCCGAUGUGUCAGACAAAGAACAAAUGGCUGUUGUGUUGAGGUAUGUUGAUAAGCUUGGGUUAAUCCUAGAACGACUAGUUGGGGUAGUACAUGUGAAGGAAACAUCGACAACGUGUCUCAAGUCAGCCCUUGAGAAAUUGCUUGUUGAUAUUGGAUUAAGCUUCAAACAAGUUAGAGGGCAAUGCUAUGACGGGGCGAGCAAUAUGAGGGGUGAGUUCAAUGGUUUGAAAGCUAAAAUUCUGGAAGAGAAUAGGUCAGCAUAUUACGUGCAUUGUUUUGCUCACCAAAUCCAAUUGGUUAUCGUAGCGAUUUCAAAGAAGAAUGAAGAUAUUGCAGAUUUCUUUUACAUGAUUUCUCUUCUAUUUAAUGUGGUUGGAGCUUCUUGCAAAAGAAAAGACAUGAUCAGAGAGACUAAUAGAGAGAAUGUAAAAAAAGCCAUAAGUGUUGGGCGAAUUAGUACCGGCACAGGGUUGAAUCAAGAUCAAUCACUUCAAAGGGCGGGUCUUGCUAAAAAGUUGGUGGAUACUAAGAAGCAUCUUGCUUUCCCUUUGGUGUAUCAACUUCUAAAGCUAGUGCUAAUUUUGCCGGUUGCCACAGCGUCAGUGGAGAGAUGCUUUUCAGCAAUGAAUAUUGUGAAGAGUGUUUUACGCAACAAAAUGGGUGACCAGUUCAUGAGUGAUUGCUUGAUUUGCUAUGUGGAGAAAGAUAUAUUUGCUACCAUUACGAAUGACGCCGUAAUUGAUCUAUUUAAGAAGAUGGGAGAUCGAGAAGGCAAGUUAUAAAAUGUGAGUCUAUGUGAAUGCAGAGGAGAUCGAUACACAUAGAAGCAGGCAACGAAGGGUGGGGGGGGGGGGUUAUACAAGGGCGAAUGUUGUACUUUAUACUACGUACGGGACCUUCCAUGCCUACUUCUCAACUACUUCAUAGAAUAUUAUUCAUGUUGCACAUUAGUGUAAACCAUGUUUUUCACAUCAAGCUGCGGGAGCAUUCUCGUUCAGAUUUAUUACGCAGAUCAAGCUAUUUGUUUUCUCACAUUUUCUAUAGCUUACAAUAUCUUCUUUUUGUAAAACUAAUAGGGUGGACCUCGCCAAUGCGAGGACGUCAUCCCUAUUGCAUCGAAAGUAUUAAGUAUUUUAUUUUUAUCCCAUGUACACAUUUUUCACUUCUUUGGGAUUGGCGUUGAUACAUUUGCAAAGUUGCAUCUUCGACCUUUAUUUUGCAUAUAAAUAUUUUUCUUAUGUUUCUAACUGUAAUAACAAAUAAUUGUGAUAAUCCUUUUACAAGAUAAUUGUGCCCCAGAUAGAAAAACUUGUACGGUGAGAACAAAUUAAUACAAAAACUUGAAAAACAUGCACCUUGGUACAUGAACUUGACUCGCAGGUUCGUAUCUUGUACAAUUCGCUCCUAUGUUGACACAUAACAUUGUUAUUUUGCUAGAAAACCCUCGUACAUCUAUUUCUUUUUUUUGCGGGUGUACAUCAUCUAUUUCUUUAGACGUAGCCUUCUCAUCUUUCACCUGUUGUACUGAGGCGCCACCCCAUGCACCAGCUCAGGCGGCGACGGCACCAUGGACCUUCGACUCAGGAGGUGGCAUCCAUGGCCGACCAGAGGAAGGAAGCGACGGCAGGGAUGGAGCGCGGCGACUAUAUAUCGCCUUACAUGAGUGCAACUUUCCGUCUCGUGGGCGACAGCCAUUCCUCGGGUCGCUCCCGCGGGCGGCCAGGGUGCGAAAACCUAGCCGCCGCCAGCGCCGAUCCACCGGCCAUCUUCCACUCGCUGCCACCGGCAGACAUCGCCUGGUAAAGCCCGCACGGAUCGGCAGCGACGGGGCACUUCCUCCUCCCGUCUGAGCUCCGGCAGCGCGGGCUGCUCAUCUCGGCGGGAUCCAGGGCACUGCCCCCAUGCCGGUGCGCGCACGGGAAGGGGCGACCAUGUUCGGGCGCCUGCCCAUGCGCGGGGAGGUCCGUGUAGGGCGGCGCAACAUGGCUGUGUCUGGGAGGCCGCAGAUAUGACAGUCUCACACAAUGAUGGGCUUCCUCAAAAUGUCCUAGGUCUUCGUGAGCAAGUGAGUUGGAUGCACACCCAUUUAGUUUUUUUGAGCUUUCAUACACUUAUAGCUCUAAGUGCAUCCGUUGCAUGGCAAUCCCUACUCACUCACAUGCCUGAAGAUUGAAAAAGUUUGAGAACAUCAAAAGUAUGAAACAAUUGCUUGACUUGUCAUUGGGGUUGUGCAUGAUUUAAAUAUUUUGUGUGAUGAAGAUAGAGCAUAGCCAGACUAUAUGAUUUUGUAGGGAUAGCUUGCUUUGGCCAUGUUAUUUUGAGAAGACAUGAUUGCUUUGUUAGUAUGCUUGAAGUAUUAUUGUUUCCAUGUGAACAUUAAACUUUUUUUUGAAUCUUAUGGAUCUGAAUAUUUUUGCCACAAUAAAGAAGAUUACAUUGGAAAUUAUGUUAGGUAGCAUUCCACAUCAAAAUUCUGUUUUUAUCAUUUACCUAUUCAAGGACGAGCAGGAAUUAAGCUUGGGGAUGCUUGAUACGUCUCCAACGUAUCUAUAAUUUUUGAUUGUUUCAUGCUAUUAUAUUAUCCAUCUAGGAUGUUUUAUAUGCAUUUAUAUGCAUUUAUAUGCUAUUUUAUAUGAUUUUUGGGACUAACCUAUUAACCUAUAGCCCAGUGCCAGUUUCUGUUUUUUCCUUGUUUUUGAGUUCUACAGAAAAGGAAUAUCAAACGGAGUCCAAUUGACGUGCCAAUUUUUGAUGAUUUUUUAUGGACCAAAAGAAGCCCCCGGAGUGAAAGCGUUGGGCCAGAAGAGUCUCGGGCCGUCCACGAGGGUGGGGGGCGCGCCCUACCCCCCUGUGUGCGCCGCCCUAUCUCGUGGACGACUCGGAGACCCCCCCUGACGUGAGACCUAUGCCAAAAAUUCCUAUAAAUACAGAAACCUCUAGAAAAUAACCUAGAUCGGGAGUUCCGCCGCCGCAAGCCUCUGUAGCCACCAAAAACCAAUCGGGGCCCUGUUCCGGCACCCUGCCGGAGGGGGGAUCCCUCACCGGUGGCCAUCUUCAUCAUCCCGGCGCUCUCCAUGACAAGGAGGGAGUAGUUCACCAUCGGGGCUGAGAGUGUGUACCAGUAGCUAUGUGUUUGAUCUCUCUCUCUCUCUCUCUCUCUCUCUCUCUCGUGUUCUUGAUUUGGCACGAUCUUGAUGUAUCGCGAGCUUUGCUAUUAUAGUUGGAUCUUAUGAUGUUUCUCCCCCUCUAUUCUCUUGUAAUGGAUUGAGUUUUUCCUUCGAAGUUAUCUUAUCGGAUUGAGUCUUUAAGGAUUUGAGAACACUUGAUGUAUGUCUUGCGUGGGAUACCCGUGGUGACAAUGGGGUAUUCUAUUGAUUCACUUGAUGUAUGUUUUGGUGAUCAACUUGCGGGUUCCGUGACCUUCGGAAUCUAUGCAUAGGGGUUGGCACACGUUUUCGUCUUGACUCUCUGGUAGAAACUUUGGGGCACUCUUUGAAGUUUUAUGUGUUGGUUGAAUACAUGAAUCUGAGAUUGUGUGAUGCAUAUCGUAUAAUCAUACCCACGGAUACUUGAGGUGACAUUGGAGUAUUUAGGUGACAUUAGGGUUUUGGUUGAUUUGUAUCUUAAGGUGUUAUUCUAGUACGAACUCUAUGUUAGAUCGAACGGAAAGAAUAGCUUCGUGUUAUUUUACUACAGACUUUUGAAUAGAUUUAUCAGAAAGAAUAACUUUGAGGUGGUUUCGUACCCUACAAUAAUCUCAUCGUUUGUUCUCCGCUAUUAGUGACUUUGGAGUGACUCUUUGUUGCAUGUUGAGGGAUAGUUAUAUGAUCCAAUUAUGUUAUUAUUGUUGAGAGAACGUGCACUAGUGAAAGUAUGAACCCUAGGCCAUGUUUCAACGCAUUGCAAUACCGUUUGUGCUCACUUUUAUCAUUAGUUACCUUGCUGUUUUUAUAAUUUCAGAUUACAAAAACCUUUAUCUACCAUCCAUAUUGCACUUGUAUCACCAUCUCUUCGGCGAACUAGUGCACCUAUACAAUUUACCAUUGUAUUGGGUGUGUUGGGGACACAAGAGACUCUUUGUUAUUUGGUUGCAGGGUUGCUUGAGAGAGACCAUCUUCAUCCUACGCCUCCCACGGAGUGAUAAACCUUAGGUCAUCCACUUGAGGGAAAUUUGCUACUGUCCUACAAACCUCUGCACUUGGAGGCCCAACAACGUCUAGAAGAGGAAGGUAGAGUAGUAGACAUCAGGCGCCCCCCCCCCCCAAGCCCAAUCCGAAUUGGGGUGGGCGACCGGCCCCCCUUUCCUUCUCUCCCUCUCCCUCUUCCUUCUUCUCCUACUCCAACUAGGGAAGGGGGGAAAACCUACUCCUACUGGGAGUAGGACUCCCCCCUUGGGCGCCCUAUGAGGACCGGCCCUCUCCUCCUCCCCUCCUUUAUAUACGGGGGAGGGGGACACCCCAUAGACACACAAGUUGACAGUUGUCUAGCCGUGUGCGGUGCCCCCCUUCAUAGAUUUCCACCUCGGUCAUAUCGUUGUAGUGCUUAUGCGAAGCCCUGUGUCGGUAACUUCAUCAUCACGCCGUCGUGCUGACGAAACUCUCCCUUGGCCUCAGCUGGAUCAAUAGUACGAGGGACAUCACCAAGCUGAACGUGUGCAGAUCGCGGAGGUGCCGUGCGUUCGGUACUUGAUCGGUUGGAUCGCGAAGACGUUCGACUACAUCAACCGUGUUACUUAACGCUUCCGCUUUCGGUCUACGAGGGUACAUGGACACACUCUCCCGCUCGUUGCUAUGCAUCAGAUAGAUAGAUAUUGCGUGAUCGUAGGUAAAUUUUUUGAAAUAUGCGUUGCCCAACAUUCCGGUCUUAGGACCUUCACCACCUUGUUGUUUUCUGUUGCUUCCUGCUAUUUUCAAUGAAUGCUAGCGAUGCUGGAUAUUUCAGAAAAAAAACUUUCCGUCUCGCUGAAGCGAAUGUAUCCACGUUGUAGCUAUUGGGCCGGCCUCUUAGCGAAUGUUUAAAAAAAGAAGAAAAAUCGGCGAAACCAGGAUUCAAACCCUCGGGUAUCCUGGCUGAGCUGCCACUCUCCUAAACACUAGGUCAGCUUCGCCUCCUUGUAGGGCGCGAACAAUUAAGGUUAAUAGAGUCGGUUUUGCAUUGUUUUAUCCUUGUUUCUUGUUUUUGUUUUUUCUUUCUUUUUUCACAAGUUUUUUUCGUUUCUUUCUUUGUUUUAAUUGUUUUUAUUUUGUUUAAUUUUCUUCUAUUGUAUUCGGUUUUCUCUUUUUUUUCCUUUUCCUUUUGUUUUUCUCUUUUCUUUUCUUUUUUCUUCUCCGGAUUUUUUUCAUUUUUCUUUUUGUAUAUCAUUGUCUUUAUCGGUUUGCAUCGCCUCAUCGGGAUAUUUCAAUGUUGAAUAAGUAUUAAAAAUGUUGACCAAGUAUUUGAAAAUGGUUGAAUAUGCAUAAAAAAAUGAUGAACAAGUAUUUGAACAAUGUUGAACAAGUAUUAAAGUGUUGAACAAGUAUUUCAAAAUAUUGAAUAAGCAAAAACUAUUUUAAGGAUAUUUUUCCUCAUUGUUGUACAUUUAUAAAUGACAGAUAAUGAUGAUCGUUUUCCAUGUCGUUAUUUGGUCGGCUAGGGAAACCCAAAAUUUUACCUAUUAGCACCCACUGUAUAAUUGGACUGGGCAAUUUGAGAGGUUUACUACUCUGCUAUCGCUUAAUAGAACACAAGUGAAAGAAGCGUAACGUUCACAUUGCAUUUCUAUUGGCUUGCGUCUGUGGGGUGCUUUGCCCGGUAAGCUAGCUGGCUGACCUUGGUCGGGCUUCUUUCAGGAUGUCGGGUACCCUAAUAUGCAAACCUAAUUCCUGAAGAAAGAAUCUUUACAGUUUCCAAGCUCCCAAGAAAUGGAGCUCUCUGGUUGAAUUGGGGAUGUGGGACCAUCAUGUCAUUCACUGAAAGAAAUGUAUUUACGGCCUUAAACCCAAGCUUUGUUUACACAUGUCCUGUUCUCCCGUGUCAGGGCUCAGCUGGGCAUAUGCACCCCACUGGUCAGCAGUAGGAGGUCAUGGGAUUGCAGCGAUCAAACUUUAGACAGGGUAAAUACUAAACCAACCGGCUAGAGACGUGACACUAUAUUACUCGUGCAUCUAUUGUAUCUUUCUUGAGAAGCUGAACGAGAGAUCCCUAUAUCUACCUCAUACCUUUCUUCGUAUACCAAAUCACUUCUAAAAUAACACCAACACGAUGCAGCUUCUCAGAUGUUUCUAUUUGUGUCCACUUUUAAAAUCCACCAACAUUUUUCAAUUCAUGAAUAUUUCUAAAGUUCAUGAACAUUUUUUUUUCUAAAUUUUAUUUUUUUUAAAUUGACGAACAUAGUUUAAAAUUAAUUAAUAUUUCUAAUAUUUAUGAUUUUCCUAAAAAAAUAUGUUUUUUAAUGCGCAACAUUUUCAAAAAUACAUAAAAAUGGUUUUUAUAAAAUUUUGUAUAAAAUACAUUUUAUAAAAUGGUUUUUCAAAAAUGGCAACAUUUUAUAAAAUACAUUUUUAAAAAUUUGUAAUUUUUUUAUUUAACAAAAAAUUCAAAUAAAAAUGUGGUAUCCGGUUUUGUCUAAGCUAGCAAUGUAGCGAGCGGAAAAAAGCUAAGCAAGCAGAGCAGGAGCCGAACUGAGUGAGCAAGAGUUUCAUUGGCCGACCCAUAGGAGUGUUAUAGCAGCAAAUUCCAUGGUCUCAUUGUGGAAUAAGAGCUCUUGAGGGGAUCACACAAGAACCACCAGCUGACACUGACGAUGAAACGCGAAGAACACCACAACCACACAUCAAUCAACUCCACUCUCCUCUCAAAACAAAUACAAUUUUAAACAAUAGCCGAAUGCGAUAUACAAAUGAAAAGAAAGUAUGGUCGAACAUAAUUAAAAUCCAAGUCAACAUAUAUAGAAUCAAAAUGACAAAAUUGACUGCAAUGACAUGCUAAAGAAAAAUAGAGUUAAUACCAUGAGUGAACAACGGUGCGGCGAAGCGCGCGACAACCUCUAGUAUUAAACGAAUCAUCACAAAAUGCAAGGCCACGGUUGUUCAAGCCGUCCUCCUCUCGCACCUGCCAACAAGCUUCUUCAGCGUUGCUUCACGGUUGGUCAUCGUGAAGUCCCUAAUAUUCAACAAAAGGAGCUUAAAAACCCCGGCCUCUACAUUAAUUGAUGCAUAUGGCCAUUUUUAUUUAUUAUUCAAUAAAAGUCUAACAAGAACAUUCAUCAAUCCAUUCGAAGCCAUCACUCACACCUACAAAACUCGAUAAUAUGGAGCACUCUCACUCCCCAUAUCCAAAAUCGGUGUCGUUGCCGAUCCAUCCACAUAACAUAUCGGAACCAAUAACCGGUGAAGUAGACCUAAAGCGUACACCACAUGCACACGUUUUAGAGCAUGCCAUCGUCAUCGGACCGCUGACCAAUUUUCAGAAGAGAGAUCCGCAUCAUCCUUGCCAGUUCGUCUAUCCUUCGACGCUACCACGGCGCCCAACAGCGCCAUUGCCCCCACGCUCAUCCAUCCAGACGCGAACAUUCUGAAAGAUCUGUCAUGCGUAGCACCUGCCGAGUAGGCAUGACACAACGUAGCACCUGUCGGCCAGGCAUGACUUAACAUCUCCAUCGAAGCUCCGUAUAAGACGAAGCCGCUCCGUCUCCUGCCUCUGUCUUCCAGUGCUGCUCCACAAACGAUAUCCCCAAUAGAGAAACAACACCGCAGUGCCGUCAUCGUCCGAUCUGGAAGACCAGAUCCUAGGGUUUCCCCCGGAACAGCACGAGUGGGUCGCUAGUUGUUACACGACGAUGCCUUCAUCAAGGUAACGGCGCAUAACUCCACAAUCGCAUGCCAUCGGCUCGGUUUUCACCGCACUAGUAGAAAACAGGGCUUCCGUCACAGGGCAAUAUUCACAUUAGUCCCCGUUCAGUCACGAACCCCCGGUUCGUGCGGCUAAGGUAUUAGUCCCGGUUCACCUGGGCCCUUUAGUCCCGGUUGGUGCCAUGAACCGCGACUAAAGGGUGCGAUGCCCAUUAGUACCGGUUGGUGGCACCAACCGGGACUAAAGGGCUUUGAGGCAUUAGUACCUGUUCAUGGCACGAACCGGUACUAAAGGUCUCAUUUUCAAACUCUACCCACCCCUCGUGGACCGCCUUUUCAGUUUUAGAAAAAACAAAAGAAAAUGAUGAAAAAAUAAAAUAAAAUAAGUUUCCCAUGUGAUAUGUGGUCUAGUUGUUGGGAAAAUUUACAAAUAUGAAUUUCGACUUUAUUUGCAAAAUCUCUCUGGAAUUUGUAAAAUGGGCAUAACUUUUGCAUACGAACUCGGAUUAAAAAGUUUUUUAUAUGAAAAAUCAUCUACUUGGAAAGUUACAUCCGAUUUUAACGGGGGAACCCCGUUAAACAUUUUCAAAAUCCUCAAAAACCUAACAGAAAAAAAGUUACGGGGCUUUUAAGAUCUGGAGAGGCAAAAAAAAUUCAAAAAUUUUCAAACUGUGGUCAAACUAAUUAUUCUAGAAUAUUAGUGUUACUAAAUAAUUAUUUUAGUUUUUUGAAUUUUGGUCAAAUGUGGUCAAACAGUGGUCAAACAAUGGUCAAACUAGUUAUUCCAGAAAUAUUAGUGUUACUAAAUAAUUAUUGUUUUUUAAAACAAUAGUUUCAAACUCAAACAGUGAAAUGUGUCACUUCAUGCUCAAGCUAAAUUCCUGAGGGUUAAUAGGAUUGACAUCUUACUAUUGUCAGGAAAACAACAAGUGCAGACUUGGAAACGAGGGAGAAUAGAACCUGGAAGUUAAGCGUGCUCAGGCUGGAGUAGUGAGAAGAUGGGUGACCGUCCAGGAAGUUAGAUGAUUUGGAAUGACGAGGGGUGAUUAGAGAUUAGAGGAUAAAUUGAGCAGUGAUGAGGGGUGGUGAUUAGAGAUUAGAGGUUAAAUAAUUCAGAAAUUUGAAAAUCAAAAAAAAUUCAAAAAAAAAUUUGCAAAAUUUUUUUUCAAGAAAAAAAUCAUAAAAUUUCCUUUAGUCCCAGUUGGUAACACCAACCGGGACUAAAGGUGGAGCUCCACGUGGCCGAAGAACCGGGACUAAAGGGGGGAGGCAUUAGUAACGACCCUUUAGUCCCGGUUCAAAAACCGGGACUAAAGGCCCUUACCAACCGGGACAAAAGCCCCCUUUUCUACUAGUGCCGGUAACUUGUCUUCCCGACUCGUAGCGGGACUAGAUGACGGAUAUCGAGAUCUGACCAUCCAGCCUCAGGCCGACCACCUCCGAUGGAGGAGAUGGCCACCACCGCCGGCUACACCGGCGGCAGCCGUCGCCCUUCCCAGUACAGGGCCGCGUCGCGCCUACAGCGGCCGUCGUCCGAGGCAGGGCCAGCCACCAUGCCGUUGCCUGCUGCAGCCAUGGUGCACCGAUGGAUGAAGGCCCACUUUUCUGUGUUUUUUGUAUUAGAGUUGGGCUGCCGGACGAUUCGGUCGUCAAAAUACAUAUCGACAAUGGGGAUAUGCUGAGCGGCGGAAGCAAAAAAGGCAAGCGACAUAGGACGAAACGACGAAGCGAUUCUACGUUGGGUUGCUUUGGUUGGGCCAUAUAAAACACAUUAAGGCUCAGGCGGGCAUCAUGUGUGUGGAAUCGUUGCACGCAACCAAACAACAUAUUUCUUUUAAAUCUCAGCUGUUAAACUUUAUGGUUAAGACAAAAUCAACGGAUGUAAAAGGGUGACGGAAGAAGAACUAUGAAAUCCUUUGUCCUUUAAUAUUAGGUAAUAGAUUACCAUGUUCGGAUGUGUUUUGAUCAUGUGGACACAGCUUGGCGAGGGCGGGAAAGAGGAUAAUCGGCCACAUGGGCAAGGUUCUGUGUUGAAACUAUGCGCAUAGGUUGCGGGGGUCUUGAGCAAUGUUUAUUGGGUAUAGAUCUAUUAUAUUUUUCUUCUCCCGUUGUAACACACAGGCAUAUUUGCUAGUGAAAUAAUAAAAGUAAGACGAGACAAUGCCAUAAACUCGUUAGAUCUAAAUAAUAUGUUUUAUGAUGACACAAACUUGUCUUUCUUGAUGUCACUACAACAAUAUGAGUGACCGGAAUUAUUUUAUUCAUAAAAGCAUAUGUCCACUACUAGAAGGGCAUGUAGAAAGACAAAGAAGAACACUAAAAAUAUGAUGCAUCCUCCUCUCAGCGACCAGAUGGCAGCCCGUGACAAGGAGACUGAAUGUAUAUUCGACGGUGAUUGUGGUUCUCUGUAUCGCCCUCAAGCCCUGGUUUUAGGAUUGUUAGCGGAAGAGAAAACAAAUCACCCAUUAUCUCUUGUGGACCUAUAAAUUUGGGUCGGCCAUGUGAAGGCAAUUACCACUAGCAUACAAGCCGUACACUUUUGGGCCCCACAAAAUUAGGUGGCAAAACGAAGUUGGUUGGUAAUAUGCAAUAUCUAGUGGUACACCGCGCAAAGGGUGCAUCUUGCUAGACUCGGUGAUUGAUAAUCGACAACAUCUACUUUUUUAUUAAAAAAAGAAGUUGAUGUGAACUAUAGGAAAUGCAAGAAAACAAAUAGACCACCUUGUCGUUUUCAAUAUCUUUGUUCUUACGUCUGCUUAAAACGGCAUUGCUCCUGCAUCGUGCUGUGAAAAACAUGUGCUACACUAAUGUUCAACAUGAAUAAUGUUAGGCCAGUGAACUGAUUGCUUGUGGUUGUGGUGUAACCAGCCCACUGGGUUCAAGUCCUAAUCUUAGCAUGUGUACUCAUAUUUUUAUGAAAUUAUUUUAGAAUUUUUGCUUAUGCUCGUGCACCCCUCGACUACGAGGUGCCUAUGAUUAUUUAGACAAUUGAAGAUUUGCCGGCUCAGUUUUUCAAAGGUAUUAAUAGUUAGGAUAGGGUGUAUGUGUGUGAGUUUAUAAGGAUCAAUGUACGUACAUGUCGUACUAUCAUGGCUCAUUUACUAUUGGGAAGUUCAUUGAUCUCGCUAGAUGCCGCAUGAGCCUUUGACGUUAAGUAUUUCUCUCAUAUGUUGUUACAAGAUUCUGAGUGCAAAGAAACGUUCGUUUGAGAUAAGGUCCAAGGACAUGGCAGUUGACACUUUCACAGUUGGAGCCUUAAAUCGUUAGAAGUACUACACGAUUACGAAGUACAGCACAUGCAUGCUUCAUUUGCAUAAAAAUCUCCCACCCUUAGAGUUCCCUCCUAUAUAUCCUCGUCGGUCACCUCUGCAGGCACGUAAACGAUACCACCAAACAAUAUGAGUUCAGAGUCUCAUCUCAGGCGCCUCACAUUGGUAUACAAUUGCACUGCCAACACCCUCAUCCUGCGAACUGUCAGCAAGAAAAUUGCACCAUGGCUUGCUGCUGGACCCGAGAUUGUGCCCCAACCCACUGCUAUCUGGCCCAUCCACUCACUUCUUGUCAUAGCGUUACUGGUCAUCACAUCUACUUUGUACCUUGCACUCCGUUCUAGAACUGUAUACCUUGUCGACUACGCUUGCUUCCGGCAAAACUCCAACUUAAGAAUCACAAAGGCAACCUUCCUCGAGUAUGCACGUCUCUCUUCUUUGCUUGAUGAUUCUAUUGUCAAUUUUAUAGCUACUAUUCUUAAGCGCUCAGGCAUGAGCGAUGAGACAUGUGUGCCGCCUGUACAUCACUAUAUAGAGCCAUGUUGUGGGCUUGAUGAAGCGUGCAGUGAAGCAGAGUUGGUCAUCUUCUCGGUAAUCGAUGACCUUCUGGCCAAGACUUGCAUCAAACGUGAUGCAAUCGGUGGUCUUAUCACCAACUGCAGCGCGUUCUGCCCCGUACCAUCCAUUGCCGACAUGAUUGUGAACAAAUACAAGUUACGGGGUGAUAUUCGUCUCAUCAACCUCUCUGGGAUGGCAUGCUCAGCUUCGAUGAUCGCAGUGGGGCUAGCGAGCAACAUGUUACAGGUCAUGCCUCGGGGGUCGCAUGUGUUGGUGGUGUCGACAGAGACCAUUGGGCCAUCCUACUAUUCGGGGAAUAAGCGUUCCAUGGUGUUGUCUAACAUCUUGUUACGGAUAGGAGGAGUGGCAAAGUUGUUGUCAACUUCUAGGUCAAAGGCUCGGUUUAGGCUUGUGCAUUUCAUUCGGACGAUCACCGCGGCCAACAACUCUGCCUACCGAUGUGUGUAUCAAGAGGAAGACGAGAAGGGCAACCUAGGCAUCGCUCUCUCAAAAGAUCUUACUGUUGUUGCUGGACAUGCAUUGAAGGCCAAUAUCAUGGCAACCGGGCCUUACGUGCUACCAACAUCAGAGCUUCUUAAGUUUUCGCUCUUCAACAUGGCAAGAAAGAUGCCCCAUGGGAGGAAUAUCAGGCCAUACAUUCCUAACUUUUGUGUUACAUUUGAGCAUUUCUGCAUCCACGCAGGUGGUCCGGCAGUUAUCAGCUCAGUACAACAUGGCCUCAAACUAUCUGACCAGUAUGUCGAGCCAUCGUGGAUGACACUACAUCGGUUUGGAAACCAGUUGAGCUCAUCGGUAUGGUAUGAGUUGGCAUACAUCAAUGCUAAAGGACAGAUGAAGAAAAAUGAUCGGGUGUGGAUGAUUGGAUUUGGUGCAGGAUACGAGUGCAACACAGCUAGUUGGGUCUGUAUACAACCAUCUUCCAGUGCGGAUGGACCCUGGGGUAACUGUAUCAAUCAUUAUCCGAAGGAUAUCUUCAAAAAUAUAUUAAAUUAAGAGUAUUUGUAUUUUGUAAUCUACUAUCAGGAGGAGGGAGUAAUAUGAUAAUAAAAUAACAGGCACAUCUCUUGGAUACACAAUUUUUUUUUGGAUGAUGAGAUGGGGGAUUCCAUUGGCGGAUGGAUAAAAACUAGUGAAAUCAAUGACGAUGUGGGGCUUUUAUAAAGUAAUAAAAAAAUCAAUCCCUACUUUUCUAUGUGGUUGUACAGAUGAGCAUCUUAUGAAUUGAGGGACAACAUCCCAAUUAGUACACUAUAAAUAGCCGCACUUCAAUUUGGUAAAUUUUGUAGCGACUCGCUGUGUGAGACAUGCGACUUCUACAACUUGUAUUCUUGGGAGAUAGGGUUUGGUAUACGUUAUGGCUUAUGGGACGAGCAGACUAAACUCAGAGAGGACUAAAUCCAUGCAGGAGAUUGUUUGCGGGUGUUCGAUGAGUCUUGUGUACUUUGUUGCUGAAUUAUAUCCGGAAAUCCAAGUCGGUGCCCAGGCUCAUCUGCUCCCGCUCAGAAAAAAAUCAAAAUUAAUACUUGAAAAUUCAAAAAAUCAAUUUUUUUAGGUGGUAGAUAAUUUGAUGCGUGAGGUCCACACCAAAUUUCAACCCAUUUGGACAUCUAAGCAGCUCUCGGCAAAAAAGACAAAUCGGGUCAAAACAGUGCGUGAACAGUAAACAUUUUUACAGACCCCAAUUUUGUCUUUUUUGCAGAGAGCUGCUCAGAUGUCUAAAUGAGUUGAAAUUUCGUGCAGACCUCACACAUCAAAUUAUCUAUCAUCCAAAAAAAAUUGGAAUUUUUUGAACAUUUUUAGCAUUUGUUUUGAUUUUUUUUUUUUGAAAGGGGGUGCAGAUGAGCCUGGAAGCAGAAACUCCGCAUCCGGAUGUAAUAUCCCUAUCCCCGUUUAUAAGUGCAUCCUAGAGUAUGGACUAAAUGGUGUUCCAAUUUUUGUAGGCCACGCUUGGAUUAUCGUAUUUCCUUCAGAUACGUCCGUAAAAAAUACACACUCCUGCACGUUAUCAUUUCCGGCCGGAAAUCAUUCUAAUCCGGUAAAAUACACUUCUAAAAUUGAUACACCUGUAUUAGAUUACACUCAGUCCAAGCACGGCCUUAUGCAUGGAAAUCUAGAGGCACAGGACAGGCGGUCUUGCAUAUCAGGCUGUUGCGCGCGAAUGAUAACAGCUGGUUCAUACCUGUAGGACAUGCUGUUCGACCUUUUAUAAGAGCAAAAAAUCAUUUUCAGAGCAUUAUAUUAGCUGGAUCUUUUUAUGAGGGAUGAGCAAGUCAAGAGUCUCGAGUGGUUAUUUUGUGAGUUCCUAAAUACGAUGGGUGGGCUGGUGCUGAAGUCUAUCUUGACACGUACGUAGAUUCAGAUAAUUAGUAUGACUCAAGGUUGUUAUCUGGUUCAUGUGUCAAGGAGUUGUAAGGUAUACUCUGUAGAUCAAAACAGAGCCAUGGAGAUUGCUAUCAGCAAAGUGUAUCGAGGAAAUUAAACAACUGCAGGUCACCUUACUGGUUGGUCUGCUCUUAAUAUUUAUUAUUCCAUUGCGUGCAGUUCUUUCGUUAGAUCUAUUGUGUGAUCAUACAAUGUGUAGUGUAUUUGAGGAAAAUAACAAUUGACUGCAUGUAAUGUGCUGGGUAUUUUUAGCUGAACUUUGCUGACCUGAGCACUGGUGGGUAGUAAACAGGGAAACCAUCGCGUAUUUGCCAGAGUUCAGUCCUUUAAAUUGUUUCUGAAAUGGUUAGAACUAAAAGAUGGCCUUCAUUUAAUAUUGAUUUCGAGAGUAUUGUUGUUUCGAAAAAUACUAGUUUAGCAGGAAGUUAUGUUGACAUGCACUUCUUCUGAAAACAGCCCCUUGGUGACCUAGGAACCCUAGCCCCUUGGUGAUUCUUCAACCUUGCUUACGAAGGGGCCAGGGCACAGCUGUUCACUCCCAGACCUUGUGGCAGCCAUGAGAGAACCAGGUGACUCCGGACUAUGUGAAAACCAUCGUUCCAUGGCAGGUCUCUCCGUACUCCGGCGUCUUCUGAGGGGCCUUGGUUUUCAUUUUGAUCUUGUAGGCAAGUUUCUGGUUUGUGCUGCUGAAUUGCAGGGUGCUCGGCUCCACGAUGGCGUCCGUGUCUUUGAACUGUGUGACCUUGACCUGGUAAGAGCCAAGGACGGAGGACCGACAUUUGUCAAGGUGCACCGGCAGGGUUGAUGGCUGGUCGGCGAAGACCGCAGAGAUGGCCGGGUAGUUGAGGUCGCUGAGCAAACUGAAGGUGUACUUGCCUUUCAUGUUGGAGUUCUUGGUGAAGCCUUGAGCUACUUCGGCAUCAGGUUCUGCAUGCAUAUGAGCUCCAGGUAGCCGUAGCCGUACUGGCCAAUGUCCAAAACCAGCCAUGCUAGAAUGGCGUGGACGCCUCGCCGGUCGCGCGUCCUUCAGCACACAGUAGGUGUUUUUUUUUUUAACUAGCACACGGUAGGUGUUGUCGUGGACGUACGGGGUGGAGCAGCGCGGCCACGCCGGCAGCGUUUGGACUCCCAUCACAGACCAGCGGCUCAGGCUGGCUCAGGAAAUGCUCCCGAACGUGACCCAAGCUCCCGGUCCGGCUGCACCGUCGGGUCACCUACACUCCAUAAUGAUUGGGUUGUAGGAGUAUUCUUUAUAUCUUGACCAUACGUUAUAGAUACGACUUAUAAUCCGUUUCAUAAUGAAGUUGUAUAUAUUUUUUCAAAAAUCAAACUUUACAAACUUUGAUCAUGUAUAGUGAGAAAAAUAUUUUCAUUUAGAAUACCAAAUACAUAUCAUCGGAUGCAUCGUGAGUUAAAUUUUCAUAUUGUAUUUGUUUGGUAGUAGAUAUAGAUUGUUUUCUUCGUAAACUUGGUCAAAGUUUGCUAAGUUUGACUUUUCAGAAAAUCUAUAUGUACUACGUUAUGGAACGGAGGAAGUACAUGUGAAGCCUCGAAUCCCAAUCUGUACGAGCGGCUGUGAUGCAAGGAGCAUCUGAGCCCGAGCUCAUAAACUGAUUUUCGGGGAAGGAGACACAUCUACAGCUACCUGCGAUGACAACGAGCUCCACCGCGCGCACCGACCCAGGAGCGGCGACUGCUGCCAUGUGCACGGGCGUGGAUUCGACGCCGCCUUACAGGUGAUGGGAGGCUUUGCUCCUUCGUGUCCUCUAGCAAAGAGAGCUCUCCACAGGCACAAUCGUGUCGAGGAGCUCCACCACGCACGGAGCAUUGCCACACCGGCGGGCGCUGGUCUGGGCCGCCUCAACGGUGAUGAAGGCCUUGUUCUGCCUCCCGAUGGAGGACAGACUCCAGAGAACGGGUGGGUGGUGGUGGUGGCGGCGGUGGAAAAGGGGCAACCCUAGUGUGCGUUUAGCAAUGUGUUAUGUGUGUGAGAAAGAGGAGAAGAAGGGAAGAUAUAAGGACGAGUUUGGUUGCGGAAGCUAUAUGGACGCAUUUGGUUGCUCGCAACAUUUUUUUGCCCUUUUGCAUAUUUGUCCCAGACAAGAUUUUGGAUUCUGNNNNNNNNNNUAAACUCGGUUACAACGGUAACCACGAAAUUCCAAAAAAAAUCGUGCGAAAUUCAAAAUCAAAAUUUGAAUUCAAAAUUUUAAGACAAGAAUACAUAAGCCUUGAGCACCAAAUGUUGUCUACACUAGUGCUAGUGCAGCGGUAAGAGGUCUGCUCCGAUGCCGCGCACAUGCAGGUCCCAAUUUCGACCCUCCCACGCUCAUAUUUUUUUAAUAAAUUACAGCUUCAAAAAUCAAAAAGGAAAACGUGCGGAGCUCCACCACGCACGGAGCAUUGCCACACCGGCGGGCGCUGGUCUGGGCCGCCUCAACGGUGAUGAAGGCCUUGUUCUGCCUCCCGAUGGAGGACAGACUCCAGAGAACGGGUGGGUGGUGGUGGUGGCGGCGGUGGAAAAGGGGCAACCCUAGUGUGCGUUUAGCAAUGUGUUAUGUGUGUGAGAAAGAGGAGAAGAAGGGAAGAUAUAAGGACGAGUUUGGUUGCGGAAGCUAUAUGGACGCAUUUGGUUGCUCGCAACAUUUUUUUGCCCUUUUGCAUAUUUGUCCCAGACAAGAUUUUGGAUUCUGNNNNNNNNNNNNNNNNNNNNNNNNNNNNNNNNNNNNNNNNNNNNNNNNNNNNNNNNNNNNNNNNNNNNNNNNNNNNNNNNNNNNNNNNNNNNNNNNNNNNNNNNNNNNNNNNNNNNNNNNNNNNNNNNNNNNNNNNNNNNNNNNNNNNNNNNNNNNNNNNNNNNNNNNNNNNNNNNNNNNNNNNNNNNNNNNNNNNNNNNNNNNNNNNNNNNNNNNNNNNNNNNNNNNNNNNNNNNNNNNNNNNNNNNNNNNNNNNNNNNNNNACGGUAACCACGAAAUUCCAAAAAAAAUUGUGCGAAAUUCAAAAUCAAAAUUUGAAUUCAAAAUUUUAAGACAAGAAUACAUAAGCCUUGAGCACCAAAUGUUGUCUACACUAGUGCUAGUGCAGCGGUAAGAGGUCUGCUCCGAUGCCGCGCGCAGGACCCAAUUUCGACUCUCCCACGCUCAUAUUUUUUUAUAAAUUACAGCUUCAAAAAUCAAAAAGGAAAACGUGCUGCUGGCUGACCUAGAACACACGACCUGCAACUGCUGGUUAAAUAUCCUUACCACUGGGACACGAGAAUACUUGUGUUUUAGUUAGAGAUAUACCUUAUUUAACUAUGUGAAAGGAGUUUAAAUUCAAAAAGUUCGAGAUUUUCUGCCCGUACACAUGAUUCUCGUGGGGGAGCGGGAAACGCGGUUACCGGGCGGUAACCGAAUUUACCGCCCGAUACCCAAAACCAUGGUCUCAGAUCAGUCUAGUUGAGCAAAUGCAGGGUAAAAAUCAUCAUUUAAAUGUUGUUUGGUUGUCUGCAUACUGCUUCCCUUCACCGUAGCACCGACUGUAGGCACUGUGUGUUUGGUUGCCUGCAUUGCUUGGUCUCAUAUUAUUAUAUGGUGUUUGUAGAAGUACAUGUUCUAGACAAUGCAACCAAAAAAACCGAUCUGAUGAAAAAGACUAGGUAAUACAUUUAUACAUCAAUAAUCCUCCUCACGUGUGGCUUCCUCGGGCCUAAACUUGACAUAAAGUGUGAUGCAAUUUAAUUGCGUCAAUCAGGUUUUAAACUCGAAACCUCAUGAGAUCUUGACUCUGAUACCAUGUAGACAGAUAAUAAGAUGCAACACAUGAUGUACAGAAAGCAGACCCAUAUACGUGCUAACAUCCAAGUGGUGACAAGGCGUGCGGGCAACCAAGGCCUACACGGCAUGCACACAUUAUCCACAGGCCACGCAGGCGCCCGAGCAGCAAAACCACGCUCGAUGCGUGAGUGGCCACACGGCGCGGGACGAUGACCCAGCCUAGGACGAUGUGUGCGGCCGCCUCGCCCGAUACGCGGCACAACGCCGACACGCGGAUGACUACACUGCCUAUCGUGACAGGCUGUCCAGUCGAAGAAAAUGCUGUUCCAAUCACCGCGAGUGACAGAGUACGGGCGCUUUGUAGAUGACGAAUGGUGGGGACGACGCAAACUGAUUUUAGAAGAUAUAACAAGAAGAAACACCCAUCAAUACGACCGGCGAAAGAGAAAAUCCGGAUCAUAAAAUCCAGAUCUCGUAACUCCUCCCGACCUCUCUCCCCCAACCUCUCUCCCCCGAGGCGGCGGCGCCACGCCGCCCCCGGGGAGUCCCCGUCCACACCGCCCUCGGUCCUCCCCCUCCAUCGCCUCCCACUAUCGCCGCCGUCGCUGAGGACGCCGCGGGGCGAAGCCCUUAUGGUGAGGCGGCGGCGGCGCAGUCCUCGGCCGGCGGUAACGCGUGGGGGCUGCGGCGUCAUCUCCCUCCUCCUCCAACGGCAGUGCGCAUCGGGUUGGCGGUGGCCAGGAGAUCUCCGGCGGCCGUUUGGCGGAUGAGAUUUUGGCUGCGAUGAGAUCUGAUCUGGGCCCGAGGGGUUUAGAUCGAGAUCCACUGCGGCUGCGCCUCGUCUCGACAACGACAAGAGGAGAUCCCCCUGGGUAAUCUUCACGGCACGAGGACGUCCGGGUCUCUUGGUCCGGGCAUGGUGGUGGUGGCUGCCUUCUCCACCGAAGACGGUUGGCCAGGCUGGUAGUGACGGAUCUUGGAUCCCACUAUUAGCACCGGCGGCGAGUUGGGGAGACAUAGUCGCCGGUGAAAACCGAGCCGACUCCGGUCAUGGCGGGCGAUGGCGGCGUCUAAGUUGUUACCUUGAUGGAGGCAUCGUCAAGCAACUAUCGUCAACCUGCCCGUGCCGCUCCGGGAGAAAUCCUAAGAUCACCAGAUCGGACGAUGGCGGCGCUGCGGUGUCGUGUUCCCUAUUGGGGGCAUCGUUUGUGGAGCGGCGCCGGAAGGAAGAGGCCUGAGGUGGUGUGGCGUGCCUUCUCUCGCGUUGACGACGGCGGGUCUCGACGGCAUGGAGCAGCGGGGUCUCACCGAUGGGCGUGUGAUGAUGGACGAGCGCAGGAUGGUGGCGUUGCCUGACGUCGACGACAACUAGACCGGGCAAGGUAGAUGCAGCAGUACAUCACUGAAGAUGGAUUGGUGACAGGUGGCUGCGGCGGCCUCAUACCAGGCAGGCGUCCUGGUUGAGGAGUGCGCCGGACUGGUGGGUGCCCCAUACCCGGCAGGCGUCCUGGUUGGGACCUCAGGUCUUAGAUGUUAGGUUUGGCUGCGAGGUCUGUUUGGUAUUAGGCCUACACUAUCAGCAUCCCUACAUCAACUGGAUAGGAGUAGCGACAGAUGUUGCCUAGACGGUGGCUUUAGUCUUACUGUUGUAUGACUUUGUAAGGUCUUGUGUGAAUAAUUAAUAAAGUGGCUGCAUGCAUUGUCCAGAUGCAGAGGCCGGGGGUCCUCCUCCUUUUCUAAAAAAAAUAAAAUCAGGAAAAAGGACUCUUUAUGGUAGCCAGUCAACACGACCGGCAGACGAACCCUAGGUACGGUCGGCGUGACCCCCGAUGGUGAUCGUGGAGACCGACCGCCUCGGGGGCGGCGCGGAGCGAAAGCGGCCGCGGUGGCGGCUAGGGUUUGGACCGGUUAGUCUGAUACCAUGUAGAUGGAUAGAGAGUGAUUGACGUAAUGCGGUGGUUGUAUUACUGAGCCUUGAGGGCGAGUAAAUAUUGAGUAAAGACUUGAAGGACAAGACGUCUCCUAGAGAUAAGAUGGAAAUAAUUCCCGUCUAAUCCUGGACAAUCUUUAACUACCAAAUAUAUCUCUAACGUCUCCCCACAGUAGCGGUAGCGUUGGAAACAACAGGAGUGUCAUGGACGGUCAUACUGGAGAGAAUAGUAUCCGACUGGAUGACAUCCCCUCGUAGUCGUAGCAGGAGCAUUGUGGACGGUGUCGCGUUGUCGACACGUUGACUAUAAGGAAGCUGACCAUUUGUUCAAAUGCGGUGAUAGCCCUUUCUGCCGAUGUCGAUGUAGUCGAGAGCAUAUAGGGGUGUAGCCGUGGUCGAGGUAGCUGUGCGAGAGACACCGUGGUCGAUGUCGACUCGGGAUGGCCGAUGUCGAGGUAGUCGCCGUUGUUGGGGAUCGUAGCAGAAUUUAAAAUUUUUCUACGCAUCACCAAGAUCCAUCUAUGGAGUAUACUAGCAACGAGGGGAAAGGAGUGCAUCUAUAUACCCUUGUAGAUCGCGAGCGGAAGCGUUCCAAUGAACGGGGUUAAUGGAGUCAUACUCGCCGUGAUCCAAAUCGCCGAUGACCGAGUGCCGAAAGGACGGCACCUCCGCGUUCAACACACGUACGGAGAAGCGACGUCUCCUCCUUGAUCCAGCAAGGGGGAAGGAGAGGUUGAUGGAGAUCCAGCAGCACGACGACGUGGUGGUGGAAGUAGCGGGGUCUCGGCAGGGCUUCGCCAAGCUUCUGCGAGAGGGAGAGGUGUUGCAGGGGGAGAGGGAGGCGCCAGAGGCUGUCAUGCUGCUGCCCUCCCUCCCCCCANNNNNNNNNNNNNNNNNNNNNNNNNNNNNNNNNNNNNNNNNNNNNNNNNNNNNNNNNNNNNNNNNNNNNNNNNNNNNNNNNNNNNNNNNNNNNNNNNNNNNNNNNNNNNNNNNNNNNNNNNNNNNNNNNNNNNNNNNNNNNNNNNNNNNNNNNNNNNNNNNNNNNNNNNNNNNNNNNNNNNNNNNNNNNNNNNNNNNNNNNNNNNNNNNNNNNNNNNNNNNNNNNNNNNNNNNNNNNNNNNNNNNNNNNNNNNNNNNNNNNNNNNNNNNNNNNNNNNNNNNNNNNNNNNNNNNNNNNNNNNNNNNNNNNNNNNNNNNNNNNNNNNNNNNNNNNNNNNNNNNNNNNNNNNNNNNNNNNNNNNNNNNNNNNNNNNNNNNNNNNNNNNNNNNNNNNNNNNNNNNNNNNNNNNNNNNNNNNNNNNNNNNNNNNNNNNNNNNNNNNNNNNNNNNNNNNNNNNNNNNNNNNNNNNNNNNNNNNNNNNNNNNNNNNNNNNNNNNNNNNNNNNNNNNNNNAGGCAAGUGGGGCGCCCCCACCCUAGGGUUUCCAACCCUAGGCGCAGGGGGAAGGCCCAUGGGGGGCGCCCCAGCCCACUAAGGGCUGGUUCCCUUCCCACUUCAGCCCAUGGGGCCCUCCGGGAUAGGUGGCCCCACCCGGUGGACCCCCGGGACCCUUCCGGUGGUCCCGGUACACUACCGGUGACCCCCGAAACUUUCCCGGUGGCCGAAACUUGACUUCCUAUAUAUAAUUCUUCACCUCCGGACCAUUCCGGAACUCCUCGUGACGUCCGGGAUAUCAUCCGGGACUCCGAACAACUUUCGGGUUUCCGCAUACUAAUAUCUCUAUAACCCUAGCGUCACCGAACCUUAAGUGUGUAGACCCUACGGGUUCGGGAGACAUGCAGACAUGACCGAGACACCUCUCCGGUCAAUAACCAACAGCGGGAUCUGGAUACCCAUGUUGGCUCCCACAUGUUCCACGAUGAUCUCAUCGUAUGAACCACGAUGUCGAGGAUUCAAUCAAUCUCGUAUACAAUUCCCUUUGUCAAUCGGUACGUUACUUGCCCGAGAUUCGAUCGUUGGUAUCCCAAUACCUUGUUCAAUCUCGUUACCGGCAAGUCACUUUACUCGUACCGUAAUGCAUGAUCCUCUGGCUAACUCCUUAGUCACAUUGAGCUCAUUAUGAUGGUGCAUUACCGAGUGGGCCCAGAAAUACCUCUCCGUCAUACGGAGUGACAAAUCCCAGUCUCGAUCCGUGUCAACCCAACAGACACUUUCAGAGAUACCCGUAGUGUACCUUUAUAGUCACCCACUUACGUUGUGACGUUGGGUACACCCAAAGCACGCCUACGGCAUCCGGGAGUUACACGAUCUCAUGGUCUAAGGAAAAGAUACUUGACAUUGGAAAAGCUCUAGCAAACGAACUACACGAUCUUUUAUGCUAUGCUUAGGAUUGGGUCUUGUCCAUCACAUCAUUCUCCUAAUGAUGUGAUCCCGUUAUCAACGACAUCCAAUGCCCAUGGUCAGGAAACCGUAACCAUCUAUUGAUCAACGAGCUAGUCAACUAGAGGCUUACUAGGGACAUGGUGUUGUCUAUGUAUCCACACAUGUAUCUGAGUUUCCUAUCAAUACAAUUCUAGCAUGGAUAAUAAACGAUUAUCAUGAACAAGGAAAUAUAAUAAUAACCAAUUUAUUAUUGCCUCUAGGGCAUAUGUCCAACAGUCUCCCACUUGCACUAGAGUCAAUAAUCUAGUUCACAUCACCAUGUGAUUAACACUCACAGGUCACAUCACCAUGUGACCAACAUCCAAAGAGUUUACUAGAGUCAACAAUCUAGUUCACAUCACUAUGUGAUUAACACUCAAUGAGUUCUGGUUUGAUCAUGUUAUGCUUGUGAGAGAGGUUAUUAGUCAACGGGUCUGAAUCUUUCAGAUCCGUGUGUGCUUUACGAAUAUCUAUGUCAUCUUGUGGAUGCUACCACGCGCUACUUGGAGCCAUUUCAAAUAACUGCUCUACUAUACGAAUCCGGUCUACUACUCAGAGUCAUCCGGAUUAGUGUCAAAGUUCGCAUCGACGUAACCCUUUACGACGAACUCCUUUUCACCUCCAUAAUCGAGAAAAUUCCUUAGUCCACUAGAUACUAAGGAUAAGUUCGACCGCUGUCAUGUGAUCCAUUCCCGGAUCACUAUUGUACCCCUUGACCAACUCAUGGCAAGGCACACUUCAUGUGCGGUACACAGCAUAGCAUACUGUAGAGCCUACGUCUAAAGCAUAGGGGACGACCUUCGUCCUUUCUCUCUCUUCUGCUGUGGUCAGGUCUUGAGUCUUACUCAAUACUCACACCUUGUAACACAGCCAAGAACUCCUUCUUUGCUGAUCUAUUUUGAACUCUUUCAAAAGCAUGUCAAGGUGUGCGUUCUUUGAAAGUAUCAUCAGGCGUCUUGAUCUAUCUCUAUAGAUCUUGAUGCCCAAUACGUAAGCAGCUUUAUCCAGGUCUUCCUUUGAAAAACUCCUUUCAAACAACCCUUUAUACUUUUCAGAAAUUUUACAUCAUUUCGGAUCAACAAUAUGUCAUUCACAUAUACUUAUCAGAAAUGUUGUAGUGCUCCCACUCACUUUAUUGUAGAUACAAGUUUCUAACAAACUUUGUACAAACCCAAAAACUUUGAUCACUCCAUCAAAGCGUAUAUUCUGACUCCGAGAUGCUUGCUCUAGUCCAUGGAAGGAUCGCUGGAGCUAGCAUACCUUUUAGCAUCCUUAGGAUCGACAAAACCUUUCUGAUUGUAUCACAUACAACCUUUCCUUACGAAAACUGGUAAGGAAACUUGUUUUGACAUCCAUCUGCCAGAUUUCAUAAAUGCAGCUAAUGCUAACAUGAUUCCGACGGACUUAAGCAUCGCUACGGAUGAGAAAAUCUCAUCGUAGUCAACUCCUUGAACUUGUGAAAAAUACUCUUUGCCACAAGUCGAGCUUCAUAGACGGUAACAUUACCUUCCACGUCCGUCUUCUUCUUAAAGAUCCAUUUAUCUCAAUGGCUUGCCGAUCAUUGGGCAAGUUCACCAAAGUCCAUGCUUUGUUCUGAUACAUGGAUUCUAUCUCGGAUUUCAUGGUUUCUAACCAUUUGUCGGAAUAUGGACCCACCAUCGCUUCUCCAUAGCUCGUAGGUUCAUUGUUGUCUAACAACAUGAUAUCUAAGACAGGAUUACCGUACCACUCAGGAGUAGUACAUAUCCUUGUCGACCUACGAGGUUUGGUAGUGACUUGAUCCGAAGUUUCAUGAUCACUAUCAUAAGCUUCCACUUCAAUUGGUGUAGGUGCCACAAGAACAACUUCAUGUGCCCUGCUACACACUAGUUGAAGUUAUGGUUCAAUAACCUCAUCAAGUCUCCACCAUCCUCCCACUCAAUUCUUUCGAGAGAAACUUUUCCUCGAGAAAAGACUCGUUUCUAGAAGCAAUUACUUUUGCUUCCAGAUCUGAAAUAGGAGGUAUACCCAACUGUUUUGGGUUUUCUAUGAAGAUGCAUUUAUCCGCUUUGGGUUCGAGCUUAUCAGCUUGAAACUCUUUCACAUAAGCAUCGCAGCCCCAAUCUUUUAAGAAACGACAACUUAGGUUUCUCUAAAUGGUGUCGUCUCAACGGAAUUUCGUGGUGCCCCUUUUAAAGUGAAUGCGGUUAUCUCUAAUGCCUAACCCAUAAACGAUAGUUGUAAUUUGAUAAGAGACAUCAUGGUAUGCACCAUAUCCAAUAGGGUGCAGUUAUGAUGUUUGGACAGACCAUCACACUGUGGUGUUCCAGUCGGUAUUAAUUGUGAAACACUUUCCACAAUGUCUUAAUUGUGUGCCAAACUCGUAACUCAGAUAUCUCUAUGAUCAUAUCAUAGACAUUUUAUCCUCUUGUCACGACGAUCUUCAACUUCACUCUGAAAUUACUUGAACCUUUCAAUAAUUCAGACUUGUGUUUCAUCAAGUAAAUAUUCUCAGCAUCUACUCAAAUCAUCUGUGAAGUAAGAACAUAACGAUAUCCACUGCAUGCCUCAGCACUCAUUGGACUGCAUACAUCAAAAUGUAUUACUUCCAAAUAAGUUGCUCUCUUGUUCCAUCUUACUGAAAACGAGGCCUUUCAGUCAUCUUGCCCAUGUGGUAUGAUUUGCAUGUCUCAAGUGAUUCAAAAUCAAGUGAGUACAAACGAUCCAUUUGCAUGGAGUUUCUUCAUGCAUAUAUACCAAUAGACAUGGUUUGCAUGUCACAAUCUUUUCAAAAACGAGUGAGUCCAAAGAUCCAUCUACAUGGAGCUUCUUCAUGUGUUCUAUACCAAUAUGACUCAAAUGGCAGUGCCACAAGUAUGUGGAACUAUCAUUACUAUUUUAUAUCUUUUGGCACGAACAUGUGUAUCACUACGAUCGAGAUUCAUUUUAGGUGCAAGACCAUUGAAGGUAUUAUUCAAAUAAACAGAGUAACCAUUAUUCUCCUUAAAUGAAUAACCGUAUUGCGAUAAACAUAAUCCAAUCAUGCUCAACGCAAACACCAAGUCUCGAUGGUAGAGGGAGCAUGCGAUGCUUGAUCAUCACAUCAACCUUGGAAACACUUCCAACACAUAUCGUCAUCUCACCUUUAGCUAGUCUCCGUUUAUUCUGCAGUUUUUAUUUCGAGUUACUAACACUUAGCAACCGAACCGGUAUCUAAUACCCUGGUGCUGCUAGGAGUACUAGUAAAGUACACAUUCAUAUAAUGUAUAUCCAAUAUACUUCUGUCGACCUUGCCUGCCUUCUCAUCUACCAAGUAUCUAGGGUAGUUCUGCUUCAGUGACCGUUCCCCUCAUUACAGGAGCACUUAGUCUCGGGUUUGGGUUUAACCUUGGGAUUCUUUGCUAGAGCAGCAAAUGAUUUGCUGUUUCAUGAAGUAUCCCUUCUUGCCCUUGCCCUUCUAGAAACUAGUGAUUUUACUAACCAUCAACAAUUGAUGCUCCUUCUUGAUUUCUACUUUCGCGGUGUCAAACAUCGCGAGUUGCUCAAGGAUCAUCAUCUAUCCCUGAUAUGUUAUAGUUCAUCACGAAGCUCUAAUAGCUUGGUGGCAGUGACUAUGGAGAACCAUCACUAUCUCAUCUGGAAGAUUAACUCCCACUCGAUUCAAGCGAUUGUGGUAUUCAGACAAUCUGAGCACAUGCUCAACGAUUGAGCUUUUCUCCCUCAAUUUGCAGGCUUAAGAAACUUGUCAGAGGUCUCAUACCUCUUGACGUGGGCACUAGUCCGAAAUCCCAAUUUCAGUCUUCGGAACAUCUCAUAUGUUCUGCGACGUUUCAAAAACCGUCUUUGGUGCCACAAUUCUAAACCGUUAGCAUUACGCACUGAACUAUCACGUAGUCAUCAAAACGUGUAUGUCAGAUGUUUCGCAACAUCUACAGACGACGCUGAGGUUCAGCACACCGAGCGGUGCAUUAAGGACAUAAGCCUUCUGUGCAGCAAUGAGGACAAUCCUCAGUUUACGGACCCAGUCCGCAUAAUUGCUACUAUCAACUUUCAACUAAUUUUCUCUAGGAACAUAUCUUAAUCAGUAGAACUAAAGCGCAAGCUAUGACAUAAUUUGCAAAGAUCUUUUGACUAUGUUCAUGAUAAUGAAGUUCAUCUGAUUAAUGAACUCCCACUCAGAUAGACAUCCCUCUAGUCAUCUAAGUGAUACAUGAUCCGAGUCAAACUAGGCCGUGUCCGAUCAUCACGUGAGACGGACUAGUCAUCAUCGGUGAACAUCUCCAUGUUGAUCGUAUCUACUAUACGACUCAUGUUCGACCUUUCGAUCUCUUGUGUUCCAAGGCCAUGUCUGUACAUGCUAGGCUCGUCAAGUCAACCUAAGUGUUUCGCAUGUGUUCCGAGGCCAUGUCUGUACAUGCUAGGCUCGUCAACACCCGUUGUAUUCGAACGUUAGAAUCUAUCACACCCGAUCAUCACGUGGUGCUUCGAAACAACGAACCUUCACAACGGCGCACAGUUAGGGGGAACACGUCUCUUGAAAUUUUAGUGAGGGAUCAUCUUAUUCAUGCUACCGUCGUUCUAAGAAAAUAAGAUGUAUACAUGACAAACAUCACAUGCAAAUCAUAAAGUGACGUGAUAUGGACAAUAUCAUCUUGCGCCUUUGAUCUCCAUCUUUGAGGCACGGCAUGAUCACCUUCGUCACCGGCAUGACACCAUGAUCUCCAUCAUCAUGAUCUUCAUCAUUGUAUCUUCAUGAAGUUGUCUCGCCAACUAUUACUUCUACUACUAUGGCUAACGGUUAGCAAUAAAGUAAAGUCAUUACAUGGCGUUUUCAUUGACACGCAGGUCAUACAAUAAAUUAAGACAACUCCUAUGGCUCCUGCCGGUUGUCAUACUCAUCGACAUGCAAGUCGUGAUUCCUAUUACAAGAACAUGAUCAAUCUCAUACAUCACAUAUAUCAUUCAUCACAUCCUUUUUGGCCAUAUCACAUCACAUAGCAUACCCUGCAAAAACAAGUUAGACGUCCUCUAAUUGUUGUUGCAUGUUUUACGUGGCUGCUAUGGGUUUCUAGCAAGAACGUUUCUUACCUACACAAAAGCCACAACAUGAUAUGCCAAUUUCUAUUUACCCUUCAUAAGGACCCUUUUCAUCGAAUCCGAUCCGACUAAAGUGGGAGAGACAGACACCCGCUAGCCACCUUAUGCAACUAGUGCAUGUCAGUCGGUGGAACCUGUCUCACGUAAGAGUACGUGUAAGGUCGGUCCGGGCCGCUUCAUCCCACGAUGCCGCUGAAUCAAGAUAAGUGUAGUAACAGCAAGAAGAAUUGGCAACAUCAACGCCCACAACUGCUUUGUGUUCUACUCGUGCAUAGUAACUACACAUAGGCCUGGCUCAUGAUGCCACUGUUGGGGAUCGUAGCAGAAUUUAAAAUUUUUCUACGCAUCACCAAGAUCCAUCUAUGGAGUAUACUAGCAACGAGGGGAAAGGAGUGCAUCUACAUACCCUUGUAGAUCGCGAGCGGAAGCGUUCCAAUGAACGGGGUUGAUGGAGUCGUACUCGCCGUGAUCCAAAUCACCGAUGACCGAGUGCCGAACGGACGGCACCUCCGCGUUCAACACACGUACGGAGCAGCGACGUCUCCUCCUUCUUGAUCCAGCAAGGGGGAAGAAGAGGUUGAUGGAGAUCCAGCAGCACGACGGCGUGGUGGUGGAAGUAGCGGGGUCUCGGCAGGGCUUCGCCAAGCUUCUGCGAGAGGGAGAGGUGUUGCAGGGGGAGAGGGAGGCGCCAGGGGCUGUCAUGCUGCUGCCCUCCCUCCCCCCCCCACUAUAUAUAGGCCCCCUGGGAGGGGGGGGGGCGCUGGCCUGGAUCCCAUCUGCAAGGGGGGGCGGCGGCCAGGGGGAAACUUACCCCCCAAGGCAAGUGGGGCGCCCCCCACCCUAGGGUUUCCAACCCUAGGCGCAGGGGGAAGGCCCAUGGGGGGCACCCCAGCCCACUAAGGGAUGGUUCCCUUCCCACUUCAGCCCAUGGGGCCCUCCGGGAUAGGUGGCCCCACCCGGUGGACCCCGGGACCCUUCCGGUGGUCCCGGUACACUACCGGUGACCCCCGAAACUUUCCCGGUGGCCGAAACUUGACUUCCUAUAUAUAAUUCUUCACCUCCGGACCAUUCCGUAACUCCUCGUGACGUCCGGGAUCUCAUCCGGGACUCCAAACAACUUUCGGGUUUCCGCAUACUAAUAUCUCUAUAACCCUAGCGUCACCGAACCUUAAGUGUGUAGACCCUACGGGUUCGGGAGACAUGCAGACAUGACCGAGACACCUCUCCGGUCAAUAACCAACAGCGGGAUCUGGAUACCCAUGUUGGCUCCCACAUGUUCCACGAUGAUCUCAUCGGAUGAACCACGAUGUCGAGGAUUCAAUCAAUCCCGUAUACAAUUCCCUUUGUCAAUCGGUACGUUACUUGCCCGAGAUUCGAUCGUCGGUAUCCCAAUACCUUGUUUGCAAUCUCGUUACCAGCAAGUCACUUUACUCGUACCGUAAUGCAUGAUCUCGUGGCUAACUCCUUAGUCACAUUGAGCUCAUUAUGAUGAUGCAUUACCGAGUGGGCCCAGAAAUACCUCUCCGUCAUACCGAGUGACAAAUCCCAGUCUCGAUCCGUGUCAACCCAACAGACGCUUUCAGAGAUACCCGUAGUGUACCUUUAUAGUCACCCAGUUACGUUGUGACGUUGGGUACACCCAAAGCACUCCUACGGCAUCCGGGAGUUACACGAUCUCAUGGUCUAAGGAAAAGAUACUUGACAUUGGAAAAGCUCUAGCAAACGAACUACACGAUCUUUUAUGCUAUGCUUAGGAUUGGGUCUUGUCCAUCACAUCAUUCUCCUAAUGAUGUGAUCCCGUUAUCAACGACAUCCAAUGUCCAUGGUCGGGAAACCGUAACCAUCUAUUGAUCAACGAGCUAGUCAACUAGAGGCUUACUAGGGACAUGGUGUUGUCUAUGUAUCCACACAUGUAUCUGAGUUUCCUAUCAAUACAAUUCUAGCAUGGAUAAUAAACGAUUAUCAUGAACAAGGAAAUAUAAUAAUAACCAAUUUAUUAUUGCCUCUAGGGCAUAUUUCCAACAGCCGUGACCCAUGAACUAGGAGAAGAGCGACGGCGGCAGCAACUAGGUUAGGAGCGUGGCGGCGAUGCUCGAAGUAGGCAGGGAAGAACCUGAUAGCAUGACGAAGACUAGCGCGGACGGUGAUGUUCCUGCUCCUAGGAAGGCGGUGCGGCGCACACCAUACAGAAGUCAACGCGCGUGGAUGGCAAAGUGGACCGCGUGUCGCGAUGCUAUGGCCCGAAGGGCCGACGCAGCGGCAGCACGCAGGUUGGAAUACCUUAGGGCGGCAGAGACCGCAUGCAACGCUCGCUACGACCCGAUGGGGCGAUGCAAUGGCAGCCCGAGGGUUAGUGCAAUCACGGGAACGGCCUGGAGUCGACGGUCUUGAGGCGACGGUGGACCGCGGGCCACGGCACUACGGCCCGAAGGGGCGACGCAGCGCCAGAGCGGAUCGAUACAGCCGCGGGAGAACCAUGGACCGAUGGACAACUAGCUAGCUAGCAGUAGCAGUAGUUAGCGGCAGCAGGGCUAACGCAAAUAACCGAAGAUCUUACAUACAGGCAGCAAGGUCUGCUUACCUUGUAUUCUAUGUGGCGAGCUUAUCAACUACACCUAUGAUCACAUCGAUCACACCAAUAAAACAACGCUACAAAUCAGGACGAACUGGAUGAUGAGAUGAAGUUCUUCAUCCAACACAACCCAAACUGCGAGGAGCCUUGCCUGAUGCCUAGUUUUAAACCCGUCUAGGAGUGCUCUAGGCAACAAUUAACUUCUUUCUUCGCAUGCAUCCAGUGAACUGUAAAUUUCUUGAACCCUCCCUUUAUACAUAACAUACCACUUGUACUAGCAUGACAAAAGAGCAAAAAUUCAAGCAGCAAGCAAUGUAGCAGCAAUAUACAUGAAACAAAUGAAACUUAGGCAUGCAUGAUUAUAAGGCAGAGCAAGUUCAUCCUAGCUACUAUGCUGUCAUCCUACCACCAGAUUCAAAAGAAGGUGUAAUCCUACCACCGCAAGUUUGCCAUCAGCUUGAGGGGUUAGUAUAUACCACUUCAUCAAAAUAUACAGGCCAACAUCAGUGUUCACGGUCUAACUACCACAAAAUGUACAUCAUCAUCGUCAUCACCAUCGCCACCCUCGUCGAGUAUCAUGCACGCUAUCACCACCUCUACUGGAAACAACACUAGUGGUAGUGCUUGUCCAGCCAGGUCCUGAACCAAAGCACUCUAUGGACGCCUGACAUGCAACAAACCAUUUGAUAAACUGCCUUUUGCUACAUUUGAUGAACUAAAUCUAACAUUGUAUCAAAUGAACUGAAGAUUUGCUCGUUGUUGCAAAUCUGUAUGUAGUUUUAACAUUGUUCAAGACUGAAAUGUGAAUGUGAAAACUGAUACAAAGCUAGCACUGAUGUAUAUUCAGGCUAGUUUACACAUGGACAGUGAAAUCUAUAUGUAUAUAGCUAGUUCGCACUUAUGUAUGUUCAAGCUAGUUUGCGCAUAGACAGUGAAAUCUGGGUGUGGGGAUGAGAUUGUGUAGGGUUCGGUGUCGGGAACGAGCAAAACGAUAGAUGAUAAGAACGAGCUGGGAGGGUUCACUACCUCGCGACCUCGGGACGCCUCAGCCUUGUACAGAAAAAUGACUGAGCCGUGCCACUGCCACUAUUCUGUGUAUUAACGUCUGCCAUUGCAAGAAAUGCGCCAGCGCACGCACGCUGAUCCGAAAUGAUACAACCUAAGAGCUAAUAUCAGUGAUCUGGACUUUGAGAAGAAAGACAAACCUCCCCAAACAGCGACCGCGUCGCCCCCNNNNNNNNNNNNNNNNNNNNNNNNNNNNNNNNNNNNNNNNNNNNNNNNNNNNNNNNNNNNNNNNNNNNNNNNNNNNNNNNNNNNNNNNNNNNNNNNNNNNNNNNNNNNNNNNNNNNNNNNNNNNNNNNNNNNNNNNNNNNNNNNNNNNNNNNNNNNNNNNNNNNNNNNNNNNNNNNNNNNNNNNNNNNNNNNNNNNNNNNNNNNNNNNNNNNNNNNNNNNNNNNNNNNNNNNNNNNNNNNNNNNNNNNNNNNNNNNNNNNNNNNNNNNNNNNNNNNNNNNNNNNNNNNNNNNNNNNNNNNNNNNNNNNNNNNNNNNNNNNNNNNNNNNNNNNNNNNNNNNNNNNNNNNNNNNNNNNNNNNNNNNNNNNNNNNNNNNNNNNNNNNNNNNNNNNNNNNNNNNNNNNNNNNNNNNNNNNNNNNNNNNNNNNNNNNNNNNNNNNNNNNNNNNNNNNNNNNNNNNNNNNNNNNNNNNNNCGGACUGGCGGCGCCCGCCCAGCACAGAUCUGGGCCCUUCGGGCCCCAUCUGGGCCGGGAUGGGCCGGCGACAGGCGUGGCGUCGGCGCGGCUCUCGGGAGGCCGUGGCGGUGCGUCGGGCUGGUGGCGGGUGGCGGCUCGGCUGCCGGCGUGCAACAGCGCGGUGGCCAGAGCUUUGCGGUCCCGAUAUGGUCCCGGUUAGGCCCGGGUGGCUCGGUUUGUCUCGGCUGCGACAUCAGGUCGGCAAUCCGCGUUGGUGCAGGAGGCAGAGGCCUCCGGCUCAACGACGGUGGAGGCGGUUCCCUCCCGUUCGGCUCCGGUGCUUCUGUCCGUGCCAUCUAGGCACAUCUUGCCUCUGCUCUCUUGACCUCGUGGUGGUGUUCGCAGCCAGACGGCGUGGAUGGGUCCAAGACCGUCGUGGCGCGUGCUUGCGGGUGGCAAGAUGGUGGGCUGGCUCCGUUCUAGUGGGUGCUGGGGCAUGGGGUGUGGGAGAAAUCCUUGCCGGCUUUUCCGGCUUUGACACCGUGACGCCGGUGGGUGCCGCCAUUACUUCUGAAGGGCGUCGGUGCUACCCAUCCCCCGCUCCCCUUCUGCGUGCCGGGGAAAACCCUAGAACUUUUCCGGGCAGCAGCGUCGUUGGCGUCGUAUUCCUUUUUGGAGGUGUUGUUUGAUACGCAGUGCCAUGGCAAGUGGUGGAACGUAGAUGGAGAGUUUAGCGGUGGCGGGCCAUCUGUUCUUGUCGAGCUGCCUUGUUGGCAUUUUUUGUCUUUUUCUUUUUACUUUUGGGCUUGAUGUGCCGUUCGCCCCGGGCAGUUAUCUUAUGAUCGUUGUCCCUUCUUUAUAAUAUAAAGCGGGGGGAAUACUAUUUCGUUAGAUGAUACAACCUAAAUACAAACUGGAAUACACCGCAGGGCAUUGAUCAAUGUGCUAACGAACGGUGGCGAUUUCAGGAUCAUAUGAGCCUAGGCUCGGAAUUUGAUAUUUGGUCUAUAUCCUACAACUAUGUGAAAUAAUGCAGUUGGAAAAUAAAAAUUUUGAGUUUACAAAUAAUGUCUUCCUUGCAAAUAAAUAUUUACCAUUCCAUAACUAUAUAUCACUAGUAGACUGUGCGUUGCCACGGGCCAACAAAUGAAUUUACUAAGAAAACACUCUCACCCUAUUUUUAUAUAUGAUAAAGCAACAAUCAACAUACACGCAACAACGUACAACAACCUAAUUGACUAAAAUGCCCCCCUCCUUAAAUUUCACAUCGGCAAUACAUGGCAACAUUCCCCCUCAAGUAGCUCUCGUCGGUCUUGAUUGUCUAUGUUUCUUUACUAACUUAUUCGUAAGAGAACUAUUCCAUCCAAAUGUAGGAUGUACCCACUCUCUAAAGAAAAAUAAGACUUUAUAGCUUCACAAAGGGAGCAUUUCUUGUUUUUUAUUGAUAAUACACUACUAGGGAAAAGCCUAGCAGUAGCGCGGGUUUUUGGCCUAUCAGUAGCGCGGGGUGCCGCGCUACUGAUACGGCGCUACAGCUAAAGUUUAGCAGUAGCGCGGGCUUACACACGCUACUGCUAUACGUACUUAGUAGUAGCGCGUUUUGUAGAAAACACUACUGGUAAUUUCUAGCAGCGCGCCUUUGUGCCCGCGCUACUACUAUUAUUGCUACUACUAUUAUUGCAUAUUCUAUUUUCUUUUUCUUUUUAUGUCAUAUUCAUACACCAUUAUACAAGUUUUCAUACAGUAGCAAUUUAGAGAUUGUUUUUACAUCAUAAUCAUCAUAUCAUCAUCAUUAUCAUCAUCUCAUUAACAACUUAUCAUCAUAAUACAUCAUUGUCAUAUAACAACUCCUCAUAAUCAUCAUUGUCAUAUAACAACUCCUCAUGAUCAUCAUCAUCAAGUCUAGCUAACACAUUGUAGCACAUAAUAACACAUUGUACCUAAGACCUACUCCUCUUUUAUAGGACCUACUACCUUCUCUUAGGUAAAAUAACAUAAAACAAGAUAGGCCCCGACUCUUCAUUAUGCAGAAUGGAGAUUAUCCUGUCUCCAAUUCCUGCGCUUCGCACAAUAUUGCUUCCAAUUAGCUGCCUACGAUUGACCAUACAUUUUUUCCAAUAUUUGAUUGCCAUGUCUCCAUCGGUUUUAGAAAUCCAGUAUGAACAAGAGUGAUUCAUCGGAUGACCUGGCCGUAAGUUCAAAACAUCAAGGCGACCAUUCGGAAACAUCAUAUGAGGCACACAAUCCUUUGGGAUUUUCUAUUGAAAAACAUAUUAAUAACUUCGUAGUUAGCAAUGUAGUUGAGUUUUAAAAGAAUUUAUGCAAAAGAUGCACAGAUGUCGUAAUAGUAAAAAAUCUUACCAUGACAUCUCCAUGGAUGUUACCGUAGUUCAACACGUGCACUAGUGGCACGUAUUGACCAUAAUGUGGAGGAGUUUGAUAAUAGAUAUUGUAAUUCUCAAGAUCAGUAAUAAAUGAGAUUAGGUGAUUUUUUCUCCUGAUAGGUUAAUUCUGAGCCAUCGGUAUAGUAGGUUCUGUCUACCAUCUUCCACACAUUCUUUGAAGAAUGAAAAUAAGCUAUCAAUGAAAAUAAGCUGUCAACUAUUUUGAAAUAAACAAUAUAAAUUACUUAAUAACUAUGUUUGAGAAACUCACAUGGCGGUAGAAUUGGAAGCGUAUCAACAAGGACCCAAAUGUCCAUAUUGUCUUGGGCGAUGUCAGGAUCGCCAAGAUCCAUGGUGACAAGCAUACCCUCAUGAAAAUCAUACAUCUUGCAAAGUGCUUCCCAAUUCGGGCAACCAAAAUGGAUAACGCUCUAAGAAUUGUCUAGAUUUACAUCAAGAUCCAUACCAUGAUGGGUCCUUAGGUGAAUUAUCUUUGUUUCCAUACUUUCAUGAUCUUCUACAUCCAUCCUCUCCAAGACAUAGGGUCUUGCAUGGCAUGGGAUAAGCUAGUCGAAUUGUAAAAGACGAAAAUUACACGUUGAAGUAGCAGAAGUCGUGCUUAAUUAUGAAAAAAACACUUGUCGUCAUUGCGUACCGUUUCAACAUCGAAGGUCUCCUGGAGCUUAAUGCCGAAGUGUCGUGGUUGUGAUAGUUUGAGAAGUAACAUAUUUAAGGUGGUAGAAACCCUGUUCGCGGAGCGACGUGGGACUAAAUUUAGGUGCAAGGAGUGGAGUAAACUUAGCAGUAGCGAGCAUUAUCAAAAGGUGCUACUGCUAAGAUAAAUAGCAGUAGCGCUGUUUGGAAUAAGGCGCUACCGCUAUAACUAGCUUGGCGGUGAGGUCGUGGCAAUUAUAGCAGUAGCACGGCUUAGUACAGGCGCGCUACUGCUACUUAUUUCAGCAGCGCAUUUUGCCGGCACGCGCUACUGCUAGAUAGCAGCAGCGCUUUGUUUUAAUGCGCGCUGGUGGUAAUAUUCUGUGUAUAAGGUUUUCCCUAGUAGUGAUAUAGUACAAUAUUAAAGUGGCCUCGUACAUGUAGAGCUAGGAGUUUACCAUACAUGCUAUGCCUUUAUAUGUGUAUCAUUUCUUCUACCUAUUAUUGAACAUGCGACACAACAAGUCCUCCUCAUAAAGAAAGUUGUAGUGAUAAUUAUUCUCAACAGAGGGAGUAUCUCCAAAACAUAAUGUGUUUUUAUGUAAGGUGUGUAUUGCAUAGCACAAGUAGAAAUUAUAAUGUGAUUAUAGGCGGCCAAAUCACGAAUAAAAAGAAGGGACAUGCCCCCAUCCAAACAUUACUACCCCACAAAAAAAGGUUUGGGCAACCGCCGCAGGAUCAUGGUUCUUUUUUUAACAGACUCUGUUGACUUCUGACAAAACUGAGACAAAGUAGUUGCAAAGUGACCUGAUUUCUCUGUACACUGUUUGGUUUCUGCAAGCUGAAUCAUGUGUGGUGUAUUAACUGUGGUGAUUGGUGAUUAUCGCAGAACAGUCAAAUUUGAACAUCAUUGCAAGUAUGCACAAAACGAUGUGUAUCAACAAUAACAUUACAAUUUGAAAAACUGGAAUUAUUGAGUGCAACCUUGGGUGCUAUUUUAAAGGUGUACUAACCCAAUUCUUUUCUAGGUACCUCCAUUCAUUUCUCACAUGAAUCUACUAAAGUAUGUAAGCAAAUUUACAAAUAAUUACUCUACAUAUAGUGAUAUACAUUAUGCAGCUCUCAAAUUCUGCAUUUCUCGUCUGCCGACACAAUGGCUUUGCAUAGGUAUUUUAUCCAUCGCAGUACAUCCUUCAAAAUUUGUGGAGCAACACUAUUCUUAAUUAAAACCUCCAAAAUUGCAAAUUGAUUCCAACUUGAAAAGAAAACUAAAUGGUAAUGACGACUUGCCUUGUGCAGAAACUUCCAAGUUUCUCAAAUACUCCUACUUCAAAAAUUUGAUCAUCUAGCAAACAAAGAUGACAAAGGUCCAUGCAAGGAAUGAGUGCACACACAUCUGGAUAAUACCUAGCCUAUAAGUGUUCAUUCAACAAUAGGAUGGUGUAAACAAUGUAGAUUCCUUAUAAAAGAUCGUAGAAAAUGUUAUAGGCAUGAACAAAAGGUUACGACAAAAGAACCAACAAUGACGGUCCCGGUAUGUAAAUCAUACUCUUCUGAAGGUUGCCCGAUAUGUAUUAAUUGGCAUGGAUUGUUCUCCUUUCAGGAAAGCUUGUCCUUCAAGUUACAUGGUGACGAUCUAACACUCUUAACACAUAGGUGCAAUUACCUGCACCCUUCUUUUCCUUAACAAUGAAUAAAAUUUAAUUACUCAAAAACCAACGAAACCUUUCAAUGGUAAAUUCUUCACCGGCCAUCAGUGCAAUCAGAGACUAUGAGGCGACAUGCUGAAUCAGAAAAGGUGGAGCACUAAUAUGUUUGCAAUAGUGAUUUAACAUGUUGUCAUCAUAUAGUAUGUUCAAAACGAGCCUCGGAACAACCUACCAACAAAUGAAUCCAAUUAGUCACAUCUGUAUUGAGAUAAAAAUCGUAUUUGAUUGUAUUUAAGAUAAUAGAAAGUAUUGAGAGGAGAAGAUAUGAUGUGAUUACUCAUUGAACUGGUGGCCACAUUUAUAUAAUGCAAUUGCGGAAACUUACUCCCACGAGAUUUAUAUCUAAGAUACAGAAAUAGUAUUGAUGACGGGAGAUUUUGUGGGAGUUAUUAUUUAUCUUUGGCACAUUUUAGCUCCCUGAGCAUCAUUGAAGAUUGAACCUUCAACCAUCUAUGAACCAGCCAGUUCCCCUGGUUUGAAGCAACCUGCUAUUUGGCAUUUCUGAUAAUAUAUGUACAAAACAAUGAAAAGAUUUUCCUAGAUAUUUGUAAUACAUAUUAGUUAUUAUUUUCUAAUGAAACAAUAUGUAAGAUAAAGUUUCUUUACGAUGACUAAGUUAUAUGUACAUUGUAGCAGAUACCAACCUUAUUUCUAAGCACACAUAGAAUUGCAUGAUAUCAUAGAUUGUCUGUACAACAAAGUUUUAUAUUGUAUCUGAUGUCUGAUCUCAGUAUUAAUCUCAGAUUACCAGUUGUACUUCUGAAUGAAGUCCCAAGUAAAUUAUUUGAAUCCCAUGCAACAACCACAUGAAAAAAAGCACUCAAGACGAGCUUUAUCUUUAAAUGAUACCACCUCUAAUUCGCUAGAUAUCUUAUUGACCUUGCUUUCUCACACAUGAACAUUGCCAACAAAUACACAUACCUAUGCCAUAUGCACUCUAGCAUCAAAAUGUAUGUUUUGCUAAUCCAAUUGGAGAUGAAAGCAAAAUGUAGAUGAUAGAUUCUUAUUAAUAUCAUCUUAUCCUAUACGUCGAUGCAACAACAUCUUUGUGGCAUUGGUGAAAACUUCCUGCAACAUAAGAUCUUCAUAACACCAAAACAAAGGAAAGCUUCCAAGUGUUUCCAAAUAAAAAAUUUAACAAUCAUUAGAUCAAUUAAAGGAGUAAUCAUUUCAACCCAAGGGGGCCAGAAUGAGGACCCCUUUGUUGUUGAACUCAUUUUUUUCACAAGAAGAAAAAAAAGAAAAGGAACAUAUAUAAGAUAACAAGAAAAUCUGCAUCUCCUGAAAUUUAAUAUACAUAUAGCAAAAAUGUAUGUUAUUUUACCAACACAGUUUGAACAAUUACUUCCUUGGGAUUUCUGAGAAAAAUAUUCCUGUUAGUUUUUCCUCAAGCAAAUAAGAAGAAAUAGUUAGAAAAUUUACAAUAUAUUCAAUCUUAAUGUGACAUGUCCAGGUAUGAUCAUGCAAAUACUAAAGAAAGAAAACAACCCCGCUUAUUCACCAAUCCUAGAACCCUACAACGAAAGUUUCAGGAAAUAAUUACAAAAACCAACAGUUCAUGGAAUUUACACCUGACAUCUACUAUGGUUUUAGAAAUAUUUCAUUAGGGAAAAGGUAGAGGAUGUAUGCAUAUCUUUUGAGCUACUCUCAACCUCUUAAUGUGACAUGUGCAUGUUUGAUCAUUAAAAACACACAUUGGUCAUGCAGACAUUAAAGAAAGAAGAAAAGACCCUAUAACAUUAGCCGAUCAUUAAUGUUGCUACUACACAAUAUCUACUGUGACUUGUUGUUUCUCUUUGUCCCUCCUAUAACAUUGAAAGUGGUUUUUCAAAUCAAAGCUUAAACCAUGAAUGUUGCUUGAAGAACAAAAUUUUGAAUGGACAAAGCAAAAAAAAUUGAAGACCUUGCUGGAUUAACAAUCAGUAAUAUCUAAAUAAGGUCAAAUGAUAUAAGAAGACAUGAGGUCAAAAUAAUCACAGUAAUAGCUCCGAAAGUAGAAGAAUUAUACAAGAACACAUCAGUCAAAUGAUAUAAGAAGACAUGAACAUUGUAGCUUACUGAAGAUCGUCCCACUUUUUCCUGCCUAAAGGUUGGUCAUGAGCUCCUGAUUAAAAGAUGCAAUUAGGAAAUAUGUAUAUAUUUUCUUCGCAGAUCCAAUACCAUCAUCGCUGGUAUAUUAAAUUACACUACAUCAAACACUGGAUGCCUUUGAAAAAUUCACAUUAAAAUUAUCCUAGCUUCUAGACGAACAUGAAGAAUAAAAUUAGUCAUUCGAUUAAAUAGGAUGGUCCUACCUACCUGGCAGUUGGAAUAUAAUUUAUUUUCUUACCCAUUGUUAUAGCAAAACUUACAACAUAAGAAUCAAUUGUUUGUGCAAAUAACUAACUAAAUUCGUUGUUCCGAUAGUUUCUAUUCAUUUUCACUUGUCCGAUUCAAUGAUAAAUCAAUUGGCCAUAUAUCCAUUCAAUAUGAUCGAGGAAGAUAAAUGAAAUUCAACAUCAUCUCUCUUACACAGUAUACCAAAAAAUGUAAUUUAGAGCAUACUAUCGAAGAUGUCAAAUAAGCAAGCAAUUGGCUCACAAUUGAUGAAAGCUCAAUUGGAUAGCCCUUAAUUUGGGUUAUGCAUACACCACUUAUAAGAGCAAAAAAAAGUAUGAAAUAUUGCAUUCGGAAUCAACCAAGUGGGCAUUCAGAGGCAGGGCCCUCUAUUGCCUGAUCACGCGCGUAUGUGUUUGCAUGUGUGUCCGCGUGCACGCGCGCGCNNNNNNNNNNNNNNNNNNNNNNNNNNNNNNNNNNNNNNNNNNNNNNNNNNNNNNNNNNNNNNNNNNNNNNNNNNNNNNNNNNNNNNNNNNNNNNNNNNNNNNNNNNNNNNNNNNNNNNNNNNNNNNNNNNNNNNNNNNNNNNNNNNNNNNNNNNNNNNNNNNNNNNNNNNNNNNNNNNNNNNNNNNNNNNNNNNNNNNNNNNNNNNNNNNNNNNNNNNNNNNNNNNNNNNNNNNNNNNNNNNNNNNNNNNNNNNNNNNNNNNNNNNNNNNNCGCGCGCGCGCGGGUGUGUGUGUGUGUGUGUGUGUGUGUGUGUGUGUGUGUGUGUGUGAGAGAGAGAGAGAGAGAGAGAGAGAGAGAGAGAGAGAGAGAGAUGCAACAUCCACAUGGGUUUUGACCAGCUGUAAUGUAACAUAAACAUACAAAAAGAUUAUUUGCCUUCACAUUGUACAUUUAUCAAAGGAGAACUGAUAACUCCACUACAAAUUAAACUUCUAUAUAAUUUCCAAGCAGGCUUCAAUGAUUAGUUGAUAACAGUUUGAAGUGCCAAACCUUUCCACGCCCAUUCAUAGCUGAAUGUCGAGGUAGACCCAAUGAGCUGCAGCGGCGGCACCAUUCACCAAAAACCCGCAUAGCGUCCCACUAAACAAGGGCAUCUGACAUACUGCCUCCAUUUUUAUAUACAAGGCCAUAAACUCAAAUUACAGGUACAAAGUUAAAAAUUUAAUGCAUACUUGGCAAGCCAAAUUUUCCUUUCGUUUACCGGGAUCAUUAAUACGCAACAUGCAUGCAAGGAAACUGAAUGGAGGAAGUAUCUAGUGUCAUUAUAACUGCAUGCAUGCAGGUAUUAAAUAGGAUGCUAGUACGAGGAAAUAUCAUUAAUUCUUUCCUCGAUUACUGUUGGUGGCCAUGUAUUGAUGUAAAAUGUAUAUUUCAUAGUGGCCUUGUAUAAGUAAAUGAAGGGAGUAGAAAAAAACUUCAUCAACUUUGCAUCUGACAUCAAAGGACUUCUGUUUAGCGGCUAUACAUAGAGUCGCAGAGCAAUUAGCAAAAUAAAACAGCUACUUGAGAAGAAAAAGCUUAGAUUAGUUUGUACAGAAAAUGCCUUGGUGACUGUCUCCAAGUACACUGCAUAGUUUACAUCAUGAAGCAUCCACAUGAGAAGGAAAAACAAACAAACGUAUAACUGAGAUCAUUUACCUAUUAAUAAUUGUUUGACGAACUCCAGUGACCUUAACUGAGAUUAUAUCUGCAUCAUUCUUCUCUUACAAAUGCCCGAUGACCUUCAUGUGGAAGAUACUUGCAUUUGUUUGAAGUAUCCUUGCGUUGUGUGCAUUAACAAACCAGAUUGAAAUAUUCCCUUUUAGCAAUAUACAAUUGUGCUCAACCAAACGGAAAAUAAUAAUAAAAAUGUGGGCAUGCCCAUCAUUGAAACAUUAUAUUGGUGCCUAAUUGUUCGUACUCGCUGUACAGUAGGGUUUACCUUGUCGUGGCCUCACGCUCACCUUAAGAGACAGAAAUCUCGUCAGCAGACCUGGACCUGGACCUGGGCUUACUGAAGAUCGUCCCACUUUUUCCUGCCUAAAGGUUGGUCCUGAGCUCCUGAUUAAAAGAUGCAAUUAGGAAAUAUGUAUAUAUUUUCUUCGCAGAUCCAAUACCAUCAUCGCUGGUAUAUUAAAUUACACUACAUCAAACACUGGAUGCCUUUGAAAAAUUCACAUUAAAAUUAUCCUAGCUUCUAGACGAACAUGAAGAAUAAAAUUAGUCAUUCGAUUAAAUAGGAUGGUCCUACCUACCUGGCAGUUGGAAUAUAAUUUAUUUUCUUACCCAUUGUUAUAGCAAAACUUACAACAUAAGAAUCAAUUGUUUGUGCAAAUAACUAACUAAAUUCGUUGUUCCGAUAGUUUCUAUUCAUUUUCACUUGUCCGAUUCAAUGAUAAAUCAAUUGGCCAUAUAUCCAUUCAAUAUGAUCGAGGAAGAUAAAUGAAAUUCAACAUCAUCUCUCUUACACAGUAUACCAAAAAAUGUAAUUUAGAGCAUACUAUCGAAGAUGUCAAAUAAGCAAGCAAUUGGCUCACAAUUGAUGAAAGCUCAAUUGGAUAGCCCUUAAUUUGGGUUAUGCAUACACCACUUAUAAGAGCAAAAAAAAAGUAUGAAAUAUUGCAUUCGGAAUCAACCAAGUGGGCAUCCGGAGGCAGGGCCCUCUAUUGCCUGAUCACGCGCGUAUGUGUUUGCAUGUGUGUCCGCGUGCACGCGCGCGCGGGUGUGUGUGUGUGUGUNNNNNNNNNNNNNNNNNNNNNNNNNNNNNNNNNNNNNNNNNNNNNNNNNNNNNNNNNNNNNNNNNNNNNNNNNNNNNNNNNNNNNNNNNNNNNNNNNNNNNNNNNNNNNNNNNNNNNNNNNNNNNNNNNNNNNNNNNNNNNNNNNNNNNNNNNNNNNNNNNNNNNNNNNNNNNNNNNNNNNNNNNNNNNNNNNNNNNNNNNNNNNNNNNNNNNNNNNNNNNNNNNNNNNNNNNNNNNNNNNNNNNNNNNNNNNNNNNNNNNNNNNNNNNNNNNNNNNNNNNNNNNNNNNNNNNNNNNNNNNNNNNNNNNNNNNNNNNNNNNNNNNNNNNNNNNNNNGAGAGAGAGAGAGAGAGAGAGAGAGAGAGAGAGAUGCAACAUCCACAUGGGUUUUGACCAGCUGUAUUGUAACAUAAACAUACAAAAAGAUUAUUUGCCUUCACAUUGUACAUUUAUCAAAGGAGAACUGAUAACUCCACUACAAAUUAAACUUCUAUAUAAUUUCCAAGCAGGCUUCAAUGAUUAGUUGAUAACAGUUUGAAGUGCCAAACCUUUCCACGCCCAUUCAUAGCUGAAUGUCGAGGUAGACCCAAUGAGCUGCAGCGGCGGCACCAUUCACCAAAAACCCGCAUAGCGUCCCACUAAACAAGGGCAUCUGACAUACUGCCUCCAUUUUUAUAUACAAGGCCAUAAACUCAAAUUACAGGUACAAAGUUAAAAAUUUAAUGCAUACUUGGCAAGCCAAAUUUUCCUUUCGUUUACCGGGAUCAUUAAUACGCAACAUGCAUGCAAGGAAACUGAAUGGAGAAAGUAUCUAGUGUCAUUAUAACUGCAUGCAUGCAGAUAUUAAAUAGGAUGCUAGUACGAGGAAAUAUCAUUAAUUCUUUCCUCGAUUACUGUUGGUGGCCAUGUAUUGAUGUAAAAUGUAUAUUUCAUAGUGGCCUUGUAUAAGUAAAUGAAGGGAGUAGAAAAAAACUUCAUCAACUUUGCAUCUGACAUCAAAGGACUUCUGUUUAGCGGCUAUACAUAGAGUCGCAGAGCAAUUAGCAAAAUAAAACAGCUACUUGAGAAGAAAAAGCUUAGAUUAGUUUGUACAGAAAAUGCCUUGGUGACUGUCUCCAAGUACACUGCAUAGUUUACAUCAUGAAGCAUCCACAUGAGAAGGAAAAACAAACAACGUAUAACUGAGAUCAUUUACCUAUUAAUAAUUGUUUGACGAACUCCAGUGACCUUAACUGAGAUUAUAUCUGCAUCAUUCUUCUCUUACAAAUGCCCGAUGACCUUCAUAUGGAAGAUACUUGCAUUUAUUUGAAGUAUCCUUGCGUUGUGUGCAUUAACAAACCAGAUUGAAAUAUUCCCUUUUAGCAAUAUACAAUUGUGCUCAACCAAACGGAAAAUAAUAAUAAAAAUGUGGGCAUGCCCAUCAUUGAAACAUCAUACUGGUGCCUAAUUGUUCGUACUCGCUGUACAGUAGGGUUUACCUUGUCGUGGCCUCAUGCUCACCUUAAGAGACAGAAAUCUCGUCAGCAGACUCGACACGUGUAACAGUCGCCUGCAACCACGCUUGUCUUGCGGAGCAUCUGCUCUUCGAGGCUCAAGAUUUCGUCCACGUAGACGGUCUAGUCGCUAGACAUGCUCCCUUGAAUGGAGCCUUGCCUUCACGUUCUUUAUGGAUGGCGGAGUGGUUGCACCGAAGUGGCAGAUGCGGAGGAACAAACGGCAUGCGCGAGAUCUAGUGGGCAUCACGGUGGCAAAGCGCCAGAACUAGCAGCCGUCCCGGGGGGCGAUGGGCGGGUGGUGCUGCGAACGGCGCCGGCGCUAACCCUAGUGUGCCGCCAGUUCGGCCCUGCGAUUGCAGUUGGUGUUUUUUUUCAAGNNNNNNNNNNNNNNNNNNNNNNNNNNNNNNNNNNNNNNNNNNNNNNNNNNNNNNNNNNNNNNNNNNNNNNNNNNNNNNNNNNNNNNNNNNNNNNNNNNNNNNNNNNNNNNNNNNNNNNNNNNNNNNNNNNNNNNNNNNNNNNNNNNNNNNNNNNNNNNNNNNNNNNNNNNNNNNNNNNNNNNNNNNNNNNNNNNNNNNNNNNNNNNNNNNNNNNNNNNNNNNNNNNNNNNNNNNNNNNNNNNNNNNNNNNNNNNNNNNNNNNNNNNNNNNNNNNNNNNNNNNNNNNNNNNNNNNNNNNNNNNNNNNNNNNNNNUGGAAGAGGAGGUCGGCGGCGAGCUUGGGGGGAUCGUGGAGCAGGAGGAAGAUGGAAGUGGGGAGGAGGACGAUGGAUGUAGCGAAUAGAUCGAGGGGAGGCUCGUUCCCGUCCGUGUUCGAGAGAUUGAUCGUGAUUGAUUUUCUCACUAAAAACAUUAGUAAAUAAUUUACGCCAGCAUGGAAAGCUCUGAUCCGUUCAGAUUUUUUUCGUUGUGUGAGAGGUUGACACGAAAAUAAACCAGUGGGGGUGGGAGGGGACAAAAAAACUAGCGAAAAAAAGGUUCAAAAUGGUGGGACGAAAAUAAACCGUGGAGUCUAUUCACCAACUCUGACAUUAGAAGUAGAGAUAACUAGUGCUUCCUAAAACCACAACCUCUCCAUUCGAUGUCACAUAACCAAUGCACGGGGUACAAACUCCCUCACUCGAGGGGCAACGAACAUAGCUUAGAUGGUUAGUUUUCUUUUUGUUUUUGUUUUUUAUAGACCCAGUCUAUUAGGGUUUAAGUCUAAGACUUGUCACUGGUGCUCGCUUUUUUUAAGAUUUAUUUUACACUUUUUAGUGAUGUUCGUUCACUAGGGGAAGAUGUUCUCAUCGACUACGAGGCGUCUGUAAUGACUUCAUCAAUUUUAAGAGGUUGUGCUGCUCAAUAUUUCGAACAUGCCGUCGAUUACAAGACGACUGUAAUCACUUCGUCAAUUUCAAGAUAUUGUAUUGGCUCAGUAUAUUAAAGGUGCUUUUAUAUAUAGGGUUAGCUUAAAAACAAAAACAAAAAACUUGGUGUGCGUGCUACGGACUUACGCGAAUUGCCAACAGCGAACAGCCACCUACUCGCACUCGGUAAGGAAGCACAACAAAAUGCUGGGAUCAGGCGUGAAAACGUGACCGCGUCACUCCCGGUACUCCCACAGCAACGUAAAAAGCGGUCGAACCGAGCAGGGGAAGCCACCUCGCAGUCGUACCAAUCCAACGCACCGCACCCGAGUCUCCCGUCUGAGAACCCAACCCCACUCCAUGUCUGCGCCAAUGCCAGGGCCGGAGGUGUUCGACGUCGUCAUCUUCGGAGCAUCGGGCUUUACCGGCAAGUACGUCAUCCGCGAGGCCCUCAAGUUCCUGCCCCCCAACGCCUCCCCGCUCCGCACCCUCGCGCUUGCCGGCCGCAGCCGGGAACGCGUCGCCGCCGCGCUCAGCUGGGCCGCCUCGCCGGGGCCCGUGCCCGACGUCCCCAUCCUCGUCGCCGAUACCUCCGACCCAGCCUCUCUCGCCGUGGUCACCGCGCGGGCGCGCGUCCUGCUCUCCUGCGCGGGGCCCUUCCGCCUCCACGGCCGCCAGGUGGCCGCGGCCUGCGCGGAAGCAGGGGCCCACUGCCUCGACAUCUCCGGCGAGCCCGAGUUCAUGGAACGCGUCGAGGCCGACCUCCACGAGGUCGCCGCCAAGAACGGGUCGCUGAUUGUCUCCGCGUGCGGUUUUGCCUCCACCGUCGCGGACCUGGGGUUCUUGUUCCACUCCAGGCAGUGGACGCCGCCGUCAGCGCCGGUGAGCGUGGUCGCGUAUGUCAACCUGGAGUCGUCGGACAGAAAGAUCGUCGGGAACUUCGCCACGUUUGAGUCGGCCGUUCUCGGGGUGGCCAACACCAGCCAGCUGCAAGCGCUGCGCCGAUCCCGGCCGAGGCCCGCGAAGCCCAGUGUGAGUUACUAAUGUUCUUACAUUUCACUUUUCAAAUUGAUGAUUUACUUAUUUUACAGAUACUAUAAAAACCUUAGUUUAAAAUAGCAAUCUGUUGAGAUGGUAAUGACUCAUGAGGGAUUUUUUCUUUUGCGGGGGUUUGAUUCAUGAGGGAAUUAACAGUACCCAUCAUAUAAACUUUUUUCCCCACACGGUACCCAUCAUAGAAACUAAUAAAUCGAUCACCUAUUAACGUAAUGCGGAAUUUCCUUUUAUUUAUUUACGAGAACAAUUCUUGUACUGCUCAAAGUUUAGGAUUACAAUCACGUCUGACAUUGUCAUUGACGUCCUCUGGACCCACUCCUAGCCAAACAGCCGUACGACUGUUGGAUCUACCUAUCUAUCAUAGUUCACCAUAAAAUGACUAGCAAAAUUAAAACUACGACGUCUGUGAGUAAUACAAGAAGUAUGUUCUUCGAUCAACUUCUUGAUCACCACUACCAAGAAGGCAUAUCUUGAUGUAUUGCUGAUUGAGCUCUUAAUCAUUGCUACUGCCUCCAAGCAAUUGGACUCAAUGUUCACGGGCAAAGUGCUCCACUGUAACACCAGUAAAAGUUCCUCUGAAAUACUCGCUUUGUCAGGAAUUACUUAUCGUAGAAAUGGAUAAAAAUGUAUGUAUCUACAAUUAAAAUAUAUCUAGAUAUAUUCAUUUCUCUGACAAAUAAUCCCUAAUGAAGGGCGUAGCUAAUAAUUCUGCUUCCAGAGCAUUGAACACUCGAAGAGCUGACUAGAAGAAUAGAAAAUAAGGGCACCAGACUGGUCACGUAGAAUCAUACAUGUUCCUCCAUCACCAUUCAUGUACGAGCCAUCAAUGUUCAACUUCACCCUCCCAGGUCCCAGGCCGCGACCAGGUGUGGAGCGACCAGGUGUGGAAAACUGAUCGGCACGUAGUAGCUAUCCAUUUCCCUUUCACAUGGUCGGCAUCUGGCUUAGAGCAUCUCCAGCCGUUCAGCCCCAAGGGCGCCGAAAAAGAGCGGCCUGGGGGCGAACCGGCGCUAGAUCGGCCCCUGAGGCGACCUAGCUCCCAGUAACGCCCCCAGGCGCCGCCCCCCAACCCGCGGCAAAUUCAAAUGUAGUCAUUCCUGCUCACAAAAUAGACGCCACAAAUUCGGCGAUCAUGCGGCCACAGUUCGGCAAUCGAAUGAAUGCGCGUGCAGCACAUCAGACGGCGAGGUCGGCCUCCGGCGUCGGCGUACGCAGGCUUGGCGGGGUCGGAGCUUCUUCUGUACUGGGCGGCGUCGGCGUGGCUUCUGUACUGCGGGGAGUCGUGGAGGCAUCAUCGCUCGGGCUUGGCGGCGGCGUCGGCGUGGGCGUGGGAGUUGGAGGCGCCGUCGACGGCAGCUGGUUCAGGAUGAGGCCCCGCUCGGUCAAGUACCACGCCUUGACAGCCUCAUCGUUGCUCUGGAGCAUGUCCGCCCCGCACAACAGGAAAGCCAGGUCAGUGUUCCUCUUCUUCGCGGCGACGUUGGUCCGGAGUAGGUCGAGCUUGACGGAGCUGCUCGUCAUCAACGCCGACCACCGUGCCUCGGUCUUCUCUUCACGCAGGAUGACCCGGGCAUGCGCAUCGGCGAGGCAAUGCUCGAUGGACUCCUGCACUCGCGCGGUAGCCGCGUCAGCGUGUUUCCCCUUCUUGGCCCCUUUGUUGCCGUCCGGCCGCCCCUCUGACGCGCCCGGCGUCGGCGCGUCCGGCUUGUAGGUCUCCUUGGCCUUGUCGAGGGUGCGCCGGACUUCCGCCCACUUCUCGCACUUGUCAAUGCGCUUGUAAACGUGGAGGUCCUUGAACUCUUGGUCGGCGUUGCCCUGGUGAUACAAGGCAAACAUGCGCACCAGCUGCACGGAGGAACGAACAGUUGGCGGGCGCACACGGUGAAGAGAAAGACUUUCCACGCUUCGGCGAGGCAUUCCUGCUCCUUGGACGCCCACUUGAUGCCCGGCUCGCCGGACCUGGACGCCCCCUUCUUCUUCUUGCGCCUCCUCGCCGGAACAGUCGCCGGCUCGUCCUCCUCCACGUCCUCCUCCUCCUCCUCCUCCUCACCGUAGACGUAGCCGAGCUCGCCAUCCAUGCCGCCGCUGAGAUCCACCGUGUCUUCCAGGGUAGCGAACCCGGGGGACGCGGCGGCCACGGCCGAGCCUGCCGCGAUGAUGUCGUCCAUGUCAGCGUCGGUCUCAUCGGUGUCGCCGAGGUGCGACGUAGAAGCUUGCGAGAAGGGCAGCGCGCCACGGCGGAGAGGGGGCGUUGGGGAGCACGCGUACGCCUGCGGCGAGUAGGUGUAUGGCGGGUACUGCACGCCGGCGAAGGCGGGCGAGGGCGUGCGCUGGGCCGGGUGUCCAUGGGGGAAGGUGAUGUUGGGGUUGAACACACCGUGCGCGUCCCCGUCGGCGUAGCCCGGCGACGGCGUGCAUCCCCAUGGCUGCGGCGAUGACGAGAAGCCGGACGGAGAGCCGACGCUUUGCUGGCUCCACGGUGCGUACUGGGCGUGGCCGCCGGGUGGGUUCAUCAUCCUCACGCGAGUCGCCUCGGCCUCGGCUUGGUCCGCCGCCGCCACAGCGGCACGCGCCGCGUUGUCACGGGCCUUCUUGGCGAUUGCCCUGUUCCGCCGGUCGGCAGUGACAGCCUCCCGUCGCUUAACUUCCGCCCUCCACUCGGCCUUUGUCAUGCCCGGUGGCCUGGGCGACGGCGCCCUCGCCUUCCUCUGCUUCGGCUGGGUGACGGAGGCGGUCGCGGUGGUCGCAGCGCGGGGGAUCACGUACUUCUUCGGCGGCAUGGCGAUGGCUGGGAGGCGAGCGGGAGGGAGAUUGCCAGGAGGAAUGGAGAAAAUGGGAGGGAAAUGGGGAAAAUCGGGAAGAAACGGCGGGAAGAGGCGCUCGACUCGCCGACAGAGCGGCCCCACGCCCCUUUUCGCUUGUGCCGGCGCCCCCAGGCGCCCCAGCGCGCCGGGUUUGGCUCGGGUCCGUCGGCACCAGUUUCGGCCCGAGCCGGCGAAAAACGGGCUGCUGGAGGCGCGACUGGGCCGUUUUUUGGGCGCCGGCGCGGCAGAAACUCCUGGGGAGGGCCUGUUGGGGGCGCGGCUGGAGAUGCUCUUAGCCUCGAUCAACUGAGGAGUAGCUAGGUAGCUCGACAAAAAUCUGACUGAGACUCUGAACUGAGAAUACAACGGUUUUUUCACGGGCCCAGGCUAAAAAAUCCUCACCAAGAUGGAAUGAGGGCCUGAUGUUGCAUAUCUCAUGAAUAUCCGUUGGUAAGAAGAACAUCCGAAGUUUGUUCAUAUCCUAGCAACCAUUGAAGUCUAGCAACUCUGAGAUCCGUUUGAAACUGCAUCUCCCUUUAAUGAGUAUUUAACAUAAAACUAACAGUUUACUUGUUGGUGUCCCACUGAACUACCAUUUUGAAAACGUCAGCAAACAAUUACAACUUUAAGCUAAUAUCGUUGCAAGGCACUAUUUGAUGACCGUUUUAGACGAUUUAAACGUGUUUAUGACAGGCGGGACCCACGCGCCAGGGCUGAUGUGGCAGGAAAGUUAACGCCGUUUAGUUUGACCAUUAAGUUAACCGUUAUUAUAGGUGGGGCCACAGGUCAGCAUCAACCUUCUCUCUCCCCCUCCCUCCGUCUCCCCCCCUUCUCUCUCUCUCUCUCUCUCUCUCUCUCUCUGGUAAUUCAACAAACUCUCCUUCCCCUUUAAUGGAUUUCAGGCCACCAGUAGGUUCUCGUGCUACCCAACGGUCAUGCCAAAUAUGUAAUUUAUGAUCACCUCCCAAAUGGAUGAUGGAUUACCUAAAAAAAAAUGUGUCCUCAAGUGGAUGCGGAAUUUCCUUAAUCUGCCUAUUGAAUUUCAACUAAAGUAUAGUCGGGUGUGCUACAUUUCCUCAUGAUGAAAUUAGUUUAGCUCGAGUUAGAAUAGACAGGAAGUCCCGUCCCAGGUAUGCCAGUGUUGUUCUGUUAGUUACCAUAAAACUGGAACUUUCUAUAUUAUAAAAUCCAGUUAUCCGUCUCUCAGAACAUUUGGAGUUUCUUCCGAAGUGCCAAUUUGGACCAUAUACAAGGAUGUAUGUACUAUGUGUGCUGAUAAUAGUAUUGGUUGGUGUGUUUUGUCAGCUGUCACUAUUCAAGUUGCAUCCUUCAUUGUCUAAAACUUACUAAAACUGAAGUUUUAUGACUAAGCGCCCUAAGCAUGAGCAUUUUCUUCGUUAAGUUGUAUGGCAGUAUCCUUUGUGAUCAUAUUCCUGAUCAAGAUGCAGUUGAUAUCUUAAAAACAUUUGCCAUUCAGAAAAUCCCAACUUGUAUAUUGAAUGGAGCAAAAGGCUAAAAGGUAUUGGGAAAUAAACAUCAAUGUGGUGUUACCAGAUAUCUUUCCUACGUAUAAAGAUUGGAGUUGGUGGUGAGUCCACAUAUGGGUCCAACAUCCUUUUCAAAUAAAUAAAUAAAUACACGUAUCCCCAAAUAUGGAAUUAGCAACCUUCCAAGAGGCAUAUAAACAAAUGUACUUUACUCAUACUACCUCCAUUCGGGUUUAUUAGUCCCUUUCGUAUUUUGUGCCCAACUUUGACCGCAGGUUUGCUUAAUGAAAUAGAAGUUGUAUGUCACAAAACUUAAGUUGUUGGAUUCAUAUUUGAAAGAGGUUUUCAAUGAUACUUUUUUAUGGUAUAUAACUUAUUUUUUAUAGUUAAAUCAAAGGUCAAAGUUUGACUCAAAAUACGUGGGGGGCUAAUAAACCAGGACGGAGGUAGUAUGUGACAUCUAUCAGAAAGAAACAUAUACACUACUUUUAUGUGAGACCCACUUUUUUUUGUAAAAGGCACAAAUAACAAAGAUAAAAUGUGACUUCAACUAAAAAUCGAUCUUGGUUUUAGAUCUCUUCCCAAUCUACUAUAGUCAUUUAAAAUUCUCUAACGCUGCAUAUCUCUCACCGUAUUUUUGCUAAAUUUUCUAAUCGUAAAUCACACAACGGUCAUAAAGAACACUAACAUUAUUUCACCACCUCCAAGCCAAUGGUCACGUGGCAAUGCACGGGCAUCUUGAUAGGUUAUUGGAUAUUUUCAUCUUAGUAACCCCGACGAAAGUAAGAGGGGGUAGUGUUGGAAAAUGCUUUGUGUAGACAAAGAAAAAUGGCUUGGCGGUGUUCUGAAUUCAAGUUAGGUCUGAUAUUUUUAACUGUUCUUGUCUUUGUUGUGCUAGAUUGGGCAUGGCAUAUAGAAUCUUCAAUAUCUUUUAAAGUUAUGUAAUUAUUCAUAAUUAAGAAAUCCUUGCAAAAAAUGUCCACCACAUUUGUUAUAGCCCUGAAUCCCUGAAUCCAAUGUGUGCAAUUAUGACAAAAUAUUUUUUUUGGAUAAUUAUCACAUUUGACGUUAAGAUUUCUCUCUAUGUGCAGAUUCCGGGUCCUCCGCCUCCCAAAGGAUCCUUGAUGAUUGAGCAUGACAAGGCACUAGGACUGUGGGCCAUGAAGUUACCUUCUGCUGACACAGUGGUUGUGAAGAGAACACUAGCAAAUGUGACAGAGCAUCCCGAGGGCCUUCCUUGUGCGGAUGAAACCUCAGAUUUUGAGAAGCAUAGGAAGGAGUUCUGGUCCUCUAUCAAACCUGCGCAUUUCGGUGUGAAGAUCGGCAGUCGUUCCAUCCUGGGCCUUGUGUGGUGCCUGUCGACUGCAAUUUUCGUCGGCAUUCUUGCGGGUUUCUCCUUCGGCAGGUCUCUCUUGCUAAAAUUCCCUGAGUUCUUCUCCCUCGGGUUUUUCAGAAAGACCGGACCAACAGAAGCGGAGGUCAGCAACGCCUCAUUCAAAACAUGGUUCGUCGGCCGUGGCUACAUCGAUUCGGAGCACGCAUCAGAGUGUGGAAGCAAGCUAGACAAGGAGAUCGUCACCAGAGUUUCGGGGCCAGAGAUCGGGUACAUCACGACAUCGAUCGUCCUCGUCCAGUGCGCCCUCAUCCUGCUGAGCCAGCGAGCCAAUCUGCCGAAAGGCGGGGUGUACACGCCCGGCAUCGUCUUCGGCCCCACGGAUCUCCAGAAGCGCCUCGAGGAAAACGGCAUGUCAUUCGACCUCAUCUCCACGAGGACCAUCCCUUCAGAUGAAUAUGCUCAUGCUUCCUAAACUACAUUUCACCUAAAUGUCUAGCAGGCUAGCAAUGAUCAUGGCUUUCCGAAUAAACAUGCAGUUGUCAUGUAUGAAGUAAACAGUAUCACUAGCAGACAUGAAAAGCAAGAAUAAGAUGUGCUCAUGUAAGGUGAAUCGUAUGUCUCCGUGAAAUAUGUAAUAAGCAUGUAAUCCGUGACUUUGCUUAGUUCUGUAAAAGUGAAGAAAUGUUGUCUACGUAAGUUCCAGUUUUCAUAUGAUUAUUACAUGGAACAUGCCAGGGCCAUCUUCUCAAAUUCGGGGCUCCGGGCGAAAAACUAAAAUAGGGCCCAAAUUUUUGAACAAUUCAUGUAACAAAAGAAUUAAUAUGCGUAAUGGAUACUCUCAUUGGAUUACAUGUUCUAUUUUUGAAUAAUUCAUAUAACAAAGUCUCGAGCUGAAGAAGAACAAGAUGGAAACAUGGGUGAUACCACAAUACAACUUCCAGGUAAUGGAUUUUCCAAGUUGCUUGAAUCGUGUACCUUCAUAGUAUGGAAACUGAUAGGAUUUCCUCCUAGUGUUGUAUGGCCUGAUUAUGGAGAGGGAAUCCAUCAACAGGUUAAUUGAGCAGGCAAUAUUAGAUGCGGAUGGAAUAGGGGUCAAAAUGCUCAGGCUUGGAUUCCUAAAUCAUGCAUGUUGACAAAACUCUUCUUGCUUACCCACCAUCGUUUUCACUUUCAGUGAGAUUUUGAUGAAUUUCAAUGAAUAUUAAUAAUUUCAGUGGACAGCAAUAUCUUUACCUUUCGGCCAAAAUAUUCCAGUCAUUUCACUUAUACACAAGAAUACAAAUAUUUUUCAAAAUUUUCAUUUUUUUUUAAUUUUAAGUGAACGUCUUGGUCCUUUGGCCGGAAUGCAAACCGAAAUCACUGAAGUUCAGUAAUUCUGGUAGGUGCUGAAAUAUUUCUGAAAGUUAAAUUUAAAACCACACGCUUAACUCACUCUUUAUACUUUCUUUCACUUGACACUUAGCUUCUGAUCGGGUCAAAAAACAUUCAGAAAUGUUGGCAAAAAACUAUCUAAGGACAACCUUUCGAUUACUCGGACAAGCUAGUGGAACUAAUACGGUUUUUACUAGAAGAAAUACAAGAGUCAGAUGCACUCUUUGCACAAAAAUGGUUAGCGCAAAAUAUUAACCCUCAUAUUCUUGGUCCCAGGAAAAAUAACUCAAUGGAAGUGGUGAAUUAUUUACACAAAAGUAUUCAAAAUUUAGAGUUCGACUUGUUGAUGGAAGUGGCAUAGCAACAACAGUUAUUCUCAAGAGCAUCCGUUUAGAUACAAAGUGGGUGUUUCUCAGUGGAGGCGGUUCUAAGGUAGUACAUGCCACAACUACAGCUUUAUGCGAGAGAGGUGUCCAGGUACCUAUCACCUUGCUACUUUGUUGAUUUCGCAUAGUUGCUCGCUGUUUAUAUGAAUUGGUCUCAUUUCUUGAAAAGGAUGACUAUAAAUAUACGCAAUUUUGUGUAGGUAAUCAUGAACCAAAAGAAGAAAUAUGAAAUUCUCAAACUACAAGUUGCAGAGAGCAGCACUGCCUAUCUGAAAUUCUGCAGUGAUGAAAUACCUCAGGUAAAAGUUACUGAAUGAAAACACUCAAGAAACUUUCUAGGGUGCAGAUAUUGUCAGUGGGGUAUAGUACUACUAGAGAUAUUGGGAAGGAUCGUGAAUGCUUCUAUAAACCUUGCGAAAAUAAUACAUCCAAUGUUUUGUUGAUGGAAAACAGUAGCACAUAUUAUGCUAUAGUGUCAUCGACCAGCAAAUGUCAUGAAAUUACAAUGUAAACCUAUGUGGCUAGCAUAUAUAUUGUAGGAACAAACACUCUGAGAAACAAUAUAUUCAAUGAUUACUUCUUCACUGCUACAGACCUGGAUAGGCGAUAUCAUAGAUGAUAAGCAACAAAUGGGGGCAAUUUACAUCACAGUUUCUCCUUAAGAAGGCACACAAGGAUUGCACAUACAUGAGUAACCCUGCAAUGAGAAGAUCCCAAAGGCAAUGCGGAACAUCCACACUAGUGAGGCAUACUAGCAAUAUAUUCUCAUUAUUAGCUGAUUCUGGAAAUCUCCAGAAAAGCGAAAUAGGAUGAUUUGAUGUCCAUAAUCUGAUAGACACUGACAUGUGUUGCUACUCGCUUUAUGAAUAGAAUUGGCUUCAAAGAGGGUGAUGAGGGCAUGGCACAUUGCUGGAGUUGUACAUGCACUAGAAGGUUGGAGCCUCUCCAUGAGUGCGGAGAUGAUAUGAUGGGCACCGCAAAGGUCUGGCCCAUAGCUAUUAAGUGCGGAUUCAUUCCUCUGUAAAAAGCUUUAUUCUUCUGAACCCUCACGUAUAUAUUGCUCAAUAAUGGUGGGAAGUUGAGAUUCAGCAUUAUGGAGUGUCAGAUAAGCUUAUUGGUUACUAGCUUCAUUUGGCAGGAAUGCAUUUCAAUAGAAAGCCCUAAACACGGUAUCAAUAGAAAAAUACUUAGUUGUAUGAGUACAUGAGCCAACUCACAGAAACUCAUUAAAACAUGUGCCGCAUUAUUAGUGAUAGCAUGCUCUAUAACACUGCUAAUAGCACGCUACGGCAUGUAGAGAAUUGUCUCGCUAAAUAUAUCAGUGUACAAUGUCUUGCUAAUAGCGCGCUAUAGAAUAGCAUAAUUUAGGGGGUGGCGCUUUUUUUACCACGGAAAAAAUCAAACUAUGUAUAGGACCUUAUUUUUUUAAUUAUUUUCCUUGUUGGGUACAUGAGCUAUGAUAGUUGUAUACUUUCGGAAUCCACGGAACAAAGCUAAAGGAAAAUUGCACACAAUUUUCAGCCCACAUGACAGGGGUUCUUAAUUCCUUGGGUUAUAAUAGGGCACCAAAAGUUCUUGGACUAAAAUUUGUGGACAUGGCUAGCGGGCGCCCGAGCGCCCACAGGUAGGAACUAGCGCUCAUCUAAAUAUGGAAAAGAGCAGCUGACGCGCACGACCGUAGUUCACUAAAAAAGAAACCAUGUCCUCGCGUGCAUUUAUUUGGGGAUCCAAAAAGUUUAAAAAACUGUAACUUCUGAUUUAAGUGUCGAAAUUCAAUUUCGUUCUCACAGUUGGCUUUCUCGCGAAGAGUUCUUCGAAACUAGAUCUCACAUAGAUAUGUUUCGUUAAACUUUUUUUGAGGCAACUUUGGGUACGAUGGAGGCAACUUUAGUGCUAUAGAAAAGCAACUUCAUUUUUUCCCAGUAGGACAGCCUAUUAGGUUGGUUUGUGUAAAAAAAAUGAGAAAAUCGCACACAACAUGAGGCACCUUUAGUGCUACAUAUGGAAAAGUCUAAGUUUAUCAUUGAUGGGGCUAUUGGAGGCAAAACAAGGACAAUAACUUUCAGAUCGUUAUGCACUUGAGUAUCACAUAAAAAAUAGCAAUUUUGGGGUGUUUUCGCGCAAUUCCAAUGCAUUCAACAAGCAACUCAUGUGUGUUUCCUAUUGGUUGGUUUGUGUAAAAUGAGAAAAUCAAGAAAAUGUGUGCAAGUCCAACUCAUCUUGUGUGUGUAUGCAACUAUAUACAUCUGUGUAUAGCAAUUGUUCUAGCAAACACUAAGCAACUGCCCCCCCCCCCUAGCAGAAAUCCACACAACUUUCUAGCAAGAUCCAAAGCCACUAUUCCUAGAAAAAAAUUCAAGCAACUGUCCUAGCAAAUCCAAGCAAUUGCAAUACCAAAACACAAUGCAAAAUUGUUUAUACCAAAACCAAGCAAAUGUAUUACCAAACAGCAAUGCACAAUUAUUCUAGCAUAACCGAGCAAUUAUCCUACAAAACUAAGCAGCUGUACUAUCCAAUCCAAGCAACUGCAUUACUAAAUAACAACUAUGAAAAAAAUUGUCCUAGCAAAACCAAGCAACUGUCCCUAGCAUUCCUACUUAGAUUGUCUACUUUAGACAGAAAAAACGUAUGACCAACUUGAAUAGCCUUUGUGGACAACUAUCUUACCCCCUCCCCUCCCCAUGCAACUUAUCUAUUCUAACAAAAAUCCAAAACAAGUCAAUUACAAAGAAAACACAAAAUGAAAAUUGUUGUAGCAAAAUAAUCCAAGCAACCGUCUACCAAAACAAAGCAACUAUAUUACAAAAAAUACGAAUGCAAAAACCUGUUCAAAACGAAUCCAAGAAACUGUCCCAACAAAUCGCGAGAACUUGACAAUGAUAAUUACUUGCCUAACAAUGAUGCCAUGUUUGCAUGUCAUCGCUAAUUAGUUGGCUACGAUACUAGGACAAGUUGUCUGUCGGUGUAGCUCAUACUGCAUGUAUUCUGAAACAUAGUGUUGGCAUACUCAAUUGUGUGGUAGACAACUUAUAUGUGAAUUUAGUGAACAUCAUGGUCAUGAGAGGCAACUUAUUAAGGACUUCUCCUUGAUAGGAAAUUAUAGUAGGCAAACUAAGAAGACGUUGCUUUCCUAUAACACUAAACUUGCCUCUACAGCACCCAAAGUUGCUCAGAAAAAAAGUUCGUCGAAAUAUACCCAUAUGAGAUCUAGUUUUGAAGAACUCGCCGUGAAAAACCCAAUGGUGAAAACGAAUCUAAAUUCCGAUACUCGAACCAAAAGUUAUGGCUUUUUAAAUUUUGUAAAACCCAAAUAAAUGCAUGUAUUUUUUCUUUCUUGACUUGUGUUCGGAUGGGACGAGGACCAGAUAGUUUCCUUUUUUUACUGUAAUGACGACACACACAUUCUUUAUGGUAGGUCUGCUCAGAUGCAAUGUGAGUUUUUUUGUCGCAUAGCAUGUGCGCUCGGAAAGCCCAAUUAGCGCAGCUGCACUGAUAAGUAUUUGGGAAAAUUUAGGGCACCAAAAAAUGUCCAACUCCAAAAGCUGUCACUAAAUAGGUUACCAAAAAAAUGUCGACGCGACCUCAACCUCUACCUCGGAUUGCCUGCUGCCGCGGCCAAAUUGGCGCCAUCCAGCGAGCCCUGGGGCCUCUGCUCGUCAUCACAAGCACACGUGCGACCUUGCGGAGCCUUUGGACAAGUUCUCAGCAAGGUCCGCGGCCCCAAGACCCUUCCCCACAAGCCCGCACACCGGCAGGGGCAGGCAGCGACCCUAGUCUUCUGUGCGUGCAUGCGUGCAGUUCCCUGGCACCCCAUCUUCUCCAAGUGGGUGCUCGCUCGCAGCCAUAGCUCGCCCAGCUCGGCCAUGGCGCAGACAGAACCGGAGCUCCCCGCGACGGCGACAAAAUCAGCCCGGGAAAGAGGGGAAAGGGGGAGGGGUUCGAUUGGAGUCUGUCAGGCUUCAGAACAACAUCUAUCGGUGGCAGGAGUUUUGCGGCCGGCGGCAGUAACGGCAGGGCCGCUGGCGGGCGAGCUGAAAUUUCCGGAUGUGGCCGGCAGUCAGGGCAGCGCGCUGUGUUUUUUGGUUUGGGCAGCCGUUUGGUGGUUUUUUUUAAGAGAAACUGGCGUUUGUUCGGGCUGCCCAAAAAUAUUUGAUGCAAAAUUUAGAUCAAAGAAAACGGUGGGAGCUGCGUUUUUUGGUCCAAAAACACUAAAAACGGUUAUGUUUUAUAGGACUGCUAUUAGAGAUGCUCUAAAAUGACAUAUCGGUGAUGAUAUAUGGUUAAAAAACACCGGGCUAUACCAUUCAAAUGAGGUGGUUAAGUCGAUAAGAAAACAGUCAUCUGAAGUGGGUUUCAGUAUGCCUUCAAUCUUUCGCCUUGAAUACUCCCACUGUUACAAACCAAACGUUUAUUUAGAAGAAAUACAACGCUAGCCCAGGUGGCCGAUGUGUUGUUGGCGAUCAUCGUCGUCCUAUUCUGCCUUCAUUCUCACGACUGCUCCUGACAAGUUGCUAUCACCGUCGUCUUUGUUGCUGUCAAGAGUCCAUGAGCAGGGAUGAGGCAAACCUGUUGGAGGAUAUGGUAGGCGCGUGCCGUAGCAACUUGACACGAGCAUAGGUUUUAGAGAAUGUUGAGCCGUGCGUGCUGUGUCUCUAUUGUACUUGAACUCUUGAUUUCUCAUGAACUCUUCUACUGGCUAUCCGUUAAUCAUCCUGCCGUCCGUGACUAAUAAAUAGAAGCAUGGGCACAAGCUAGGCUUGUACAUCUACGCUCUUUAGCACCACGCACUAGCUAGCAGGAGCAAGAUCACGGUUAAGAACACCUCCUAUAUAUCUGAGGCGGCUUUCAAGGCGGCCUCCAUCUUUCGCUUUCGAGGGGUCCUCAUUGAAGAUGGUAUUUGUACUCGGAAGAGACUGAAGUUCUUAGAUGUGUUGUUGUGAUGUCCUUACACUUUUCGAUCUCCAUGUUGAUAUUAACAGGUGGUGGUUGUGUGAACCCUUGAGAAAUCCUAUUCCAUAAUAAAAUUGUGGAUAAUGCUCACAUGCAUGGGCGACCCAUGAAGAUCUUGCUCGCUUAGCUUGGCUCGCUGCUCCGCUCACUUUUUUUUCGCCCGCUCUACUGCUAGCUAAAACUAUUGUUUUUUAGUUGAAAAUUUUAGCUAAAUCAGAAGAUCUUCAAUAAUUUAGAAAAUGGGCCCAAGAUGUGUCAGGAGGCUUCAAAUCUGAGGGAGCUUAAGACAACUCUAACCGAUCCCCUAUCCGGUGUUAGAGGAGGAUAAACUCCAUUUUUCUCCACUAACCAGCGCCUAGCAGAUCCCCUAAACCGAAUAGAGGAGGAUAUUUUAUCCUCGGCAUCUAUCCCGCGCCCAUAUUUGCUCGGACGCUACUGCUUGGAGGAAAACAAAUCCUCUACCCUAAGCUACCUCACCCAACCAGCUCUAGCGCCACAUCUACGCCGGCGCCAUCCUUCGCAACCCCGCCGCCACGGACGAUGCAUAGGCCCCACCACGUUCCUUGCCCUUGGAUUUGUUCCUCUCUCGCACCAUCGCCGGCGCAGAAUCGGUAGAUCUGCUGCUACCACCGCCGGCGACGACGCCUUUGCCAUGGAUUGGCCGGUUACCGAACCGCACGGCCCGUCAAUGCCUCUCCUUCGCAUGCAGGUAUGGCCUUCGCAUGUAGCCACAUGGAUCUCACUUGUCGGAGGUUCGCGGGUAAAGACACACCUGACUGUCGGCCGGGCUUGGCACUGCCUGCUCGUCGGCUCCUCAUUGCCGAUCAAAGUGCUACGACUGCCAGUGGCAGAUGGUGCGCCGCGUUUCCACCACGCCAGAACACUCCAGAUGGGUGUUCUUCAAGUGCAAAAAAGAUGGGGUGAGUUCUUCUUUUGAUUCGUUAUAAUUCGGAUUCAGCACCGUUUGUAGCUCAUUGAUUGCUCAAAUUUAUGUGUAGGAUGGAUGUAAAUUUUGGCAUUGGGAAGAAGAAUAUAUCGAUCUAUUGAUAGCGAGAAAUGAAAAUGAAAUAAUUUUUUUACUCCAUUAUAUUUAGGGGAUCAGCUAGCUAGGUCCGACUAAUACUUAAUGGAGUAAAAAUACUUCACUAAAGGUUUAUUCCGCUGAAUACUUCUUUAUUUUUAGAGGAUUCGGUUAGAAUUGCCGUUAGUACGUGAAUAAAUGAUAUCACCGUCUGUGUUGCUUUCAAAUGUGCGUGGACAAGUAAAGAUGAGGCAAAGGAGGAUGGCGUGGACAAGUAAAGAUGAGGCAAAGCUGUUGGAGGAUGGCGUGGACAAGUAAAGAUGAUGCAAAGCUGUUGGAGGAUGGCGUGGUGUCCUUUAACUCGUCUACUGUCCGCCACGCAUAAAUACGAGUUGCCGCGCACACGACCAAGGCCAGAGGUCUUUGCUCGUUAGUGCCAUCACACUUGCUAGCAAAGGAGCGUAACACGUUGCGAGCUAUUUUUUUUUUUUGAGGGAAACGCGUUGCGAGAUGGUUGCGUCGUUAUGGUUCUUCUUCUGGCUGGCCUCCCUCGGUGCCCUCCAAGUUUUCGCUCUCAGCAUACGCCUCCUCGCCAAUCUCGUGCUCUUCCUGCGCCGGCCCAAGGAUCUCCGUUGCACAUACGGAGCCUGGGCUGUCGUCACCGGGCCGACAUCAGGCAUCGGACAUGCCAUGUCCCUGGAGCUCGCACGGUCUGGCCUCAAUCUUGUCCUCGUCGGUCGUGACCCCACCAGACUCCGCGAGAUCUCCGAAACGAUCUCUAGGACAUAUGCCAUGCAGACCAAGACCGUGUUGUUCGAUUUCUCCCUCGUAUCCACUGCGCAAGGUAUAAAAGUAUGGAAAUCCUAUCUGGCGACCGUUCGCUGGCAAAUGGGUGACAAACGAACCCUUUUAGUGGCAGUUUUAGUUAUGAGGCAAGAUUAAAUGGUGGAAGUUUUAAGCAAAAAAUUACCUUCUCUGACAAAAAGUAUCAUGUCGCUCUGAACAAACUGUCAUCACCCACAACUAAAAAUGCGACAAAAUCGUUAGCAAAUGCCUCUNNNNNNNNNNNNNNNNNNNNNNNNNNNNNNNNNNNNNNNNNNNNNNNNNNNNNNNNNNNNNNNNNNNNNNNNNNNNNNNNNNNNNNNNNNNNNNNNNNNNNNNNNNNNNNNNNNNNNNNNNNNNNNNNNNNNNNNNNNNNNNNNNNNNNNNNNNNNNNNNNNNNNNNNNNNNNNNNNNNNNNNNNNNNNNNNNNNNNNNNNNNNNNNNNNNNNNNNNNNNNNNNNNNNNNNNNNNNNNNNNNNNNNNNNNNNNNNNNNNNNNNNNGGGGGGGGCGUUCCCCGAAUACACUGACGCGAGUUGCAAAUACAGACAACUUGCCAAUAGCAAACGAGUAAAAAUCAGUACGAAUAGUAUAGAGUGUGUGCCCGUCAGAUCACAGACCAGUCGUCUCAUAUCGUUCGAUCUUCUGCAGGCGACGAGGCGAUGAGUCGCCUCCGGGAGGCCGUGGCGGGACUGAAUGUAGGGGUGCUGGUGAACAACGCUGGGGUGGCGAAGCCGGGCGCGGUGUACCUCCACGAGGUGGACGUGGAAGCGUGGGUGAGGAUGAUACGCGUGAACGUACUGGCGCUAACGGAGGUGACAGCCGAGGUGCUGCCAGGGAUGGUGCGCCGGGGCAGGGGUGCAGUGGUAAACAUCGGCUCGGGCUCAGGAUCGGUCCUUCCCUCCCACCCUCUCUACUCUGUCUACGUCGCCACCAAACGGUACGUCGCGGAGUUCUCCAAGAGUCUCUCCGUGGAGUACCAGAGCGCAUGCAUCGAUGUGCAAUGCCAGGUACGUAGUCAGUGUGUGGCGCUCACAUCCAUCAUGUCACCAGAUUACCUUUGGUUUUGUCGUGUUUGCAGAUCCCAUUCAUUGUGGAGACAAACAUGGUGUCGAGCGCCGUGAAGAACAGCUUCUUUCUUCGCCCAUGGGUGCUGAGCCCGGACGCCUACGCGCGCGCGGCGGUGCGCUGGAUCGGGCACGGGACGCUGUGCAUACCCAACUUCGCCCACCGCCUCCAGUGGUGGUUCACCUGUCUCUUCCCGGACUCCUUCAAAGACAUGAACCUCCUGAAGCGGAAUUUGCAGCACAGAGACAUCUUUAGGAGGAUCAAACCGUUGAGGGAAACGCGGGCGAACUCACGGGAGUGACCAGAUCGGUGCUGGUGUUCCCUCGGAUCAAGGUGGUUCAGAAUUCAGAGUUCAUAGUUGAGGAACACGGGGCUACUUGACUGUGUUGUGCCGAACUUAGAGCAUAUCUACUCAAUCUCUAGAAAAUCAGUCUUUUGUUAUAUGAUCCAUUAUACUUUAACUCCUUACAUUUAAUCUGUCAAAAAAGAAGGGUUCCUAGCCGAACUCUUAAAUUUAACUCCCUAAAAAAUGGACCCUGAUAUCUAUAUCUACUGAAUGUUCGAUAGGAGCACCCGGGAUACUGAACAAGGCGUUUGGGGCGAGCUGUUUUAUAGACCGAACAAAAGCAUUCAUUCUGGCAACCCAAGAUCACGAACACACGCGACACCACCGCGGCGCUCGAGCGAGACCCGAAUUACAUCGAGGGUGCCCGAAAAAUCUCUCCAAACCUCAGAUCCCCAUCGCCGCACCAACCUAACCCCCAACUUCCCUCGAUCCCCUAUGUUGUUCUUCCUCGUUCUUGAAGCUGUCAUGAGAAGAGCGGAUGAACCCUAGGGUGAUCUCGCACUACUAGAAAAACAUAUGUAGCCUUGUGUUUCUCCAUAUGCCGAGUGUAUAUUAUCGGCCGCCCGGCUUACACAUCUGUAAGCCGUGUAUCAAUGGCGCGGCACACGACAACGACCUGGACCUGGGCGUACCUCCACGUACGGCGCGACACAGCACAAAAAUGCUCGUUGUAUAGAAAAAGACUCAAUGUAUUUAGGAGAAAUCUGAGUGUGAACUUGGAGCACACGGCAAACACCCGGGCCACGUGGCCGUGCUCGUCCAUGUUGACGCCACCGUGAUGGGCGGUGUGUAAGCCGUGCGCCACGCGUGUACACUAUGUCCCACCAAGUAUUCACAUGGCGUAAUUACAGCUGCCAGCCUUUGACUGCAUACCCUUGCUCACACACAAUGACGCCGUCCCGUCAUCGCACCUCGUGGUCGAGCGGAUUCCAUUGCCAGUAGCCAUUAAUGGCGGCAUAGUGCGGGGCACCUAUNNNNNNNNNNNNNNNNNNNNNNNNNNNNNNNNNNNNNNNNNNNNNNNNNNNNNNNNNNNNNNNNNNNNNNNNNNNNNNNNNNNNNNNNNNNNNNNNNNNNNNNNNNNNNNNNNNNNNNNNNNNNNNNNNNNNNNNNNNNNNNNNNNNNNNNNNNNNNNNNNNNNNNNNNNNNNNNNNNNNNNNNNNNNNNNNNNNNNNNNNNNNNNNNNNNNNNNNNNNNNNNNNNNNNNNNNNNNNNNNNNNNNNNNNNNNNNNNNNNNNNNNNNNNNNNNNNNNNNNNNNNNNNNNNNNNNNNNNNNNNNNNNNNNNNNNNNNNNNNNNNNNNNNNNCGCCCGCGCCUACAAAUGUGCCUCCUCUCCGCAUCGAUGUCGCACAUAGCUCGCUCCUGCUGUCGAACUUAGACAGCCAACGCGCCUCGCCUCCUCACCCAACGCUGCGAUGCCUCGCCACGACCAUGAAGCCGGUGACGGGCCUAAUUUUAGCAGAUCUCGAGGUAGGGAUCCUAAGCUAGAUUUCUUGGAGUGAUGAGAGACACGGGAUUUUACCCAGCUCUGGGCUCUACGAGGAGAUAAACCCUACGUCUUGCUUGUGUUGUAUUGCGUUGGGGUAUAGUACAUACUAUAGUGUCUGCCAUGAGAUUGUUCUUGUCUAGUGGAGAGGAGUCAUCCGCGGAUAAGGAGUUCUUGUCCCAAACGGCAAGGCUUCUGGAAUCUUUUUUGUAUGUGUCAUGGGCCACCCAAAGUGGCCCCGGAUGGAACCUGAUCUUGGGGUCCUCGGCCCGGCCUGCCAGUCCAGGGAGUUGACAUGGUGAGAGGCCCCAUCACUGGUAGAGAAUAGGCCUUUAGUCCCGGUUCGCAAAGGCCAUUAAUCCCGGCUGUGCAACCGGGACUAAAUAUGCGCGACUAAAGCCCCCCCCCCUUUAGUCGCGCCUCUUACGAACCGCGACUAAAGGCCCGUCCACGUGGGCGCCAGGAGUCCGUCGGAGCGGAGGACCUUUAGUCCCGGUUCUCGUGGCUAACCGGGACUAAAGGCCUCCUCCGCAGGUUUAGGGUUUUAGCCCCCCUAAACCUGGUUUCUUUUUAAUUUGUAGUGUUUUAUUUCUUUUAUAUUUUAUUUUGUGUUUUAAUUUUGAUGAAGUUUCAGUACACAUAUUCUACGCUACUAUAUACAUGCAUAUGAAAUUUCAAACAAGAAGAAUUCAAGAGGAAUAUAUAAUAUAUAUUCAAUCUCGGGUGACCAUAUACAACUUCGAACAAGUUUCCAUACACAAUUAGGAUGGAUGACCAUAUACAACUUCGAACAAGUUUCAAUCUCGGGUAUGCAUAUAAAUUUCUUCGUCCUCGGUAUAGUGUUCUCCUUUAGGAUUGAUGACUUCCCUCUUGAAAAAUCCUGCUAAUUCAUCUUGAAUUGGUCGGAAGCGAGCUUCUGGACUAAGCCUCCUCCGCAAGUUAUCUGUCGCCUUCCGCACGCUAUCCGAUGCCUUCCGCUCAGAGGUGUGUCUCCGGAUGUUCUCACAAACAUAGUAUCCACAUAGAUUGGUCCCCGGUGGCUGCUUAUCCACAUUAACUAACCUUCUAAAAUCUAGCUCAUGUUUGAAUUCACCGACAAUUUCUUCUGAGAACCGUCUCCAAACCCUACAGGGCAAAGAAAAUUAAAUGAACAAGGGAGUUAUUAGUUACAUGAUAUUAGGAAAUGAACGAAAGAAACCGAUCGAUAUAGGGCUCAAAUGAUUGAAAAUAAUUACUUUGCAGCAUUUUUCUCAUGUCGGCCCAACGCUUUGGAUCCGAAUCCAUAGAGUCCAUGAUUAGAACUCUGGAGGUGUGAAGUUCAAUAUUUAGCAGAAUCCAGUGGAACCUGCGGACACGUUACAUGCACAGUCAUGCAUAACUCAUCGAUUAGACAUACCAUGCAUGGAGUAAACAAAAGAGAAUGGGCACAAGAGAGAAACACUCACCCAAAAUGGUAAGGAAAUAGAAUAUGACUUUUGAGUUGAUGCUUUCAAAGAAACUUGUACAAGUCUUUCUCCACAUCUUCGGGGUGAUUUUGUAACACAUGUCCAUUAACGAUAUGUGGGUCAAUGAACCCAACAUCAUGGAUGUUUCUUAUUUUGCAUUCCCAAAUCUUCAAUCUGCAUAAUAGCGUACGCNNNNNNNNNNNNNNNNNNNNNNNNNNNNNNNNNNNNNNNNNNNNNNNNNNNNNNNNNNNNNNNNNNNNNNNNNNNNNNNNNNNNNNNNNNNNNNNNNNNNNNNNNNNNNNNNNNNNNNNNNNNNNNNNNNNNNNNNNNNNNNNNNNNNNNNNNNNNNNNNNNNNNNNNNNNNNNNNNNNNNNNNNNNNNNNNNNNNNNNNNNNNNNNNNNNNNNNNNNNNNNNNNNNNNNNNNNNNNNNNNNNNNNNNNNNNNNNNNNNNNNNNNNNNNNNNNNNNNNNNNNNNNNNNNNNNNNNNNNNNNNNNNNNNNNNNNNNNNNNNNNNNNNNNNNNNNNNNNNNNNNNNNNNNNNNNNNNNNNNNNNNNNNNNNNNNNNNNNNNAGAACGAGAUGAGGUAGAAAUAAAUCACUUACAGAACGUAGCACCUCAGCAUAGAUUUGUCGAGGUCGCGCAGAUUGAACAGCUGGAACAAUUCACUCAUAUGAACUUGUACAGAGUACCGUUUGGUGUGAUGCUCCUCUGUAACAUCCGCAUAAACAUAUUCUUUGUCGGCCCAUGUUAUGAAUUGCUUGUACCAACGUAGCAGAUUUCGCAUUUGUGGUGGUAGACUCUUAUCCCGCGCAGGCUCGACGAGAGGCCCAUUCCGCACAUAUUGUAAUGCUAUCUCACAUACUGGCGCAUCCUCAAGGCCUAAGAAGGCACGAAGAGUCAAACCCAUCUCGGACGCUUGUUUCAUGGCACUCGCUAUAGUCAAUCCAAGUGCUGCCGCAGCUGCUAUGAUCUCGGGGUCCUCUUCCGGACCGGCUUUCACUAUGAGCGGGGGGAUCGAUUGUUUAUUCUGCAUCCCGAGCUGGUCAACUUGUUUCCCGCUUUUUUUUACUUUCUUCUUUCUCCUCCUUCAAUAUUUUUGCUUGCCUACGAAGUUCAUGUCCAUAGUCGUCAGGCAUAUUCAGCUCGGCUUGGGACGGUGUCGUCAAAAAAUCCUUAGCCCACUUCUUUUGCUUCUCAAUGAAUACUUGCUUGGGCUCAGGCUCUUUUAUCGCCUUCAUAUCCGCCUUCCAUUUCUCAUAAUGAGCAGACGCGGCCAAUUUGGUUUCAGCUUCACUAAGUUCCCAAGGCCUUGGGAGGAGAGGCUUCAGUGAUGGCUCCGGUACCCUUGUGGUCUUAGGUACAUAAGGGUCCGGGUUAAUAGUCCAGGAGCGGGUUUCCUUGCUGUCCGCCUGCUUCUGCUUCUUCGCCGGAGGUGGAUUGGGGGGCGUCGUACCCGCCGGAGGAGGAUUGGGGGGCGUCGUACCCGCCGGAGGUUGUGGAUCGGGGGACGGUGUUGAAUGGCGUGAAGGAGGUGUAGGUGAACCACCACUACCACCACCACCGCCACCACCACCACCACCACCAUCGGAGGGGGGUGGACUUGUUAGCCUUGGCGCCUCGCCUGGAAACACUAUGUACUUCUUUUUCCAUAGAAUGAUCUGGCGCUUGACAUCUCCAAGUCUUUUCUCCCCUUCGGGUGUAGCUUUGUCAAUCUCCAGGUCCUCAAACCCUUGGACUAUGUCUUCCACCGUGACACGAGCAUAGCCAUAUGCAAUGGGGUUGUUGUGGUGGAGUGCUCCAGGUGUACAGGGUAAAGCACUGCCGGUAGCUACCUUCGUGGAAACGUUCCCCACGGGAUAAUGCAGAUCACAUUCUUUCAUCUCUUUUACAUCAUCCACGGGGUAGUGAGGCUCCGGUGCAUGAAUCUCGAUCAUCGGUGCAUUAGCACCAGGCGGGGCAUCCGUGGAAGCCACGCUGCUUCUCCGCUGCUAGCUUCCGCGAUCCACUUCAUGAUCUUCAUGCGGCCCUGCAGCCGAUUUUUCUUUUACUAGUUCAUGCACGGUCUGCUUCAACUCAUGGAGUUCCGAUGCAAACUUCGCGAGAAGAUCUGCAUCCCGGUCCGUCUUUCUCUUACGGCUUCUGUAACAGUACGGGUCAUUGUCCUGGGAAAACCCUACUUUCCACGGAACUCUGCCUUUGCCUCGUACACGUCCUCCGUGUUCAUCAUUCCUGAGGGCUGUUGUCAGUGCGUCUUUCUCUCUGUUGAACUUGAUCAAGCCCUCUUGAGCUUGGGUCAUUGCGUCAAUAAGGGCUUGGGUGGGAGCAAACUUUUUCUUCCGGUGAACACACACCCCUGUCUCCGGGUCUAGCGAUCCCCCAUGCCCGUACCACCAGCUUUUGGCCCUUGGGUCCCAUCCCUCUGUACCUAGAGGGAUUCCUCGCACCCUCAGGUCCUCCUCCAUCUUCUGCCACUUAGGCUCCGAAAGGCGGUAUCCUCCUGGCCCCAUAAUAUGAUGGAACUUUUUCUUACUCGCAUUAUCCUUAUUUUUUUCGAUAUUUCCUUGAAAUGCUCCGAUUGCUUUUGCCUCACAAAUUCUGGCCAAUCAUCUUUCAGUUUCUCAUGUUGUCCAUUGAAAUCCGGAGUCUUGCCCUUGUUGACAUAGUCACGGGUUAAAUUUUUCUUGAAGUUCCGGAAUGCUUCGCCCAUCUUCUGAAGAGCGAACUCUUUAACUAGCCUCCUCCUCUCACGUCCACCCGGAACCUCGUUACCGAAUUCAUCGACUUUGUUGUAUUCCGGAGGUAGAAUGAAAUGUUCCAUAAGCUUUCUCCAGCAAUCCUUUUUCGUUCUCUUGUCGACAAAACUGAAACCAAGCCGUGCCUUCUUUGGCUCCUUCCAUUCCUGGACGGUGAUCAGGACGUUGUCUCUAACAACGACUCCGCAUUGGUUGAUAAACUUUGAGGUGUGCUGUAGGGGCUUGCCGGUUUCACUGACAAAAUCAAUGGCAUAUGUUUCUCCUGUUUUCAUCGCCUUGGAUUUGCCACGCUUUGUCGUACUCGAUCCGACCGAGGGCUAAAAAAAGAAAGAGAGUCGCGCGCGUUAAUACAUAUGUAUUCACAUUUCAGUAAGUUUGUAUCACGAGAGGCUCAAUGUAUAUAUAUACCUCGCCGGAGGUGGUUGCUACUUGCAAUUCGAGAUCGUCGUUUGUUGACGGUUGACCUCCGUCGACAAUGUCCGUUCCUUCACCUUCUUGAUCAUCGACAAUGUCUGUUCCACCGUCAAGGUUCAGAAAAGAAGAGACUACAUCCUCUUCUUGCUCAUAUUCUGAGCCCGGCACAUAAGGAAUCUCGUUGUUUAUGAUGCCCAUUAAAUAAUGUUCAGCCUCCGGAUCCCUAAGCGGCUCGGCUCUAUCGUCCGCCAUAUGUCACUCCUGCAUGUAGUAAAAAUUAAUUAAGUAUAAAGGAAUUAAAAAAUAAGAUUAAGGGGACAUAGAGGAGGAGGAAUUAAAAAAUAAGAUUAUUGAGCACNNNNNNNNNNNNNNNNNNNNNNNNNNNNNNNNNNNNNNNNNNNNNNNNNNNNNNNNNNNNNNNNNNNNNNNNNNNNNNNNNNNNNNNNNNNNNNNNNNNNNNNNNNNNNNNNNNNNNNNNNNNNNNNNNNNNNNNNNNNNNNNNNNNNNNNNNNNNNNNNNNNNNNNNNNNNNNNNNNNNNNNNNNNNNNNNNNNNNNNNNNNNNNNNNNNNNNNNNNNNNNNNNNNNNNNNNNNNNNNNNNNNNNNNNNNNNNNNNNNNNNNNNNNNNNNNNNNNNNNNNNNNNNNNNNNNNNNNNNNNNNNNNNNNNNNNNNNNNNNNNNNNNNNNNNNNNNNNNNNNNNNNNNNNNNNNNNNNNNNNNNNNNNNNNNNNNNNNNNNNNNNNNNNNNNNNNNNNNNNNNNNNNNNNNNNNNNNNNNNNNNNNNNNNNNNNNNNNNNNNNNNNNNNNNNNNNNNNNNNNNNNNNNNNNNNNNNNNNNNNNNNNNNNNNNNNNNNNNNNNNNNNNNNNNNNNNNNNNNNNNNNNNNNNNNNNNNNNNNNNNNNNNNNNNNNNNNNNNNNNNNNNNNNNNNNNNNNNNNNNNNNNNNNNNNNNNNNNNNNNNNNNNNNNNNNNNNNNNNNNNNNNNNNNNNNNNNNNNNNNNNNNNNNNNNNNNNNNNNNNNNNNNNNNNNNNNNNNNNNNNNNNNNNNNNNNNNNNNNNNNNNNNNNNNNNNNNNNNNNNNNNNNNNNNNNNNNNNNNNNNNNNNNNNNNNNNNNNNNNNNNNNNNNNNNNNNNNNNNNNNNNNNNNNNNNNNNNNNNNNNNNNNNNNNNNNNNNNNNNNNNNNNNNNNNNNNNNNNNNNNNNNNNNNNNNNNNNNNNNNNNNNNNNNNNNNNNNNNNNNNNNNNNNNNNNNNNNNNNNNNNNNNNNNNNNNNNNNNNNNNNNNNNNNNNNNNNNNNNNNNNNNNNNNNNNNNNNNNNNNNNNNNNNNNNNNNNNNNNNNNNNNNNNNNNNNNNNNNNNNNNNNNNNNNNNNNNNNNNNNNNNNNNNNNNNNNNNNNNNNNNNNNNNNNNNNNNNNNNNNNNNNNNNNNNNNNNNNNNNNNNNNNNNNNNNNNNNNNNNNNNNNNNNNNNNNNNNNNNNNNNNNNNNNNNNNNNNNNNNNNNNNNNNNNNNNNNNNNNNNNNNNNNNNNNNNNNNNNNNNNNNNNNNNNNNNNNNNNNNNNNNNNNNNNNNNNNNNNNNNNNNNNNNNNNNNNNNNNNNNNNNNNNNNNNNNNNNNNNNNNNNNNNNNNNNNNNNNNNNNNNNNNNNNNNNNNNNNNNNNNNNNNNNNNNNNNNNNNNNNNNNNNNNNNNNNNNNNNNNNNNNNNNNNNNNNNNNNNNNNNNNNNNNNNUUACGAUUGUGCCGUAUCCAUGGAGCAUCCUCAUCAUUUAACUUAAUGCUUGGGUCAGUGUUCACUUUGAAGGGCGGAAUUUCACCAAACAUAUUAUAAUCUUCUGACAUGUCUGUCUUGUCCUCCACUCCCACGAUGUUUCUUUUCCCUGAAAGAACAAUGUGGCGCUUUGGAUCAUCGCAUGAUGUACUGAUCGUUUUCUUAUCUUUCUGUUUUCUCGGUUUGCUACUCAUGUCCUUCAAAUAAAAAACCUGAGCGACAUCUUUGGCAAGGACGAAUGGUUCGUCAAGGUAACCAAGAUUGUUGAAAUCCACCAUUGUCAUUCCGUAUUGCUCGUCCACCUUUACCCCACCUCCUGUUAGCUUGAACCAUUUGCACCGGAACAAAGGGACCUUAAAGGAGGGUCCAUAGUCAAGUUCCCAUAUCUCCUCUAUGUAACCAUAAUAUGUGACCUUUUGCCCAUUCUCGGUUGCUGCAUCAAAGCGGACACCACUGUUUUGGUUGGUGCUCUUUUUAUCUUGGGCGAUGGUGUAAAAUGUAUUCCCAUUUAUCUCGUACCCUUGGAAAGUCGUUAUAGUCGAAGAUGGUGUCUUGGCCAACAUGUACACCUGAUCUCCAACAUCAUUGUCAUUCAUUAAAUGUUUUAGCAACCAACUGCCGAAAGUCUCCAUGUGGGCCUUUCUAAUCCAGGAUUCAGGCUUCCCCGGGUUGUCCGAGCGUAAAAUAUUCUUGUGUUGCUCGAAGUACGGAGCCACCAAGCUGGAAUUUUGCAGAACUGUGUGGUGUGCUUCAGUCAUAGAAUGACCGUCCAUACAUAUCGUUGAUUUCCUUCCGAUCGUGCCUUUUCCACUUAGUCUCCCCUCGUGCCGCGACUGAGGAAUACCAAUCGGCUUAAGGUCAGGAACAUAGUCAAUACAGAACUCAAUUACCUCCUCAUUUCCAUAGCCCUUGACGAUGCUUCCUUCUAGCCUAGCACGGUUACGAACAUAUUUCUUUAAUACUCCCAUGAACCUCUCAAAGGGGAACAUAUUGUGUAGAAAUACAGGACCGAGAAUGGAAAUCUCUUCGACUAGGUGGAGCAGGAGGUGCGUCAUAAUAUCGAAGAAGGAUGGUGGGAACACCAACUCUUCUAGCCUAGAUCUUCUGGAUUGAUUACCUUCUGAGAGAUUGCAUUGAGGAAUGCACAUAGCUUCACAAUGGCUACUCGAACAUUUUCCGGUAGGAGCCCCCUCAAAGCAAUCGGAAGCAAUUGCGUCAUAAUCACGUGGCAGUCGUGAGACUUCAGGUUUUGGAACUUUUUCUCCGCCAUGUUUAUUAUUCCCUUUAUAUUCGACGAGAAGCCAGACGGGACCUUCAUACUGCUCAGGCAUUCAAAAAAAAUGACCUUCUCUUCUUUGGUAAGAGCGUAGCUGGCACGACCUUGAAACCAUUCCGGAUGCCGGUCAUCUGGGUCUUUCAAAAGUUGCUGGUCCUGCCGUGCUUCCUUUGUAUCAUUUGUCUUCCCAUACACGCCCAAGAAGCUUAGCAGGUUCACGCAAAUAUUCUUUGUAACAUGCAUCACGUCGAUUGCAGAGCGGACAUCUAGGACUUUCCAAUAUUCUAGCUCCAAAAAUAUAGAUUUCUUCUUCCACAUGGGUGCGUGCCCGUCAACUCCCCGCGGAACUGAUUGUCCGCCAGGACCCUUUCCAAAGAUGACUUUCAAAUCCUUGACCAUAUCAAAUAUCUCAGCACCAGUACGUUCCGCAGGCUUCGGCCGGUGAUCUGCCUUGCCGUUGAAAUGCUUGCCUUUCUUUCUUACGUUAUGAUUUCGGGGAAGAAAUCGACGAUGACCCAGGUACACGUUCUUCUUACAAUUAACCAAACGUACACUUUCAGUCUCAUGUAAGCAAUGCGUGCAUGCAUUGUAUCCCUUAUUUGUCUGUCCCGAAAGGUUACUGAGAGCAGGCCAAUCGUUGAUGGUUACAAAAAGCAACGCUCGUAGGUCAAAUUCCUCUCCUUUGUGCUCAUCCCAGACACGUACACCAGGUCUGCCCCACAACUGUAAAAGUUCAUCAACUAAUGGCCUUAGGUACACAUCGAUGUCGUUCCCGGGUUGCUUUGGACCUUGGAUGAGCACUGGCAUCAUAAUGAACUUCCGCUUCAUGCACAACCAAGGAGGAAGGUUGUAGAUGCAUAGAGUCACGGGCCAGGUGCUAUGGCUGGAGCUCUGCUCGCCAAAAGGAUUCAUGCCAUCAGUACUUAGACCAAAUCUUAUGUUCCUUGCGUCAGCUACAAAAUCUUUGAACACUCUGUCGAUCUUUCUCCAUUGCGUUCCAUCAGCGGUGUGUCUCAACUCCCCGUCGGACUUACAGUCCUCUUUGUGCCAUCGCAACGACUUGGCAUGCUUUUUGUUUCUGAACAGACGUUUCAACCGUGGUAUUAUAGGAGCAUACCACAUCACCUUGGCGAGAACCCUCUUCCUGGGUUUCUCGCCCUCAACAUCGUCACCAGGGUCAUCGCCUCUGAUCUUAUAACGCAAUGCAGUGCAUAUAGGGCAUUCAUUCAAAUUCUCGUAUUCACCGCGGUAGAGGAUGUAGUCGUUAAUGCAUGCAUGUAUCUUCAGAACCUCUAAACCUAGAGGGCAGACAACCUUCUUUGCUUCGUACGUACUGGCGGGCAACUCGUUAUUCUUCGGAAACAUAUUCUUCAACAUUUUCAGCAAAUUUUAAAAUGAUGAGUCACCUACACCUUCCUGUGCCUUCCAUUUUAGCAAAUCCAGUGUGCAGCCCAGCUUUUUCAGACUAUUAUCGCAUCCUGGAUACAAUGACUUUUUGUGAUCCUCUAACAUGCGAUCCAAAUUCUCCCUCUCCUUGUCAGUUUCGCAGCGUCUCCGUGCAUCAGCAAUGGUCCGACCAAGAUCAUCAACGGGCUCAUCAUGUGCCUCUUCUUCACCUUCACCUAACCCUUCCCCACCUUCAGCAUCAUCCUCCAUGAAAGUAUCACCGAAAUGAUCAUGAUAGUUGUCAUCGAUAUCAUCCCCUUCUUCAUCUUCUUCCAUUCUAACCCCUCUUUCUCCAUGCUUGGUCCAACAAUUAUAGCUUCGCAUGAAACCGUGCCGAAGCAGGUGCAUGUGAACGUCUCUUGAGGAGGAGUAACCCUUCUGAUUCUUACAGACAGCACAUGGACAGAUAAUAAAACCUCGCUGCUUGUUCGCAUUUGCCACUACGAGGAAAUCUUUCAAACCCGUAGUGAACUCGCCGGAGAGUCGGGGACCGUACAUCCAUUGCCGAUUCAUCUGCAUUAUUAUUAUAUAAAGUAUAUAAUUAACCAUCAUGCAUUUGUUAAACUAACUAGCUAGAAAUAAUACAAAUUAAACAAUGAACUACACACAUGCAUAUUUUAUCAAUGACACAUGAAAGGUUCAAGUUGCUAACCGCGAUCGCGGAGGAAAAAUAAAUGAGAAAGCUCAAGUGUGGCUCGGACACUUCAUAUCAUGUUUGUUUCAUGCUCUCGGGCAUUUCAUCGAACACCUUGUGUGCAUAGGAGGAACCAAAAGCAAACCCACCACCCCCCUUCUGAAUUGUGGCUAAGUGAAGUGAGCUGAGUCCUAUAUAUAGGGAUGGGCCUUUAGUACCGAUUGGCCUGGCCAACCGCGACUAAAGGCCUUCGGGCCAGCCUGAGGACCUUUAGUCCCGGUUGGCCAGGCCAACCGGGACUAAAGCCCCUCCCGUCCGCCAGCUGUCGACCGAGCGCGCUGGGCCCAGAUAGUUGGUCGCGGGUCUCCUUCCGAACCGCGACUAAAGACCCCUUUUGUCGCGGUUCGAUUAUUUUAGGGACUAAUGGGGGCGUAUGGAAGCCUCUUUUUCUACUAGUGCAUAGCCGGGACACUGUAAGUAACCCAUGAACCAAUCUUGAAGUCUAGCUGCACCUCGGCUUAUCCGAGUUGCUCGUUGUCUUCGGUCACAGGUCUUGAAACUAGUUCAACAACAACUUUCCACCAUCAGUGUCUUCUUGCAACCGAGCAUCAACAUCGGACUGCAUCCAAGGUGAAGUACAACACCUUGGCCCUGAAAAUGUUGAGGAGUAUGGCCGAGCUACAUGCGGGAAAAGUCUCCCAUGCAGCCAACCGCACAGUCAGCCUCCACCAAUCUGAAUAAACAUCCGCAUAUUUCUAUUAUACUUCCAUCUUACUAAGGUUGACAAUGACUGGUGUGGUGUACUAUUUUCACAACGACUUCCACUGGAUCCUCAUUGUUAUAUUCCCAAUGACUGCCUAUCCUUAUUCUUGGAUUUGAAUAAAAAAAUCAAGAGAAACUACAACAAACUGAAUAGAUGAAGCUCUAAACAUGUUCGAUGGCAUGGAAGGAAGAGAAACAAUGAAGGCAUUGUGCGGUUCGGCCACAACACAACCUUAUGUUGCAUUCAACAGUCUGAAUACGCAAGGACCUCCCCUUGGUACGUCAUGUACCACAUGUAAGAAUUCACAGGGAUCAUAGGACCUUUUCCCACAGAAGGAUGGCGCCACCAAAUGGGGUUCAAGCCCUUGCCGCUCUCACACGUGAUGACUCCAGAGUCGACUUCAAACAGAUCCAAUAGACACUCGUCGAAAUCAUCAACAAGGACGUCUGCGGUGAGACAGGGAUCUUCUACGGCGGUGGCGUAUCAACCCUUCAGGAGCAACUUCAUCGCUACAUACAACAGUGAACACGUGAUGUUGUGUUUAAAAACAGUUCAAACAUUGUUCCUAACUUGACCGUGUAGCUAUACUUACCAUACCUUUCAUGUAGUUGCUACAAUUAAGUCAUUAUGAUGCAUGCUGGAAGUUAGCAAUUAUCUUUACACGAGUAACCUUACUUUCUAUAUGUUGCUAUAUAUGUUUGAUAUGGGUGAUUCAAGCUGAUAUUUGCUCUCUUCGUUACCGAACGUCAAAGAUUCGUCAAUAGCAACUUCAACGACGCCGGGCCGCUGCCCCAUGCAAAGUCACCGCAGUCAAAUACAUGCUUAUAAUUCAACCAUAUCUAUGCCUUAUGUAAUGUGUGAAUUCAAUACUUUAAUUACUUAAAGCAUUCUUUUCAUAUGAUAGACACAACCUUUGUAAACAAAUAUAAGACGUUUUAGAGACUUGAGACAAGCCUGCAAAACAUCUUAUAUUUUUUUACAGAGGAAGUAUGUGACAAAAAAUGUGUAAAUGCUACCACGAUGGCAAACGCUGCAAUGGCAGACAAAUUUUGGCCUCCAAAAUAUACUAGCAGCGGGCGCAAAAGCAUGAACGUAACCAACAUGCUGACAAAUUAGCGGCGCCCUGCAAUCUUGAACGCAGCUAGUUGCUAAAUUGCAUGUCGCGUUCAAACAUGACGAACGGUGCUAGUUCGGACCUAACGGCGGCAUUCGUGGAGCGAACGCUUCUAGUAGCUGCAUUACCAGUGGUGUUCACAGGGUGCACCACUAGUAUCCAGUUACCAGCAGUGUAGUAGUAGCAGUGUGCCAGCGAAACACUGCUAGUAGACACUUAUGCACGUUGCUGGUUAGGGUGUCCUAUACUAGUAUAGUGAUCAAUUCUUUGUGAUUUAUUCGCGAUGUGUGAGUGGUGUCCUCGGGCUAACGGUUAAGAUAUAGCCUCACAGCCCAAUGUACGCCCAUAAAGGGAAUGUCGGUUUACUUUUUGAUAGGACAUUCUUUCUAUGUGUUGUGCAAUGAUUUUGUAUCUUGUCUCGACCUCGAUCCUAGUAUCGCAGGUACCUGAGAUACUGAAGAUCGGAACAAGGAGAGGUAAAGUGCUGAGAGGAGCAGGAAGCUAUGCUAAACGUCGAUGGCACUAAGAUUAGUACGGCGACAAAAUCAAGUCUCUGGGGUAGAUAUGGUGUAGUCAUACAAAAAAUGCCUACUGCAUUGGUGUCGUUAUCCUUAAUAUCUGAGCUGACCCGUAAGUUAGAUAAGUCCUUGGAUUGACAAUAGUACCACGGCUCGGCGGCAGCUAGCCGUGGGGUUAUUAGGACACAUCUCCCGCAUAAUUCAUGCACAAGAUAUAUGUAAUGUUGUACCAUUGCUAGGUUGAUUUCUUUAGAUCGUCUCCCUAGAAGAUGUACACGGCUGUAGGUGAAACCUUAAGCCUUAUCCUAUUACUUUAUUAUUGUAUUUUAAUCGCCUCUCCAGUUUGUUCAAGGAACUGAAACAUUUUGAGAUAACAAGUACUUGCAAAUAUUUCCUUGCGAACCAUCAUCACUACCUAGCACUACUAGGAAAAACCUUAUACACAGAAUCUUAGCAGCAGCGUGGUUUAAAAACAAACGCUACUGCUAAUUAGCAGUAGCGAGCUUCAGGAAACCGCGCUACUAAUAGCCCAGUAGCAGUAGCGCUCUAGGUGAAACAAGCGCUACUACUAUAAUUGCCACGGCGUUACCUCCAGGCUAGGUAUAGUAGUAGCGCCCUUCCUCUGGACCCGCUACUGCUAAAGUACUUAGUAGCAGCAUUUUUCUUCAAAACUCGCUGCUGCUAAGUAUCACCCCCCUUGCAACUAAUGAAGUUUAGUCCCAUACUGCUAAGCGAACAAGGUGUUUACCACCUUAAAUAUGUUACUUCUCAAACUAUCUCGAGCACUUGGUCUUCAUUGAACUAUAUGUGUAGGAUUUGUGGGUGCAAUAUGAAUCCUCACCUGUGCCUAUACAGUUACGGUGAGGAUUCAUGUUGACUAUUUAGAUUCUACACAAAAAUAUCAAUGAUGACCAAUGAUAUUUUUGAUAUUUUUACAUGCUUAGACUUAGCAGUAGCGUUUUUUUAGGACAAAGCGCUACUGAUAUUGGGCUUAGCAGUAGCGCGCUCCCCGUGCCCGCGCUACUGCUAGAGCAAAACAAAACACGCGGCCCGGCAGGCCCCCCGCAUGCUCAUCUCUCAAUCGUCCCCCUCCGCCCGACGCCGGCAGCUGCGGUUAGGGUUUCUCCUCCGCCACCGCCGCCGCAGGUAAUGCUCCUCCCCCCUCUCCCCGCCCCUCCGCUGCUCCUCCACCCUCUCGCCGCCCACUCUGUCGCUGCCCGCGAGCUCUGGCCGGGCGCCUUUGGCCGACCGCCCUCGAUCCCCUCGCCGGCCGCUGUCGUCGCCCCCUCUCGUAGGAAAGUCACCGGCCUUCCCCUCGUCAGCACCCCCAACCGAGGUCACCAUGCCAUCCCCCCUCCUCGACAGCACCCCCCGAGGGCUGCCCUACCUAGAUGCAGCAAGGGCUUACGAAUUUCAUAUGGAUAACUAGAUGCUUUUGUUUUUCUGUAAUAAGUUAUUUUUUGCAAAAUGUAGGUGCCAAUUUAGCUGAAAUGCUUUGGUAGGUGGUACCGUGAUCUGCUAGAUAUUGGUUUUGAUACAAGUAUUUAGUUUGCAAGUGCUAAGUCAAUCCCAAUUAAAUUUGCCACUUGUUUUUUUAAUCAGUUAUCUUAGGCAAUAGGGGCCAAAUUAGAUGAAAUGUGUCUUGGUAGGUGUGGUACUUUGAUUUGGUAGAUAACUUAUUACAGAUCUUAGGAUUAUACCUUUGGUAGGGGCCAAAUAGUUUUUUCGGCAAUAGGUGCCACUGAAAUGCUUUCGUAGGUGAUACCUUGUCAUCUUGUAUGUUACUAGAUCUUAGGAUUAUAAUUGUCCAUCAAAUUGCUUCUCGCGGAAGAAUCUCUUCAUCAAAUUGAGAGCUUGUUGUUUACUUUUUGGGAUCGGGUUCCACUAUGAAAAUAUAACUGAAGAAGAACCAAAAAUAUCACAUGCUAUUAUUUUUAUUUCCUGUGAAGUGGAUCGUUCAUCCUUUGCUCAUAUUGCUUUAGGAAAAUGGCGCCACCACCACCACCACCAUGUCGACUGUGCAAGUCAAGGUGCGCCAGCAGCCUUGCAACUGGCAACCUAUUCAGCGUCUACUUCCAGCCGAGUUUUCGUCAUGCGGCGGUAAGAAAUUAGAUGAAAUGUAACAACUAUUUUAUUUUUAGUGUUGGCAUUACUGCAUUGUGUCAUUUUGCUUUUUUUACACAGAUCGUCCCAUGCAAUGUGAGGUUGAAAUUCAACAACCUGACAGGAGACACUGUGACAUUUGAGGCUCCUAGGGGCCGUACACUAUGGAGGUCGAGAAAGGACGCAAUAUGUCGCAGAUUGGAGGAGAUGGAUGGGCCCAUUUCCUCGCCCGCAUGCGUCUUACUGGUGGUGAGUUGAUCAGCUUCUCCUUCAGAGCAGAAAGACCCAAGCUGGCUAUCAUUUAUAUCAACCUGGUGGAAGAUGAUGAAGAUGACGAAGAUGAUGAAGAUAAUGAGGACCCACUGGAUGAAGAUGAUGAGAACCCACUUCAUGAAGCCAUCAUAGCUCAAAGAAUGAGGCUGAGCGAGGAGGAGGUGUGCAACCUAUGGGACAUAAUUCCGCCACGUGAUGACUUUGUCGGGGUGCCAUUCGUGACCCGCCUGACAAGUACCAUGGUCGAUCGGCAUGAAAUGGUAUGUUAUACUGACUGUAGUAAUUUGAUGAUAUAUAUAUAUAUAUGCUUUAUUGUUAUACUUACAAAUGCAAAUUAUCCGAUGAUAUGCUUAGUGUAGAGUCAAAUGAUAUGCUGUGUAGAAUCUAGUCGAUGAUAUGCUUUAGUGUAGAGUCUGAUCACAUGCUUAUUAGUGUAGAUUCCAAGGAACUAUUAAUAGUGUAGAUAAUCCAUAUAUACUUAUUAGUAGAAUUAAUGCUUAAUUAGUACAAAUGUGUAGUACUGUGUCUUUUGAUAGUGUAGAAAUCUAUACUUAACAGAAAUAUAUUUGCAAGAGUAUGUGCGAGGCUAUUUAUUAAUUGAUAUGUUUUUCUUAUUCAGAAAUUGCCAAAGAACUUAUCUGUGAGUUGUGGUAUCGAGCCUGAUGAAGAAGGCUCAGCUGGACUACGCCUUACCGCAAGGGGCUCCGUCACCACAUGUACUUACCGCAUGGACACAGACGGUCGCACACACUUAAACUCGGUUGGGCGGAAGAGAUUCCUCGUUGGCAAGAAUCUUCGUGUUGGACAGGCCAUCCUAAUUACUAUCAGGAACACCCACCGCCCAGGCUUGAGGAUGAUGAUCGUCGUCGAUAUCAUCUAGAACUACAUAUGUGUGUGUGGCUAUAUCAUCUAGAACUACAUAUGAUGAUCGUCGUCGAUAUCAUGUAGAACUACAUAUGAUGAUCGUCAUUGAUAUCAUCUAGAACUACAUAUGAUGAUUGUCGUCGAUAUCACCUAGUACUGCUUGAGGAUGCAUGUUGAGUAUAUAUGAAAUUGUUAUCUAGUACUCCCUCCGUUCCAAAUUACUCGUCGUGGAUUUAGUUCAAAUUUGAACUAAAACCACGAUGAGUAAUUUGGAACCGAGGGAGUACUACCUAGUACCUAUAAUGCUUUAUGAAAUUGAUAUAUUGUAGUACCUAGUAUCUGGAAAUUGCAAUUUAUUGAAGCUGAAACAGGGUAGGAAGCCAGGGGAAAUGAUGAAAGAUAUAGCAGUAGCGAGGCUAGGAAAUCACUACAGCUAAUUAAUAGUAGCGCGUUCUGGAAAAGCGCUGCUGAUAUAGUCAAUAGUAGUAGCGCGGGUACAGACCGCGCUACUACUAACAGUUAGCUAUAGCGCCGUAGUAGUAGCGCGGCUGCCCGCGCUGUUGAUAGCCUCAAAACCCGCGCUACUACUAGGGUUUUCCCUAGUAGUGUAGAUUCAAUAAAUUCUAGGGUCUUUGGGGAAGAAGGCUAUAUCUACAUCUAAAACCGGAUCGUAGGUAUGUCACUUCCUUUGACAUGGAUCCCUUUGUCGUGAGGUGCCGGAGGAACGCCACCAACGUGAUACCCGAGGAGCAAUCGACAUUCGCUUGUGCGGAGUAGAGAUCUCGGGCCAUGGGGGAGACAUCCUCCUCCUAGGGUGGUGCCACUAUGAUGUAACACAAUGCGUUCCGGUUCAUUGGAGCCUCCUGGUAUUUAGUUGGGGGAUGCAAAGCUCUCCUUCGCCGAGGGCACUCAUCCCAAAAGCUCAUCGCCGGUUGAGGUAUGAGAUUCUGGAUUGUUGUGUGACAAGAGGCAUUGUUAUACACAUGCAACUUGCCAAAGUCAUCAUACGGAAAACUCCGACACUUGAACUUGAAGAUUUGUUCCCUAGCAAAGAAAGUAGUGAGGAUUCGUCUCUCCGCCCCGUCGAGGACGAAGUGCAGGGAACCAAGGGAGAGAUCCCGGCCCGAUGAGAAGCCACUGGUAUUCUGGGUUGGAGUGGCCAUCUCCAUCCGAUCGGCGGACCCGAGCGCACCGUCUCUACUGGCGCGUCAACAGUCGGUGGCUCUCCGAGAGGAGGUAAGACCUUACUACAGCAAUUUGUGGUUAGAUUGCCCAAGUACUCACCGGCGAUCAGGAGGAUUACUAGAGAGAUCGGUUUCUUGGGUUACAAGCACUCUGGCUGACGACUGAGAGGAAGAAAAUGGAGGUAGGUGAGAACUCUAACUCUAUGAUGAUAUAGCAUAUGUUUUAUGACUUCAUACCCUCCAUAGAAUGCCUUAUAUAUUCGGUAAGGCUAGGGUUACAUCAGCUGGACCGACCCAAGGUGGGUUGGCCACAUCUGUAGCCCCGUGCCCAUUAGAUAUCUUUCCCAAGCUCCAUAGGGUGGCGCAAUGGUCGUCUUGAGUAUUCGUCUUGGGUGGUUAGCUUGGCCCGGUGAAAGGGCUCUACCAGGGGUCUCAGGUUUCCAAUGGUCAUAUGCUCGUCACCUUGCGAGGGCCGGACACGAUACACACGCAGUAGGUAGAAGCAGCAAUGAUAGCGAUGUAGCACGGGCGGGGGCACGCCGGUAUAGAGUAGGACACCGCUAGAGGCGGUGUUAGCCAUGGCCAAUCUAGGCAUGCUGAUAUCGAACACGAGCAUGGCGAGUCCAGUAGUGGCCAUGCCAAGCAUGCAGAGCCAAUUCUUGUUGUAGUUCGUUCUCAUUGAGUACCAGCCUGGCUCCAAUGUCGCGUUUUCAAUACAUCGAGCUCGACAACACCAUUGUCUCCAUGCAAAAGCUAGUUUUGGGGCUUUUAGAAAACUCGGUCGUACUUAUCCAUGAUUUAGAUAGAUAACCCAAACUUGUUCUUUGGGGGUUACAACCGAAAUCACGUUUAUGUAAACCUUGUUACCUAGAAUCUCUCAAUCCAAACAUCCUCUAAAGAUGCAAUCGCACAAAAUCACAUAAUUUGUUUUCCUACAUUCCAACUCUUACAAAUUAUCACAUAAAAUGGGUCUCAUUUAUUUUCGUAUAGAACAAUUAUAUGCACUUAUACUUUCUAAACUUUGUACAUGCAUGGGUUGCUGAGUAGUAAACCAAAUCGGAGAUAAAAACAUUCACUUAAGUAACACAAAUGCCACCAGCAUAGCAACAACAUGUUUUAUGCGAUCAAACGUCGUAAAAAGCAUGUUUUUCAUGACUUGGAUUUGAGUACUUCUGUCCAGAGUGUACCCUGGAAGGUCAAGCCACUGAAAAAUACAGUUGGGGAAGUGGAUACUGUGAAUAAAUGAAGACUGGUAAUGGAAAAGCAAACACGCAUGGGCACAUGAAAAAAAGGAGUGCACAUGGAAAAGAAGACUUCUUACCAGAAUAUUGUGAAACCGUAUUGUAAUAUCCAGCCGUCCAUGCAUAUAUAAAUUCAACCGGAGCUUGAAGUUCUUACCAGAGCUUGCUUGCUGAAGUAGCUGCUUACCUUGGAAGAGAGAAAAUUCAUCGCUCAUCCAUCACCAUGGCAACAAGGCCGGGCCCUUUGACCGAAUGGCCAUGGCAUUGGAUGGGCAGCUUCAAGGUAUGUUAUAUUUUGUCUCUCUGAUAUUAGUUGUGGGUUCCCAAAGGUAGGACGUGACGUUUUAUUUUAUCUAUCUAAAUUCAUGUUCAUAUAUUGAGUAACAUCCUCUCUCUCUCUAGAAUAUAUAUCCUUCAGAAAAGGUAACAUUAAAUUAAAGAAAGUUUUAUAUGCAUCGUAAUGUCAAGUGGAACCGGCAUUACAUGAAGAGUUGCAUGUUGCAGCGAACACAUGUGUUAUCAAUUAAUUAUAAUUACUUGUAUUUUAAAUUGCAAAUAGAGUAUUAAAUUCUAGCAUAAGCGUUCCAGUCUCAUCUUGCCAAUUCACCGAGUACUUUUCAGUUUUCACAUGUUCCAGAAAUGUUGCUUCAAGAAAACGAUGAAAGUAAACAGUAGUACUCCCUCCGAUUCAAAAUAAGUGUCGUGGUUUUAGUUCAAAUUUCUAUUUAUUUUUUUAUUUUUUUAUGAGGUACUCCCUCAGUGUCAAGAUGUAAGACGGUAUUUGAGUCUCAAUUUAAUCCAAAAAAAAAGCCUUACAUUUUGAUACAGAGGAAGUACCAUUCUAUUUUGCACUGACUAAUUUUAGAAAACACAAGAAAUAGAGAGGAAAGGGACCUUUGACAAAUUCCUUGCUUCUUUGCACUGUGGAUAGCAACCUGAGUACAAUAACAUAUGCGCCUGUAAAAUCUCUGAUAGCAGCAAUCAAAUCAUACAGAUGUAUGUAUUGCUGGGCAGCUCAAGUCCUUCUCAUGAAACCUUGAACUGUCUUUGUUCCUUGGCCUUGCGAUCCUAAUAUGAAUUGCCUGCAGUAGCUUUAUUUUUCAAGUAGAAUGACAUACACAAACCUCCUUUUCACUUCAAAACCAAGACGUUUGCAAACUUAAAGCCACGGCAACUUUGAAACGGUCACAGAUCUAAUUGCCACAUGCUAUACGCCGCUGAUUAACUCCCAAUUUCCCAUUCAUCAAUGUCACAUGAUAUUCUAACCAUGCACCGCUCAUAUGUAGUACCUGGUCUUGGCGCCCGCGGCGUUGCACACUGCGCACAGUGUGGUCACCAAGGGAUGGGGAGACAUGAACCUAGUAUACGCCGCCAUGUUACCAGCUCUGCUUCUGAGGUUGUUCCACAACCAGAUCUGGAUCAGCUUGUCUCGCCACCAGACCGCACGGAGGAAGCACAUCAUUGUUGACCGCAGCCUUGAAUUCGACCAGGUCGACCGGGAGAGAUCCUGGUAAGUGAUAUAUAUUCACAGCCUGCUAUAUAUUCACUUCUAGUUGUAUCACACUCAAAUUACCUGAAAUCUAAAAGAUGAUAUGUUGCGUGUAAUGCUAAUAAGUUAUCCUUACCAUUCUGUACAGGGAUGACCAGGCCAUCCUUGCUACGCUGUUUUUCUACGUGGCCUAUGCGGCCAUCCCGAGUGUCAGACUCAUGCCAAUGUGGGAAACAAAGGGAGCUAUCGCCAUUGCGUUGCUUCACGUAGGACCUGUUGAGUUUAUCUACUACUGGUUCCACAGGGCGCUGCACCACCAUUUCCUCUACUCCCGCUACCACUCCCACCACCAUGCCUCCAUCGUCACAGAGCCUAUAACAGGUAAGUAACCUCAUUCAGGGAUGAGAGGGUUAAUACAACGAUGCACAACGCCACCAAGUUAUUCACAAACAAGGAUCGCACAAAAAAAAUCAUUUCAUUACUAGUGGCAUUAAGUUCACAAGUGCCUAGAUUAUGGUUGCUUCGGGUAACAAAUCAUUGUGUUAAGUUCACAAACAAGGAUCGCACAAAAAAAUCAUUUCAUUACUAGUGGCAUUAAGUUUACAAGUGUCUAGAUUAUACUUGCUUCGGGUUGAGUUCACAAGUUUCUAGAUUUCUAAACAUUGUACACAAUACAGAUUCACGUUUAAGAUUUAAACUGUGCUAAGAAGAAACAAAAAAUGCGAAAAAAAGGAAAAGAAAGAGUCAAACUAUGUCAUGAAUGAAAUGCGGCAGCACUAAAAAUCCAUGAUAUAUGCAUGUUGCAUGGUACAGAGACUCUGAUGUUCAAAUCGGACGGAUGUUAGUUGACCAGGCUAGCAAAUCCAAUGGCUAAAACAAUUCGGAUGACGUGGAAGCACACAUGUAUAGAAAAAUAGCAAUUAAUGACUUGUAGUGUGGUUUGUCUGUAAAAGAUAUAUACAUAUUGCAACCAAUUUGACCAAUUUGUGUUCUAAAACUGCCAAAAACCACUAGACUUUUUUUUAUGGAAAUGCUAAAAAUAUGAUGUCAGAUUUUUACGCAUGGGAAAUGAAACAUUUUUUAUGUCGAAUUACCGUAUUGCAAGCAUAUCAAUUCCCUUCAGCGAGCAUGACAAAUCCUGGGAAAAAAACUGAACAUGCCAGGAGUUGCCAUGCUUGCUGAAGGAUAUUGCCAGGCUCGUGUCACGUAAUUUGCCAAAAAAACGUUCAAUUUGGCAUGUUUAAAAAACUGACAUCAGACCUUUUUAAGAUAAUAACCACUAGAUAUAAAUGACAUCUGAAAGCAUCUGUACAUGCAUCAAAGUCCCGUUGGUUGGAGUUACAAUAUCCAUUCUGAUUCCACGAGUAUAAGAAAUUCAAAGCAUAGAUAUGUCCAAAAUAAAAAAUAGAAGAAUCAGGAUAACAUUCUGAGACCAAAAAUACUAUUCAGAAAUGAGGUGUUUACCAUCUUGGUCCUUCCAAAAAUAAUCUAGUUCAGAUUUCUCUACAUGUUCUAUUGCUUAACAAAUCUCUAAGUGAUUGCUGCGUUAACAAUUAGUGUUGUGUUUUGCACAAAGCAUCUUGAUUUGGUAUAUAUGAAGGUUUAAAUCUAAUGAAAUUUUACCAUAUGAUUGGCAGCUGUCAUCCAUCCAUUUGUUGAAACCUUAGCUUACUUCCUGUUAUUUUCGAUCCCCAUGCUGAUACCAAUUUAUAUGGGAUAUGGUUCUGUCUUGGGUGUUGUCCUAUACCUGGCUUGCAACGACUUCAUAAAUAAUAUGGGACACUGCAAUUUUGAGAUGCUCCCAAAGUGGAUCUUCCAACGUUUCCCUCCUCUCAAGUAUCUCAUGUACACUCCAUCGUAAGUAUAGCAUUUUAAGUUCAACCUUGCAAUCAUGUUAGUGCUGAGACUUUAGGUCCAUUAUGUUCUUACUCAAAUUUUACCAGUGGAUACUGCAAACAUGAACAAAUAGUUGAAAUCUUUAGACAUAGCUUCAUAAAACCACAAACCAAAUUAUUCAAAGGUAUUUUCCAUUUCCCCCAUAGGUAUCAUUCUCUCCAUCAUACAAAGUUUCGUACAAACUACUCAUUGGCUAUGCCAAUCUAUGACUACAUAUUCAACACCAUGGACAAGUCAACAGACGAGUUGUAUGAGAGAACACUGAUUGGAACAGAGGAAACACCAGAUGUUGUUCACUUGACGCAUAUGACCACCUUGCAGUCGACUUAUCAUCUAAGGGUUGGGAUUGCCUCUGUAGCCUCUCGGCCCUCAGAUAACCAUGUAUGGUAUAUGUGGAUGAUAUGGCCAAUGGCAUGGCUAUCAAUGGUACUAGCAUGGGUUUAUGGAUCAUCUGCGUUUGUCGUCGAAAGUCUCAAGCUGAAGAAGAUCAUGAUGCAAACAUGGCUGAUACCAAGAUACAACUUCCAGGUAAUGGAUUUUCCACGUUACAUGAAUCCUAUACCUUCAUAGUGUUGCAAACUGAUAGGAUUUUCUCCAUCUGCAGUACAGCCUGAUUAGGGAGAGGGAAUCCAUCAAUAGGUUAAUUGAGCAGGCAAUAUCAGAUGCGGAUCAAAGAGGGGUCAAAGUGCUCAGUCUUGGACUUUUCAAUCAGGCAUGUUGACAAAAAAAUUCUUUCUUAACCACCACCUUUUUCACUUUGAUUGAGAUUUUGAUGAAUUUCACUGAAUAACAAUAAUUGUAGUAGACACAAUUUUUUUUACAUUUCGAUCAAAAUAUUUCAGUCAUUUCAGUUGUACACAAGAAUACAAAUAUUUUCAAAAUAUUCAGUUUUUCUAAUUUCGAGUGAACAUCUCGGUCCUUUGGCCGGAAUACAAACCGAUAUCAUUGAAAUUCAGUAAUUCUGGUAGGUGCUGAAAUAUUUCUCAAAGUGAAGUUAAAACCACGUGCUAAACACACUCUUCAUACAUUCUUCCACGUGACACCUAACUUCUGAUUGGGUCACAAAACAUUCAGAAAUGUUGGCAAAAAACUAUGUAAGGACAACCUUUUGAUUAGUCCGACUAGUUUGUGGAACUAAUACGGUUUUGACUAGAAGUGCUACAAGAGUCAGAUGCACUUUUUGCACACAGAUGAUUAGCGCAAAUAUAUUAACCCUCACAUUCUUGGUCCCAGGAAAGACAACUCAAUGGAAGUGGUGAAUUAUUUACACAAAAAUAUCCAAAAUUGAGAGUUCGACUUGUUGACGGAAGUGGCUUAGCAACAGCAGUUGUUCUCAAGAGCAUCCCUUUAGAUACAAAGCGGGUGUUUCUCUGUGGAGGCGGUUCUAAGGUAGCACAUGCCACAGCUACAGCUUUAUGCGAGAGAGGUGUCCAGGUACCUAACUUUCACCUUGCUACUUUGUUGAUUUCGUUUAGUAGCUCACUUUUUGUAUGAGUUGGUCCCAUUUCUUGAAAGAAUGACUAUAAAUAUACGCAAUUUUGUGUAGGUAAUCAUGAACCAAAAGAAGGAAUAUGACAUGCUGAAAUUGCGAGUUGCAGAGAGCAGCACUGCCUAUCUAAAAUUCUCCAGUGAUGAGAUACCUCAGGUAAAUUGAAAGUUAUACAGAAAAAGGAAUGAAAACCCUCAAGAAGCUUUCUAGCUAGGGUGCAUAUAUGGUAAGUGGAGUAUAUGUAAUUAAAUAUAACUACUAGAGAUAUUAGACAAUACAGUGAAUGCUUAUAAAAAAUUGCUNNNNNNNNNNNNNNNNNNNNNNNNNNNNNNNNNNNNNNNNNNNNNNNNNNNNNNNNNNNNNNNNNNNNNNNNNNNNNNNNNNNNNNNNNNNNNNNNNNNNNNNNNNNNNNNNNNNNNNNNNNNNNNNNNNNNNNNNNNNNNNNNNNNNNNNNNNNNNNNNNNNNNNNNNNNNNNNNNNNNNNNNNNNNNNNNNNNNNNNNNNNNNNNNNNNNNNNNNNNNNNNNNNNNNNNNNNNNNNNNNNNNNNNNNNNNNNNNNNNNNNNNNNNNNNNNNNNNNNNNNNNNNNNNNNNNNNNUGUUUUACGGAAAACAGUAGCAAACAUUAAGCUAUAGUGUCAUCUUCCAGCAAAUGACAACGAUUAGAAUGUAAACCCAUGUAGCUACCAUAGUAGGAAGAAAAGAAACACUCUGAUAAGCAAUAUAUUCAAUAAUUACUUCUUCAUUGCUACAGAUCUGGAUAGGAGAUAUCAUAGAUGAUCAGCAACAAAUGGGGGCACCAAGAGGAGCAACAUUUAUUCCUACAUCACAGUUUCCCUUUAAGAAGAUACGCAAGGAUUGCACUUACUUGAGUAGCCCUGCAAUGAGGAUCCCAGAGGCAAUGCAGAACGUCCAUACCUGUGAGGUGCUAGCAGUAUAUAUGUUCUCAUUGCCUUUUUGCGAAAAUAGAUGAUCUCAUUGCCUGAUUAUGUAAAUUUUGUGAUAGCGAAAUAGGACAUUUGACAUACACAGAUUCUUAUCCAAGAUUAGAAUAGAUAAUCUGAUAGAUACUAAUAUGUGUUUCUACUCCCUUCAUGAAUAGAAUUGGCUUCCAAGAAGGGUCAUGAGCGCAUGGCGCAUUGCUGGAAUGGUACAUGCACUAGAAGGUUGGGGCAUCCAUGAGUGUGGAGAUGAUAUGAUGGACAUCGAGCAAGUUUUGUCGGCAGCUAUUAAGCAUGGAUUCAUUCCUCUGUAAAAAACUUGAUUCUUCUGAAUCCUCCCAUAUAUGUUACACGAUAAUGUUGAGCUGCAGUGUUAUGGAGUGUCAGAUAUGCUUAUUGGCUUAGUAGCUUCAAUGGGCAGACAUGUAUUUGGGUAGAAAGCCCUAAAGAUGGUAUCAAUAGCAAAAACUUAUGAGUGCAUGAAAUGUAUGAAUCGCCAACUCACAGAAACUCAUUAAAGCAUGUUACCCAUUAUCAGUGACAUUCAGAUUCGAACUUUAAAUGGCCAUGGAAUAAGGCAAUUCAAAGAGAGAUCCAACACACUUCGGGUUUUUUCUAUCAGCAUUGGUCUUUCUUCUGGAUUUGGGUAGUAAGAAGUAAUUUUAUCGCCCCACGCCCAAACCUCCCGGAUACCACAAAACUGUGAACCUUGUUGGGCAUUGGUGUUGUCGUAAUCGAUUCUGCAAGAUUGAAAGAGUAGCUAGUCGAGAUUAGACACUACUGGAAAAGUCAACUACGCCUACCAGAUUCGCUGGAAGAAGCCCCGAACUCCGAUCUAGAACGUUCGACUUAGAUCGAGGUUCGAAUUAGUUUAGUUCGAUUGGAAAUCGCUGCCCGAUUCACCGAACUCAAAUCAAUCUCAACUUUUCUCCCCAUUUGUUGAUUUCAAUUGAACCCAAAAAAGGAAUCCAUGUAUCAUCUAUUACAGGCUAGACGCUGUUGCAGCUAUCCUCAAUUGCCAAGGCUGCCCACAUGACGACGGCGUGGGGACAUGGUUGCCUGAGCAUCGCAGCUCCUGUUGUGCAUCGUUGAUACAUGCCUGGAGGCUCCUCUCCUGCUUCCCCCAGGGCACGAGCACCACGCGAGUGAGCAGGAAGGGAUGGGGUGUGCAAUAAGGUCGAGACGAACUAGCAUAAGAACGGAGGAAAGUUGUUUUUUUACAUAGUACAAUUAAAAUUGCUCACAUACACAAGAAUCAAGUCACCCCUAUGAACACAUGCACACACACCCUAAACCUAUGAGCAUCUUCGAGAGACCGAGUCAGUAUAGCAUCUUGAGAUUUUACCAAGUCACCAUCGGCGCCUCGUAGUUGAUGGAACGUCUUCUCCAGCUGAACGGACAUUGCCGAAAGCCUGAAAUAAAUUCAGGAAUAAUACAAGCACCAAUGUCAAAUCUAAGAUUUAAACUUUGAUGGAAUGAGGAUACCACUGUCCUUCUAACCAUCCAACACAUGUUGAUUCGAAAUGAAGGAAAGAUGUUGUGCGGGAAGCGAGGUAGAAGAAGAUGUGCGUGUGACCGUGUGUGGCGGAUGGCAUCAAAGGACCGGCUAAGACGUCUGGACGAGAAGAGAGCAACUAGUUAACGAUCGCUCCUUCGGGAGCCUCCCAACAAUCACUUGGGGCUGGGCUGAGAGCACGCCAGCCGCCAUGUGUGGCGCUCUUGGGGUUUCCUCCGGAUUUUUUUUGGCACAUGUAUCUGUCUUUUUAGACGGUUUUUUUGGGUUUUUUCGCCUGUUUGGUUUUCCACUGGCCUUUCUUAGAUUUUGUAUGAAAUAAAUUGAAAUAUUUUUUUGCGAGAAAACACGUGUUCCUAUAUUGUCCUUUCGCGAGAGGCAUGGUUUUUCUUUCGUGAGAGGCACGAUCGUGCCUCUCGGAAAUGGAAAAAAUGAGAGGCACGGUUUUGCUUCCGUGAGAGGCAUGGUUUUGCUUUCGCGGGAUGCACGGCCGUGCCUCUCGGAAACGAAAAAAAACAUGUUUUUACCUUCCGCAAGAGGAACGGUUUUGCUUCCGAGAGAGGCACAGUUUGCUUUCAUGAGGGGCACGGCCGUGCCUCUCGAAAAAAAAAGGUGUUUUCUUUUUCUUUUCCUUCCUCGAGAGGCACGGUUUUGCUUCUGCGAGUGGCAUGGCUGAUAUGUCUCCAAUGUAUCUCUAAUUUUUUUUAUUGUUACAUGCUAUUAGUAUUAAUCUUGGAUGUUUUAUAUGCAAUUAUAUGUUAUUUUAUAACACUUUCUGAGACUAACCUAUUAACCCAGUGCGUAGUGCCAGUUGCUGUUUUUUGCCUUUUUUUGGUUUUCCUGGAAAUCAGUACAAAACGGAGUCCAAAUGCUAUGAAAUUUUUUGACGAUUUUUUCUGGAGAAAAUGGACCCUAGAAGCUUCGGGAGGAGACCAGAAAAAAACCGAGGAGACGACAAAGCAACAGGGCGCGCCCUGGGGGCGCCCUGUUACCUUGUGGGCCCAUCAAGACUCUGUCUGACCUAAUUCCACCUCUAUAAAUUCUCUAAAAUCAGGAAACCAAAAGAGAGCCACCCAAAACACUUUUUCUGUCGCCGCAAGUUUCUAUUCUCCCAUGAUCCCAUAUGGAGGCCUUUUUCGGUACUCUGCCGAAAGGGGAAUCGAUCACGGAGGGCUUCUACAUUAUCCUUGUUGCCCUUGAGAUGAUGCAUGAGUAGUUCACCACAGACCUACGGGUCCAUAGCUAGUAGCUAGAUGGCUUCUUCUCUCUCUUCGAUGUUCUUGGAGUUCUAUCCUCCUCGAUUUUCUUGGAGUUCUAUCUGAUGUAAUCUUCUUUUGUGGUUUGUUUGUUGCGAUCCGAUGAAUUCUGGGUUGAUGAUCUGAAUAUUUAUGAGAAGUAAUUGAGUCUUUUCUGAACUUUAUUAUGCAUGAUUGUUAUAGCUAUGUAUUUCUCUCCGAUCUAUCUGUUUUAUUUGGCCAACUAGAUUGAUUUAUCUUUAGUGGAAGACACUACAAGAAUUCUGUUAAUCCAUGACAGACACAGUCCGUCAUGGACCAGCGAAAAACCGUCAUGAAGGAGUAUCCUUCACGGAUUUGAAAUCCGUCAUGUAUAUCGCGUCAUAAUUGGACCAUGUGCAUUCCAUGACGGUUCUUGGCUGUCAUUGAUGUUACUUAACUGACGUUGUCAUAACGGUGUUAGCUUGACUGCCACAUCAUCAUCUGACAUGGAUCUGACAAGGUGGCCCAAGAAAUAAGAACCCCAGUUAGACUUUUGGCCCACUAAAUUGUAGCUCGGCCCAAGAUGGACAACCCAUGUAGUAAUCAGCCCAUUAAAAAUUUCAAGUUGAUCCAAGGCCCACUAAUUUCAUUGAUGAAUCAGUUUGUUAUCAGCCCAAUUAGGAUUUUAACCUACUAAAUUUUUUUGUGAGAAAACCUACUAAAUAGAAUAUUUUGGUUCUUAACAUUUUAGCUCAGAAGCUUUUCUUAAUAUAAUAAAUAGAAUACACAUAUAUUCCACUAAAAACAGAAUACAUGUAUACACAAAGACAAAUUACAGUGAGAGAAACAAAAGAAAAGUCCUUCCACGGUGGAGAGGUCGUUUUCCGCCAAGACAGUGGCCCUCGCCAUCUAACUCGUGUCCAUUGGAUGCGUUGCUGUGGAGGGGAAUCACUAGCUCUUCGCCGACGCAUUACCAAUUGCCCUGCAGUCCUCGAGCACGCCCGUAUUCCGUCGUGUAGGCCCAUCCAAGUCUGCGAGCCCGCCCUUGUUCCCUCGGUUCGGGACGCCCAGGAAUGGAGCCGCUCGCGCCCUGCAGAGACUCAGACACAGGUCAGAUCAACGGCAGCGGCGCCAGGUCGCCUUCAGGGGCGUCGCCGCCAUAGGGCCGAGGCCGUCGUCACGGCGGCUUAUGCGGCCAGCAUCCUGCAGUGGGUCGACGGGAAGCGACCCCGCUGGCAUCGUAGCUCCCGUCCGCGGACGCUCGGGAGGUGUUGGCCACCGCACGGUUUGGGGUUCGUUGGCAGCGUCGACCACGGCAAAGCUCCCCGGUGACGGGUCGGCGCAGCCCUCCCCGCGUUCCAGCGCGUACCACCGGACGGUGUGGGGGCGUCUUGGAUGUCGCGGUGGCGGUGCUUGGCUUGGUCAGGAUAGAGGAAUAAACCGGCAAGGAGAAGGAGACGGAAGGAAGGAACACAGAGAGAUCCAGGGAAUUUGACGAUUGUUGAUGGGAGGAAGGAGAGCGCUAUGCGGAAAAGAUGCCGGCGGCUGUGGGUUGGGGGAGAUAGAAGAGGGGGGAGGGAUUGUUUUCCAACCGUUGGAUUUCGGAGGAACAAACGGUCCAUACGCGCGAUCCGUGGGUGUGUAGGUUCAGCCAAUCAGAGGGCACGGUUUGCCUCAUGCGGGAUCGCCACCUCUGCUGGAUCCUUUGUUGACUUGAGCCCACCACCGAACACCGAAUUAGCCGUGCAGAAUUUGUUUUUCUCUUCUUCUAUUUUUCAUAGCUGAUUAAAUCACUCCUGUGAAGUAACUUGCAAAAAAUUCAUCAUCUACACCUUAAUGCAUUUUUUGUGUGUGAUAUAUAUGUUAUUUAGUAGAAAAUUCGACAAUUUAUGAAACGAUCUACUCCUUUCAUUCUAUAAUAUAAGAGCAUUUUUUACACUAGAGUGUAAAAAAUCUCUUACAUUAUGGAAUGAAGGGAGUAAUAUUUUAUAGUUAAAAGGAAUUUAUGUGUGCACGCCUACCCUUUCAUCCUCCUCCAGAGCGAACAAGAGAUCCUGCCUCCCCGUUGGCGGCGCCGCCGAUCUGCCUUGCCUCCUGCAGCCUUAGAGCCAUGGCGGCACGAUGGAUCCCGGCCCUUGCCGCCGAUAGGCCCCCAUUUAGAUGCUUCUUUGAGUUUUGUUAGGGUUUGUGUCCUACUCAGAAGGCGAGACGGUGGCGGCUCCUUGAAGAUUGAAUAAAGUUCUCUCCGCCUAGCCCCUGUCCUGCUGGUUCUUCUAGCAUUGUGAGAGUGUGUGUGGAGGUGUGUCUCCGGUGGAUCUCGCGGGAUUCAAUCGGCGGUUAUUUUUGGUGGUUCUGUUCAUAUCCGAUUUGCGUUCGUUUACAUUCGUGUGUCUUCAGAUUGGAUCAUUUCAAUCUAUGUGUCUCUUUAUCCACGACGAUUAUUGUUUGUUGCACUAUUCCUAUGGGACCUUAACAAGACGACUUGUCGACUGUCUACCACAAUAUGUUUUGCCCAGCUGCGACGAAUGAGGGGCGAUGAUGGCGGCGCGCCUUCAACUUGCUUCAAUGUCUGUAGUCGCCGCUGGGUGGUUCACGGAUCUAGAUGUAAUAUAUUUUUUAUGUUCGUUGUACUGCCAUGAUUGAAGAUGAAUUUACUUUCCCGCAAAAAAGAAUUUAUGUGUAUAGUAUCUCAAAUAAGCUUUAAACGAAAAAAGGUGCAUAUGUGUAAUUUUUAGCUUAGAUCGCUAGAUGGAAAAUUGUUGUUUCUAAACAAUGUACAUCUGGUGAAAACUUAUCCAAAUUUUAUCACAGGCAAUUGAUGUCAUAUCAUGGCACUCUGUCAAGUUUCACAUUUUUUUGACUCGAUAUGACAUUUUCAGAAUAAAAAACCUGUAAGGUACAUGCCUGUGGUCGAGUCCUGAAACACUGAUAUUUGGAAAUCCUUUUUUUCUUGUAUAAGACCUAAGCAUAGAGUCAAGAAAAUGAAUAUGAUUAUUUCAACCAUUUUUACAUUAUUUCAUAUAUGUGUAGUUCAAAUUUGGAAUAUAUUCAUUAAAUACCUAGAAAUUAAUUUUAAAAUUUUAGAACUAGCAAACGAACACUAUUUUUUUCAAAUUUUUACAUGCAAGAUGUAAUGAUGUAUGUUUAAUGCAGAAAAAAAAUCAAGUCAAAUGAUGAUGCAACUGUAACUUUUCCUUCUAACCUGAGACAUUCAGUUCCAAAACUAUGAUUCUUCCUUGUUGAUGGUUCGGUUUCUAAACAAUGUAUGUCAAUUUUUUUGUUAGACUAGGUUUUACUUUUUUAUAAAUUUUAAAACCAAUAAGAUCCAUGUUGGUGGACGGUGGUAAAGCCUCGAAAUGCACUUAAUGGCUUAAUUGUAGCAAACAAAGGCCAAAAACACCAAAUUUUGACAAGGAACAUUUGAUGGAGCACUUUGAGUGUAGAUUUUUUUUCCAAGGUCAAACUAUGAAGCAGUUGACACUUUCCUUCAAACCCAACGUGUUCCCUCUCAAAACAAUGAUUUUCUUUGUCAAAAAUGUUGCAUUUUUUUCAAGCAGUGUACGUCACAACUUUUGCGAAACCUUCUCAAUUUUUCACCACAUAAUACAAAGACACCAUGCCAGGUUUCAUGUGUUUUCUUUUUUUGUUACUUUUUUGCAUUUAAUUUACUUUUUGUAACUAGUUUUUCUCGCUUGAAAAAAAAAGAAUUAAAGAAAGAAAAAUAAUCAGCGAGACGAAAAGAAAGUGUUUGUGCAUUCGAUUUCCUUGGUGCUUAUGGAAAGUGUUUCACGUGUAUUUAAAAAUUGUCAACAUCUUUUUGAAAAUUGUUCUCUUGCUUUCAAAAAAUUGACAACGUGUAUUCGAACAAUGUUCAAUGUGUUUUAAAGAUAAUUUUCAACAUGUAUUACCGAAUUUAUUGUGUAAAAUAAUUUAAGAAACGUGUCUAUUUUUUAAUACAACUUUAGAUAUUCUUAAUACAUUUCUACAAUUUAUUAAUACUAGCACAUAUGCCCGUGCAUUGCAACGGGGAGAUAAUUAUUUUGCUACUAUAUGACGUUAGUUGUGUCAACUAGUGUGUGGCACGCAUAAUAGUUCGAAAUAACCUAUGUCUACAAGGCACGAGUAAUAAUCCAAAAAAAUGACGUGUUGAACGAUCGAACACAUGACCGUAAAGACCCGACCACGUGCUGCUAGCCACGUGAACAAAUGCCUACUGCUAACCAAUUGGCAGCAUAAAUAUUUAAGAACAUAGUGCAACUUCGGAUUGAAAAUAAUUUUUGAACUUUUAUUAAAAUAUGAAUUGCCGAAUAUUCUUGGAAACGUGAGCAUUUUUUUAAAUUACGAACAAUAUUUUUAACAUUUCGUACAUUUUGGAAAAAAACAUAAACAAAAAUUGAAACACCAUCAUUUUUUGAAGACAUGAACCUUUUAUCAAAACCCAAACGUUUUUUUAAUUUGUGACUGACUUUUGAAAACGGAACACGUUUUGAACAUUUAGAACAAUUUUAUAAAACGUUUUUUAAUAGACAGACAUUAUUUUAUAUCUGUGAACAUUUUAGUAAAACAAGAAUAUAUUUCAAAUACCGAAUAUUUUUUAAAUAAUUUUUUUAUAUCACUAAAGAAAUUGGAAUAAUUAUAAAUUUGAAAAAAACGGAACGAGAAAACAAUUAAUGUUCCAAAGAUUUUUGAAAAGGGGAAGACAAAAUUGUAAUUCGAACAGUUUUAAAAAAAUUGACAAAAAUUCAAAUUGUUAACUUUGUUUGAAAAUUUGGAAUUACAAAAUAAGGUAAAAAUAAAGGUAAAUUUGGAUUGAAAAUCAAAAUGGGCCGGCCCAGUCUUGUGCGCCCGGUGCGUAGUCCCACUAUCCACCGCUUGGUGCUAGAAGUAGGAUUUUUGCAGCUACAUGGGAAGUCAAAUAAGUGGGCUGGCAUCGCUGGGGCACGGCGUUAUUUUUAAACAAUAACUUCUAAUCACAAUGUCAGUUCUUUAAUAAAUUUUUAUCUAUAAAAUACAAUUCAUAUACACAAUAAUCGAGCGUGCUUGUGUUUAUUGAAGAUAGAUAUUUUUACAAACUUUAAAUCCAUAUUUAUUUAAAAAUGUUCAUGUUUACCUCUUGAAGUAGCUUGAUAAUGAAAAUGCAAUGAAGAUGUACAUAAUAAUUGUGUGCUAGUAAUUAUUGUAAAUUUACUUACAUUUAGUUUCUAGUGGGAAAAGCUAAAAAGAAAAUAAGCACAAACUUGAAACAAAACAAUAACUGUGCGUGCUUGUGGUCCAUAAUGAACGUACUUAAAAUUUCUGACAUUUUGUUUUUGUAAGUCCACAUAAAUUUUGGAAAAAGUAGAUGUUUACCUCUUCAAGGUUCAAAAUAAUGAAAAUCGAAUAAGAUUUAAAAUACACUAUAAAAUUGGUUGUUUAUACGAAAAAAUAUAAAUUUCAAAACAAACACCAACUUGGUAAAAUAAAAUAAAAAGGAAACCGCAUAAGGAAAAUUGCUUGAAGAUUAAAAAAAUGGUAUGCUGCGCAACUGGGCUGGCCGGAUUGCUACUGAAGGCGAGCGAUACGGCCGUUUUGAUCUACAUUCAGUUUUAUAUAAUUACUUAGCAGCAUAGGUAGGCUGAUUGGUUUGCUCGGUUGGUUGUUAUCCUGCAGGUCAUAUGUUCGAAGCCUCUACACCUAAUUUUUGCAACUUAUUUCUUUCUCAUUUGUUGACAUGUAGGGCGCGCACUUGGAAGGUACGCACUGGGCCUAGCUGUGGACGUAGUGGGAGCGUAACUCGUUCAGCCCCUGCUCCCCUCCAUUUGUGCGCUAUUUUUCUCUUAAUAAAGUUGGUACCAUAGGAAUAGUACUUGCAAAAAGGAGCGGAUACUAUCAAAUGCGUGUGUUUCCUUCUGUUAAGUUUUUUUUUUUGAGGAAAUGACCUGCUGUUAAGUAUCUUGCCAAUAGCACAAAAGAUCUCAAGUUUGAUUAUGGGUGAACAUUCUUUUCCUUUUUAACUUAUAUUAUAUCAUAUUAUAUUAUUAAGUAAGCAACUAAUUCUGCAUGCCAUUCCUUUUCUUUUUUUUACUCUCUAUAUAUUUUUAGGGGUUUCUUUAUAUACCACAGAUUACAUCCGACCCACAUGUGUGCCUAACAAGGGCCCACAUGAUACAUGAGCACCAUCCAUUCGUGAUGGUCCAAAUGUUGUAUAAGGAAAAAAAAGGCUAGGCCGAUCUGAUCGAUCCAUGACAGUUUUUGUGACAAUCCGUCUUCGUCCGUCAUAAUGGGGCUACAGAUUUGGGGGACAUCCUCAUGUUGCUGAUCUGUGACGGUUUCUGUGACGGUUCUUGGGGACGUCCAGAAAUCCGUCAUGGAUUAACAUAUUUUUUGUAGUGAGAGGUGCUUUGUAAUGGGUUCAAUCUUCGGUGCCCUAUAUCCCAGUGAUAGAAGGGGACAAGACACAUAUUUGUAUUGUUGCCAUUAAGGAUAAUACGACGGAGUUUAUUCACAUUGAUUAGGUUUACUUUGUCUACAUCAUGUCAUCUUGCUUAAGGCGUUACUCUGUUUUAUACUUAAUACCAUCGAUGCAUGCUGCAUAGCGGUCGAUUGAUGGAGUAAUAGUAGUAGAUGCUGGCAAGAGUCAGUCUACUUGUCUCCGACGUGAUGCCUAUAUACAUGAUCAUUGUCUUGAAUCGUCAUACUAUUUUUUUUUCUAUCAAUUGGCCAACAAUAAUUUGUUGACCCAUCAUAUGCUAUGUGCUCGAGAGAGAAGUCUAGUGAAAACUAUGGCCUUCGGGUCUACAUUUAUCAUAUAUAUAAACUCAAAAUUUCUUUGCCGCAAUUUUCUAUUUUCUUUAUUUUAUCUUUGUAAUUUAUCUAUCUACCACUACAAGAUUUAAUCAUUCCAAGUAACAGCCAAGGGGAUUGAUGAUAACCCACAAGUAUCACUACACCACUCUAGAGUUUAAGUGACACACUUAUGUGGGGAAAGGCCCAUUAAUCCCUACAAGAAAUCAGUCGGCGUAGCUCCGAAGCUUGGCCUCAAAUCAUCGGCAAGUCUGCACAAUAGUUGACCAAUUAUGUGUCUGCGAUCACUUAGCGCCCAUGUAUCUGUCGGCAACCAUAUAGCGACUUAUCAUCUGUUGGCAGAUGUCUAGGCCUAACAGAUUUACAAUCUGCAUAGGUAGGUGUAUGGACACAAAUUAAGUGUCGGCGUAGAUAGGGUGUACGUGCACAAAUUAAGUGUCUGCGUAUGUAUACACGUGUCAAGCAGGGAAGCCUCGAAACAAUUGAGGCUGACUUAGGCGCGAGAACAGGACUUGGCGGGCGGUUGGGCAAAUUUUUGGGCUACGUGGCGGCCCAAUUUUGACUUAACUCUCGAAAUCCAGUACCCAACCCAAAUACAUCCCCGUUCCAUCCCCACUUCCCUACCGCCGCCGUCGCACUCCAUCCCCGCCGCCCUGCCGGCGCUCCACCACCUAUGUCCCCGCCGCCCUCCCGUCGCCCUGCUCGUGCUCCAGCGUCACCCUCGUCCUUGCUGCCAUCGUCCUCACGCUUCCCCCCACCCCAUCGACACAUGUUCCCUACCACCGCUCCGGGGUCGCAGCCGCUGAUAGACCUGUUGGGGAACGUAGUAAUUUCAAAAAAUUCCUACGCACACGCAAGAUCAUGGUGAUGCAUAGCAACGAGAGGGGAGAGUGUUGUCCACGUACCCUCGUAGACUGACAGCGGAAGCGUUAUCACAAUGCGGUUGAUGUAGUCGUACGUCUUCACGAUCCGACCGAUCAAGUACCGAACGUACGGCACCUCCGAGUUCUACACACGUUCAGCUCGAUGACGUCCCUCGAACUCCGAUCCAGCCGAGUGUUGAGGGAGAGUUUCGUCAACACGACGGCGUGGUGACGAUGAUGAUGUACCACCGACGCAGGGCUUCGCCUAAGCUCCGCAACGGUAUUAUCGAGGUGUAAUAUGGUGGAGGGGGGCACCGCACACGGCUAAGAGAUCUCAAGGAUCAAUUGUUGUGUCUCUGGGGUGCCCCCUGCCCCCGUAUAUAAAGGAGCAAGGGGGAGGCAGCCGGCCAAGGGGAGAGGCGCGCCAUAGGGGGGAGUCCUACUCCCACCGGGAGUAGGACUCCUCCUUUCCUUGUGGGAGUAGGAGAAGGGAAGGGGGAAGGAGAAAGAAGGAAGGGUGCGCCCCCCCUUCCCUAGUCCAAUUCGGACCAGACCAUGGGGAGGGGUGCGGCCACCUUUUGAGGCCUUUCUCUCCUUUCCCGUAUGGCCCAUUAAGGCCCAAUACGAAUUCCCGUAACUCUCGGUACUCCGAAAAAUACCCGAAUCACUCGGAACCUUUCCGAAGUCCGAAUAUAGUCGUCCAAUAUAUAGAUCUUUACGUCUCGACCAUUUCGAGACUCCUCGUCAUAUCCCCGAUCUCAUACGGGACUCCGAACUCCUUCGGUACAUCAAAACUCAAUAAAACUGUCAUCGUAACGUUAAGCGUGCGGACCCUACGGGUUCGAGAACUAUGUAGACAUGACCGAGACACGUCUCCGGUCAAUAACCAAUAGCGGGACCUGGAUGCCCAUAUUGGCUCCCACAUUUUCUACGAAGAUCUUUAUCGGUCAGACCGCAUAACAACAUACGUUGUUCCCUUUGUCACCGGUAUGUUACUUGCCCGAGAUUUGAUCGUCGGUAUCUCGAUACCUAGUUCAAUCUCGUUACUGGCAAGUCUCUUUACUCGUUCCGUAACACAUCAUCCCGCAACUAACUCAUUAGUCACAAUGCUUGCAAGGCUUAUAGUGAUGUGCAUUAUCGAGUGGGCCCAGAGAUACCUCUCCGACAAUUGGAGUGACAAAUCCUAAUCUCGAAAUACGCCAACCCAACAAGUACCUUUGGAGACACCUAUAGAGCACCUUUAUAAUCACCCAUUUAUGUUGUGACGUUUGGUAGCACACAAAGUGUUCCUCCGGUAAACGGGAGUUGCAUAAUCUCAUAGUCAUAGGAACAUGUAUAAGUCAUGAAGAAAGCAAUAGCAACAUACUAAACGAUCGGGUGCUAAGCUAACGGAAUGGGUCAAGUCAAUCACGUCAUUCUCCUAAUGAGGUGAUCCCGUUAAUCAAAUGACAACUCAUGUCUAUGGCUAGGAAACAUAACCAUCUUUGAUUAACGAGCUAGUCAAGUAGAGGCAUACUAGUGACACUCUGUUUGUCUAUGUAUUCACACAUGUAUUAUGUUUCCGGUUAAUACAAUUCUAGCAUGAAUAAUAAACAUUUAUCAUGAUAUAAGGAAAUAUAUAAUACUUUAUUAUUGCCUCUAGGGCAUAUUUCCUUCAGUCUCCCACUUGCACUAGAGUCAAUAAUCUAGUUCACAUCGCCAUGUGAUUUAACAUCAAUAAUUCACAUCACCAUGUGAUUAACACCCAUACUUCACAUUUCUAUGUGACCAACACUCAAAGGGUUUACUAGAGUCAAUAAUCUAGUUCACAUCGCUAUGUGAUUAACACCCAAAGAGUACUAAGGUGUGAUCAUGUUUUGAUUGUGAGAUAAUUUUAGUCAACGGGUCUGUCACAUCCAGAUCCGUAAGUAUUUUGCAAAUUUCUAUGUCUACAAUGCUCUGCACGGAGCUACUCUAGCUAAUUGCUCCCACUUUCAAUAUGUAUCUAGACCGAGACUUAGAGUCAUCUAGAUUUAGUGUCAAAACUUGCAUCGACGUAACCCUUUACGACGAACCUUUUGUCACUUCCAUAAUCGAGAAACAUAUCCUUAUUCCACUAAGGAUAAUUUUGACCACUGUCCAGUGAUCUACUCCUAGAUCACUAUUGAACUCCCUUGCCAAAAUCAGUGUAGGGUAUACAAUAGAUCUGGUACACAGCAUGGCAUACUUUAUAGAACCUAUGGCCAAGAUAUAGGGAAUGACUUUCAUUCUCUUUCUAUCUUUUGCCGUGGUCGGGCUUUGAGUCUUUACUCAAUUUCACACCUUGUAACACAGGUAAGAACUCUUUCUUUGACUGUUCUAUUUUGAACUACUUCAAAAUCUUGUUAAGGUAUGUACUCAUUGAAAAACUUAUCAGGCGUCUUCAUCUAUCUCUAUAGAUCUUGAUGCUCAAUAUGUAAGCAGCUUCACCGAGGUCUUUCUUUGAAAAACUCCUUUCAAACACUCCUUUAUGCUUUGCAGAAUAAUUCUACAUUAUUUCCGAUCAACAAUAUGUCAUUCACAUAUACUUAUCAGAAAUGCUGUAGUGCUCCCACUCACUUUCUUGUAAAUACAGACUUCAACGCAAGUCUGUGUAAAACUAUAUCCUUUGAUCGACUUAUCAAAGCGUAUAUUCCAACUCCGAGAUGCUUGCACCAGUCCAUAGAUGGAUCGCUGGAGCUUGCAUAUUUUGUUAGCACCUUUAGGAUUGACAAAACCUUCUGGUUGCAUCAUAUACAACUCUUCUUUAAUAAAUCCAUUAAGGAAUGCAGUUUUGUUUAUCCAUUUGCCAGAUUUCAUAAAAUGCGGCAAUUGCUAACAUGAUUCGGACAGACUUAAGCAUAGAUACGAGUGAGAAACUCUCAUUGUAGUCAACAUCUUGAACUUGUCGAAAACCUUUUUGCGACAAUUCUAGCUUUGUAGACAGUAACACUACUAUCACUGUCUGUCUUCCUCUUGAAGAUCCAUUUAUUCUCAAUUGCUUGCCGAUCAUCGGGCAAGUCAACCAAAGUCCACACUUUGUUCUCAUACAUGGAUCUCAUCUCAGAUUUCAUGGCCUCAAGCCAUUUUGCGGAAUUUGGGCUCACCAUCGCUUCUUCAUAGUUCGUAGGUUUGUCAUGGUCUAGUAACAUGAUCUUCAAAACAGAAUUACCGUACCACUCUGGUGUGGAUCUUACUCUGGUUUACCUACGAGGUUUGGUAAUAACAUGAUCUGAAGUUACAUGAUCAUCAUCAUUAACUUCCUCACUAAUUGGUGUAGGAGUCACACGAACAGAUUUCUGUGAUGAACUACUUACCAAUAAGGGAGCAGGUACAGUUACCUCAUCAAGUUCUACUUUCCUCCCACUCACUUCUUUCGAGAGAAACUCCUUCUCUAGAAAGGAUCCAUACUAAGCAACGAAUGUCUUUCCUUCGGAUCUGUGAUAGAAGGUGUACCCAACUGUCUCCUUUGGGUAUCCUAUGAAGACACAUUUCUCCGAUUUGGGUUUGAGCUUAUCAGGAUGAAACUUUUUCACAUAAGCAUCGUAACCCCAAAAUUUUAAGAAACUACAACUUUGGUUUCUUGCUAAACCUCAGUUCAUAAGGCGUCGUCUCAACGGAUUUUGAUGGUGCCCUAUUUAACGUGAAUGCAGCUGUCUCUAAUGCAUAACCCCAAAAUGAUAGUGGGAGAUCGGUAAGAGACAUCAUAUAUUGCACCAUAUCUAAUAAAGUACGGUUACGAUGUUCGGACACACCAUUACACUGUGGUGUUCCAGGUGGCGUGAGUAGUGAAACAAUUUCACAUUGUUUUAACUGAAGGCCAAACUCGUAACUCAAAUACUCUUCUCCACGAUCAGAUCGUAGAAACUUUAUUUUCUUGUUACGAUGAUUUUCCGCUUCACUCUGAAAUUAUAUCAACUUUUCAAAUGUUUCAGACUUCUGUUUCAUUAAGUAGAUAUACCCAUAUCUUCUCAAAUCAUCUGUGAAGGUCAGAAAAUAAUGAUACCUGCUACGAGCCUCAAUAUUCAUCGGACCACAUACAUCUGUAUGUAUGAUUUCCAACAAAUCUGUUGCUCUCUCCAUAGUUCCGGAGAACAGCGUUUUAGUCAUCUUGCCCAUGAGGCACGGUUCGCAAGCAUCAAGUGACUCAUAAUCAAGUGAUUAUUCCAUCAGUAUGGAGUUUCUUCAUGCGCUUUACACCAAUAUGACCUAAACGGCAGUGCCACAAAUAAGUUGCACUAUCAUUAUUAACUUUGCAUCUUUUGGCUUCAUAUGAAUAUGUGUAUCACUACGAUCGAGAUCCAACAAACCAUUUUCGUUGGUGUGUAUGACCAUAGAAGGUUUUUAUUCAUGUAAACAGAACAACAAUUGUUCUCUAACUUAAAUGAAUAACCGUAUUGCAAUAAACAUGAUCAAAUCAUAUUCAUGCUCAACGCAAACACCAAAUAACACUUAUUUAGUUUCAACACUAAUCCCGAAAGUACAGGGAGUGUGCGAUGAUGAUCAUAUCAAUCUUGGAACUACUUCCAACACACAUCGUCACCUCGACUUUUUACUAGUCUCUGUUUAUUCUGCAACUCCCGUUUCGAGUUACUACUCUUUAGCAACUGAACCAGUAUCAAAUACUGAGGGGUUGCUAUAAACACUAGUAAGUACACAUCAAUAACAUGUAUAUCCAAUAUACCUUUGUUCACUUUGCCAUCCUUCUUAUCCACCAAAUACUUGGGGCAGUUCCGCCUCCAGUGACCAGUCCCUUUGAAGUAGAAGCACUUAGUCUCAGGCUUAGGUACAGACUUGGGCUUCUUCACUUGAGUAGCAACUUGCUUGCCGUUCUUUUUGAAGUUCCCCUUCUUCCCUUUGCCCUUUUCUUGAAACUAGUGGUCUCGUUAACCAUCAACACUUGAUGUUUUUCUUGAUUUCUACCUCCGUCGAUUUCAGCAUCGCGAAGAGCUCGGGAAUUACUUUCGUCAUCCCUUGCAUACUAUAGUUCAUCAUGAAGUUCUACUAACUUGGUGAUGGUGACUAGAGAAUUCUGUCAAUCACUAUUUUAUCUGGAAGAUUAACUCCCACUUGAUUCAAGCGAUUGUAGUACCCAGACAAUCUGAGCACAUGCUCACUAGUUGAGCGAUUCUCCUCCAUCUUUUAGCUAUAGAACUUGUUGGAGACUUCAUAUCUCUCAACUCGGGUAUUUGCUUGAAAUAUUAACUUCAACUCCUGGAACAUCUUAUAUGGUCCAUGACGUUCAAAACGUCUUUGAAGUCCCGAUUCUAAGCUGUUAAGCAUGGUGCACUAAACUAUCAAGUAGUCAUCAUAUUGAGCUAGCCAAACGUUCAUAACGUCUGCAUCUGCUCCUGCAAUAGGUCUGUCAUCUAGCGGUGCAUCAAGGACAUAAUUCUUCUGUGCAGCAAUGAGGACAAUCCUCAGAUCACGGAUCCAAUCCGCAUCUUUGCUACUAACAUCUUUCAACAUAAUUUUUCUCUAGGAACAUAUCAAAAAUAAACACACGGAAGCAACAAACGCGAGCUAUUGAUCUACAACAUAAUUUGCAAAAUACUAUCAGGACUAAGUUCAUGAUAAAUUUAAGUUCAAUUAAUCAUAUUACUUAAGAACUCCCACUUAGAUAGACAUCCCUCUAAUCCUCUAAGUGAUCACGUGAUCCAUAUCAACUAAACCAUGUCCGAUCAUCACGUGAGAUGGAGUAGUUUCAAUGGUGAACAUCACUAUGUUGAUCAUAUCUACUAUAUGAUUCACGCUCGACCUUUCGGUCUCCGUGUUCCGAGGCCAUAUCUGUUAUAUGCUAGGCUCGUCAAGUUUAACCUGAGUAUUCCGCGUGUGCAACUGUUUUGCACCCGUUGUAUUUGAACGUAGAGCCUAUCACACCCGAUCAUCACGUGGUGUCUCAGCACGAAGAACUUUUGCAACGGUGCAUACUCAGGGAGAACACUUAUACUUUGAUAAUUUAGUGAAGGAUCAUCUUAUAAUGCUACCAUCAAACAAAGCAAGAUAAGAUGCAUAAAAGAUUAACAUCACAUGCAAUCAAUAUAAGUGAUAUGAUAUGGCCAUCAUCAUCUUGUGCUUGUGAUCUCCAUCUCCGAAGCACCGUGCUUGUGAUCUCCAUCUCCGAAGCACCGUCAUGAUCACCAUCGUCACCGGCGUGACACGUUGAUCUCCAUCGUAGCAUCGUUGUCGUCUCGCCAACUUAUUGCUUUUACGACUAUCGCUACCGCUCAGUGAUAAAGUAAAACUAUUACAUGGCGAUUGCAUCUCAUACAAUAAAGCGACAACCAUAUGGCUCCUGCCAGUUGCCGAUAACUCGGUUACAAAACAUGAUCAUCUCAUACAACACAUUAUAAUCACCCAUUUACGUUGUGACGUUUGGUAGCACACAAAGUGUUCCUCCGGUAAACGGGAGUUGCAUAAUCUCAUAGUCAUAGGAACAUGUAUAAGUCAUGAAGAAAGCAAUAGCAACAUACUAAACGAUCGGGUGCUAAGCUAACGGAAUGGGUCAAGUCAAUCACGUCAUUCUCCUAAUGAGGUGAUCCCAUUAAUCAAAUGACAACUCAUGUCUAUGGCUAGGAAAUAUAACCAUCUUUGAUUAACGAGCUAGUCAAGUAGAGGCAUACUAGUGACACUCUGUUUGUCUAUGUAUUCACACAUGUAUUAUGUUUCUGGUUAAUACAAUUCUAGCAUGAAUAAUAAACAUUUAUGAUGAUAUAAGGAAAUAUAUAAUACUUUAUUAUUGCCUCUAGGGCAUAUUUCCUUCAAGACCGACCCCGAGAUCCUCCCGUCCACCACCCCCAACCCCAUUCCACGUCCCCGUGUCCCCGACCCCAUCCCCUCCUUCCUUCCUUGGAGUCACAGCCGCCGACAGCUCCGUCCGCCGUCGCCUUCACCGAGCACGCCCAACCCCCCUCCCCCACCCAAAGACCAAGUCAAUGUCGUUUAGAUAUUCUAGCGCCGCCGCCAGCCAGCGUCGGAGACUGCCAUCUGCAAGCGCCACCAUCGCCAUAACCACGGAAGCACCUCCGGCUGGAGGGAGUGUGCGUUGCUAGGUAUGCACCGAUGGUGGGAUCCCCAAUUUGUUGUCUGUGUUCUUGUUCUUCCCUGUGUCUCGAGUAGAUCGAACAGCUAGGUUGCUGCAACUUGAGAGUUGUACUGUUGGUAGUUACUGUGGAGUGGUUUGGACAUGUUGUUGAUCUAAAGCACAACCUGAUCCCUGCUCACUUAAUCUGCCCCUUUUUGUUUAAGAAGAGUGUGUAGUAUUAUGAAGGUUACUAGUUGGAUCCCUAUAGUACUGAGAAGCAAAGAAUUCAUACCUUGUCAAUGUUUCUAAUUCUUUGGCCUGAUCGAUGGCUAGAGGGACAUGGUACUUUAGUUCUUGAAUUCUAAGCUUGCAAAUUUCUGAAUUCUAGGUCUGCAUCGGCAUGAUGAGUUAAUCAGAUAUAUGUGUAACCAGCUAUACUGAUGCUAUUGCUAUAAUAAAUAAUAAUUCUGGAGUAACACUUCUUUUUGUAGCUAGCAUGUAGGCUAUAAGCUCUCGUUGAUGCUAUAGAUGGUCGGGUCGGUUUCAAUUUUUUGGGAGAAAAUUAGAUUCCAACCUAGUUUAUAGCAGGUUUGAUAAAUAUAUAACUCACUAUAAAAAAGUCAGUUGCACAGUCAUAGGACUGAAGUGAAAUAUUCUCAUUGAAAAAAUUUGCAACUGUAAAUUAUCAAAUUGCAAAUGCAGAAUGAGAUAAUCGUAAGCUUAGCACUGCACACUCCGCGUUUUAUAAAUAUUGUUGGAUUGUCAAGUAUGCAGUAGGGGAUACAUUUUUUUAACGGGCUGCCUAUAAUGCCAACAUUGUCUAGGUAAAUAACAUGUUCCUUUCCGUUCUUUUUUUCCAGAUGAGAUAGAAGAUAGAUAUAUUUAUGUGUCAGAUACUACUGUCUAACUAUUUGUGGUAAUAAGUAUUGGUGUUAAGUAGAAUCUCCAUUUGUGUUACCAUCACAGGACCAUUAAACAGUCAUAUUCGAGCCAUACAUUUGAUAUUAAGCAAGUUGUCUGAGGAUGUUCACUACCCACCUAAUUUGAGCUCCCCGUUUCCAUAUGCAGGUAAAUCCUAGAAUUUUCACCACUUUUUAGUUCUAAUUUUACCACUCCGCUUCUUGCUUGCUUACAUGGGGUGCCUUCUCAUAAUACCUUUCUUGCUUUGAAGAAUAUAACAUUUAGCAUGUUUUUUCUAAAAACAAGUCACAACACCAUUUAGAAUGUCACAACUGAGAAUGCUGGGAUAUAUUAACAUGUGCAGCUAGACAUUCCCUUGGCAUUCGUGAUAUUUAUAGCUAGAUUCACCCUGCAGAUAUGGCAUAAUUAUUUCUCUUCCUCACUUCUUUCACUUCAUAUCCAGGCCUUGGUUUCCCUAGGUACCCUGUCGCUGUUUCUGUUGGGUAUAUGAUAAUUCCACAGGUGCCAUAUAGUAAUGUUGUGAACUAUGGACCUAAUGGGUAUGCUGGUGGUGGUGGUGGCAGGUACCAAAACAACAAGAUUCGUGUCUGGUGUCCUGCUUGUUGGAGGGGGGCUGAUGUAGCAUCGAUCACUAAUAGGCUAGGCUAUUAAUUCUAACAUGUCUGCUUAAAAGGGAGAAGAUGGAUAGUUUGUGGUUUGAGCAAAUUUAUAACUAAUUGUAGCCUAUCAACCCCAUUCUGACUAUAAGCAGCAGGAGGAUAAUAACUUGAAUUAUAAUAAUGACGAUCUAGUUCAAGAAUAAGGCAGUACUUAAAUCUUAAUAAUCUCCGUACAUGGUGCUUUUAUGAGAUAUUCGUGUUUAUUUUGGUGAUGGCCUAAUAUUACAUGAACAUCAUUUGUGCAUUUGAAAAGUUCAUCCAUUAAACUUACCAAGGACAUAACCUGCAGUCCCUUGGCCUGCUUUCUAAUUUGAUUUAUGGUCAGCCGAGUUAUCUAUAUUAUUAAACAUAGUUUUCAUUUUUACAGGAUGCACUAGUAGAAAACAGGGCUUUGGUCACAGGGCAAUGCUCACAUUAGUCCCGGUUCAGUCACGAACCGGGACUAAUGUGAGCAUUGGUCCCGGUUCGUGCGGCUAAGGCAUUAGUCCCGGUUCACCUGGGCCCUUUAGUCCCGGUUGGUGCCACGUACCGGGACUAAAGGGUGCGAUGCCCAUUAGUACCGGUUGGUGGCACCACCAACCGGGACUAAAGGUUAGACCUUUAGUCCCGGUUGGUGCCACCAACCGGUACUAAUGGGCUUUGAGGCAUUAGUACCGGUUCAUGGCACGAACCGNNNNNNNNNNNNNNNNNNNNNNNNNNNNNNNNNNNNNNNNNNNNNNNNNNNNNNNNNNNNNNNNNNNNNNNNNNNNNNNNNNNNNNNNNNNNNNNNNNNNNNNNNNNNNNNNNNNNNNNNNNNNNNNNNNNNNNNNNNNNNNNNNNNNNNNNNNNNNNNNNNNNNNNNNNNNNNNNNNNNNNNNNNNNNNNNNNNNNNNNNNNNNNNNNNNNNNNNNNNNNNNNNNNNNNNNNNNNNNNNNNNNNNNNNNNNNNNNNNNNNNNNNNNNNNNNNNNNNNNNNNNNNNNNNNNNNNNNNNNNNNNNNNNNNNNNNNNNNNNNNNNNNNNNNNNNNNNNNNNNNNNNNNNNNNNNNNNNNNNNNNNNNNNNNNNNNNNNNNNNNNNNNNNNNNNNNNNNNNNNNNNNNNNNNNNNNNNNNNNNNNNNNNNNAAAAAACAAAAGAAAAUGAUGGAAAUGUCAAAAAAAUAAAAUAAAAUAAGUUUCCCAUGUGAUAUGUGGUCUAGUUGUUGGGAAAAUUUACAAAUAUGAAUUUUGACUUUAUUUGCAAAAUCUCUCUGGAAUUUGUAAAAUGGGCAUAACUUUUGCAUACGAACUCGGAUUAAAAAGUUUUUUAUAUGAAAAAUCAUCUACUCGAAAAGUUACAUCCGAAUUUAACACGGGGAACCCGUUAAACAUUUUCAAAAUCCUCAAAAACCUAACAGAAAAAAAGUUACGGGGCUUUUAAGAUCUAGAGUGGAAAAAACGAAAAAAAUUCAAACUUACUAGUGGCGCACCAUUUGCUAGGUGCGCCACUAGUAACAGAAAAAUGUUUUAGUUUCAAUUUUUUAAAAUGUGGUCACAUCUGGUCAAACUGUGGUCAAACAAUGGUUAAACUAAUUAUUCUAGAAUAUUAGUGUUACUAAAUAAUUAUUUCAGUUUUUUUGAAUUUUGGUCAAAUCUGGUCAAACUGUGGUCAAACUGGGGUCAAACAAUGGUCAAACUAAUUAUUCAAGAAAUAUUAGUGUUACUAAAUAAUUAUUGUCUUUUAAAACAAUAGUUUCAAACUCAAACAGUGAAAUGUGUCACUUCAUGCUCAAGCUAAAUUCCUGAGGGUUAAUAGAUUGACAUCUUACUAUUGUUAGGAAAACAACAAGUGCAGACUUGGAAACGAGGGAGAACAGAACCCGGAAGUUAAGCGUGCUCAGGCUGGAGUAGUGAGAGGAUGGGUGACCGUCCGGGAAGUUAGAUGAUCUGGAAUGAUGAGGGGUGAUUAGGGAUUAGAGGAUAAAUUGAGCAGUGAUGAGGGUGGUGAUUAGAUUAGAGGUUAAAAUAAUUCAGAAAUUUGAAAAAAAAAUUCAAAAAAAAUUCAAAAAAAAUUCAUAAAAUUUCCUUUAGUCCCGGUUGGUGUUACCAACCGGGACUAAAGCUGGAGCUCCACGUGGUCGCGGCCUUUAGUCCCGGUUCGUGUAAGAACCGGGACUAAAGGGGGGAGGCAUUAGUAACGACCCUUUAGUCCCAGUUUAAAAACCGGGACUAAAGGCCCUUACCAACCGGGCCAAAAGCCCAUUUUUCUACUAGUGGUGGUUGAUAAAUGUCUUCACAUUUUUCAGAGCAACAUGUAGUGGAAGAAGCAGCCUAUGAAGUGGAAUAGUUUGCAUAAGAAAUAGGCGAUGUGAGUAUGUUUUGCGUCUUGUAUAUAAGAAAUAGGCAUAAGAAAUAGCAUCACUAGAUAACCUUUUGUGUCUUAUAUAUAGAACUGAACUCCACAUACUACAGUUUUAAAAUUAAAAGUAUGAAAUCACAUGAUGUAAUCUGAUGCUCAUAUACAUUGCUUAGUAGUUAGCAUAUAUGUAGGACAUGCUUGCAGUCCCUUGGCCUACUUUCUAAUUAGUUUGGUGUUAACACUUUGAUGGUCACAAUCUAAAGAUGACAUGGCAUAUACAGAACUUCACAUACUGCAGUUUUUUUGGUUUGAAGCUGUACAUUUUAAUUCUAGUUCAUCAGAUAAAAUACGACCACAAUUGUUUUUCACAUUUAUUUUCAAACUUUGAAGUGCACAAAAUCAUUGGGGUGAAUAUAUGAGAAUUUGACCAUUUAUUUUCACCCACACAUUUAUGUUUGCAGUCCCAUUCAGUUUGAACAUAUGAGAAUUUGACCGAAAGCCUCAAGAUACUAAGACAAUUUCCUCCAUAUUAUUAAUAACUUUUAUGAAUCCACUUUGGAAUAAAACAUUUGAUACAUGUCUAUCUUAAUUAGGUGUCAAUACAAAAUUAUAUUUGCACUUAUGUUAGAUAUUAACUGAGCAUAUUUUCAUUAGACUCUUAUCAUUAAGAUCGUGUGGAAUAUUUUCAGGUACUCAGCCACCUACUGCGCAUGGAUGUGAUGACUAUGGAGUGUUCUGCAGCAUUGGCUGUUUCGAGUAUUUUGGACCAGCCAACUUGUGAUCAUGAAUCUUAUGUGUGUUCUGGACCAUUUGCUACGAAAAGUGUUUUCGAGCAUCUAUCUUGUGCUCAUGGGUGUGACUUAAGUGUUUUGGACCAUUUAGUGGCUAAACACUUUUAGAACAGUAAAUAGUGGUCCUUUUAUGUGGCUUGUGUUUUCUGGAUGGUUGUCAAAAUGGCCAAACUUUGCUUUGUCAAGAUUGUCUUGUUUUUGAACUUCCGAUCAAUAUAUAUGUAUGACAGUUUUCUGGUGACGUUCUGAAAAUCCGUCAUAGUCGAUGACGGUUUUGUUUUAUCCAUCACGGAAUCGAUCAUCGAUCAGCAGGAUGCGAAUAUGCCCAGAAACCCACCGGAGCCCAUAUAGUCUUUUUUUCUUCUGAACACUGUAGAUUUUCAAUUUUAAUGAAAAAAUGAAACAAGACUUGAUCCCAAGACCUCUUGGAAUAAGAUACUAGCGUGUGAUAACUAUGCUACCUGCAUGACUAAUGGAGCACUUGGACGUUUUCUUUCUAAUAACACAACUAGAGUAGAAGUUUUAGUAAAAGAAAAGUGUGCCAUGGAUCAGAUCGUGCACCUCUCACCUAGUUGAAUAGUUCGAUACCAAUUGAUCAAGAAAUCAUGGUGUGACAGAUUGCGAGCAUGAAGCUUUGCCCUCGUACACAACAACUAUAUAUGUAAUAUGUGACUCCAAAAUUUAAUUCAUGUUUACUAAAAGAAUAUGAAUAUAAUUUGUUAAUUCAUCUAUAUGGGGAUCAACAUAGUCUAACUUAUUUUCUAGAACUGCCAUGGUCCGCCACGAGAAGCUUUGUUUUGAACGUUGUCCAAACCGUGACGGACUGCUGCUGUUUUUUUGAAGGAAACGGCUGCCCCUGCCUAUGUGGCGGUCGGACUGCUGCUGCUUUUUUCUAAAGGAAACGGCUGCCCCUGCCUAUGUGGCGAUCCUGUGCGAGGGAAAACUCGCGCUGUGAUUGGUUGACGAAACCCUCCCACGGAUCGCAGAUCUGAACUGUCUGCUCCUCUGAGAUCCGACGGCUAGCAAACCUCCUCCUCUUUCUCAUCUGUUCUUCAGCCCGGACUCUGAACAGCAGCCGCCGCACCACCCCACCUCCUUCCUUCCUCAUCCUCUCAUGGCGCCAACCCGCCGUACCGACCUCCUCUCCGUUAUCCACACAUCCUCCCGUUUCGACGACUGCCCGGCAUGCCCGGCUACCCCUCAACCGGCGCCUGCCUGCACUCCCACCGCGCCGCCGUAGUGUCCUCUCCUUUGGCCGGAUCCCGCCGAUAUCUGCGAGUCCACGGCAACCAUGGGCGGAUCACGGCACGGCCACGGGCGUCUUUCCUCCCUACACGUUUACGGCAACCACCACCAUCCCCUUCCCUUACCUCUAGGCUCCCCUGCCCCUUUCUCUCCCCACCGGCCCGAUCUAGUCCCUGCGGCGUCGGUCUGGUCGAUGCAGGUCGCUGCAGGGAGCGAGCGACCCCUUCGUUGGUGUGCUGAACUGCGGGGAUGCACAGAGCCACCACCGGGGAUGGGCCGUGCUGGGACGCUGCAGUCCUUCGUCGCCACGAGCCACGCACCCGUCGCCUACGCAGUCGGAUUCUCCACCGACCACAAAAAAAAUAGGAUUCUUCGUCGACCCCGACAGGCUUUGAGUCGCUCGCCCCACCAGGUUCCCCUUCCUCUCUACUUUCAAUUUUUUUUGAGGUUGUCUUCAGGUUUGUCCAUGCGCAGGAAAUGUUGAGCACGGGUAUAGUUGAGGCGAGAUAUUGGUGGAUAAUGUUCUAUCUCUCAUGAUGUCGGCGGCGUUGGCCGGAUCUGCGUCCAGAAAUCCACGGAAUGACCACGCCCUUGAUAGAAUUAGCAUAGGGUGUUUUUAUUUUUAGUUUCUUGUGUUUUGCUGGUCCUUGACAAAUGUAUUGUCCGGAAAUAUUUGUACUUUUAAGUUUUUCUUUUUCAUGUAAUUUUGUGCUGUGUGUAUGUAUGUAUUGCUUUUAUUUAAUGAUAUGAGCAUAUAUCUUCUGGAAAAUUUAUACUAGUUUAGAUUUGCGUUUUUUAGGGGUGGCUCAGAGUUUGCGUGGAUGAGGAGAAAUGAGAUGGGUUAAUUCCCGAGAUUGAAACUAGUGGGCCUUGGAUAGACCUAAAAUUUAACGGGCCAAAAUUCUUGUAGGGCCGAUUACUUCAUGGGCCGCCACGUCACAUCAAUGUCAGCUUUUGAUGUGGCACACAAGUUAAUGCCGUUAUGAGCAUGUCCGUUAAACAUUUCCAUGACGGUUAAGAAUCCGUCAUGCAGUGUGCGGUGGUCAAAUUAUGACGCGAUAUACAUGACGGAUUUUUAAUCCGUCAUGCAUUUCCUUCCAUGAUGGUUAUGCACAUGUUUCAAACUGUCAUGUAUUAACGAAAUUCUUGUAGUGAAAUGAGAGCAGUAUCCAAUUGUUGUUUUGGUUGUACACCAUCUUAUCAACAAUUAAUCUGUUGGGAAAAACAUUCAAACAGACAAACUGUCGACAAAGGUACACCUCUAGCCAUGCAGAGAAAGUGUCGGCAGAAGUACACCCGUAGCUAGACAAACCAUGUGUCGACAAUGCUAAAGACCUUCCUAGACAGACCAAGUGUUGGCAUAAGUAGGGUGUAUGUUGACUUACCAUCUGUUGGCAUAGGUAGGGUGUACACAGACAGACCAUGUGUCGGCGUAUGUAGGGUGUACACAGACAGACCAUGUGUCGGCGUAGGUAGGGUGUAUGGCAACUAAAAAAGUGUCAGCAAUACCUUUUCCCACAGCAAGUCUUCUGACUCUUUAAUCUUCUGUCAGCAUAUGUGUUAGCUACAGGUUAUGUGUCGGCAAAGGUACCAUAUGCCAACAGAUUGAUGUGUCGCCAAAACUUCACCGUGGUGUAGUGUAUAGUGGAUCACAAUAGUUUUCGAGGGUAGAGUAUUCAACCCAAAUUUAUUGAUUCGACACAAGGGGAGCCAAAAAAUAUUUGUAAGUAUUAGCAGUUGAGUUGUCAAUUCAACCACAUCUGGAGAUUAAAUAUCUGCAAGAGAGUGAUCAGUAGCACAGUAAUAUGAUAGGUCGAUAGUAGUAUAGUAACAGUAACAGUGGUAACGGUAACAACAGUAACAAUUUUGUAGCAGUUGUAACAGUAGCAAUAGCAAUAGUAACUUAGCAAGAACAAUAUGUGAAAACACGUAGGCAUUGGAUCGGUGAUUACGUUGGAUAAUAUUCAUCAUAUAACAUUCAUAACCUAGGGCGACACAGAAAUAGCUCCAGUUCAUAAAUAUAAUGUAGGCAUGUAUUCCGUAAUAGUCAUACAUGCUUAUGGCCAAUGCAACCGAUGGUCCGAUUGCAUCAACCAAGUGAAUCAUGCACCACCGAGCGGUGUGACAGUGGCGGAAUAUGGCCCCUACAUCCAAGAACUAUUCAAGCAUCGGAACACUAAGUUCGGCCACAAGUUCUUCACGUUGCAUCAUUACUACAAAGAGCUAUGCAAGAACGAGAAGGGGGUGGUGGUAGUGGUGAUGGUGGUGACCGAGGUGGUGGUGGUGUAGAUGGUGGCCGAGUGCAUCGUGGAGUUGAUUUCUUCACCGAGAACGUCGUUUUAGUGGUCGUGGCUGAGGUGGUUCAUGCCAUUGGUUGGCUCGAUCCACAACAUAUACAUGCUAUGUUUGUGGUGAUUUUGGAACAAACAUUCUGUUUGAAAUGAUGCCUUUUGGGUGAACUUUGCAUGUUUUUAUUUGAAACUCGUGAUGAUGAAACUAUAUGUUAUAGCGGUUAUGUCAUGCAUGUUUCAAUUUUAAUAUUCUCAUGAUAUAUAUUGUGUAGUGGUCGAAGUUCAUGCAGCUAGGACACCAAAUAUACACAAUUUUUAUUUUUACUCCACUAACUAUAGGGGAUCGGCUAGGUGCGGCCGCCGUUACUGGAGUAAAAAUGUACUCUACUAACUUUACUCCCCCGGAUAUUCCCUUAAAUUUUAGGAGAUCGGUUAGAAAUGCCCUUAGGAGUUAGCUGAGAGUAAUUUCUACUAUACUAUUCAUUGUCUUCUCUGUUAUUAGAUUUAUUAUAAUCUGAUUGACGGAUGCUAGAUGAAGUGCUCACUGGAUCGCACGCGCACUAUCGAUGAACUGCAGCAGAGAAAGCAUGCACCAGCCUUGCAGCGUCAGGGGGCAGUGGUGGCUGGGGCACGAGUGCUACGACGACCACAAAUUGGGGUUGAGGAGGACUACAUUGAGAGCCAUUAGGCGACAACACCUCCUUCUGGAACCUGGUUUUCUGGAUCCUUGCGUGGGCUCGGUGUGCAUCUCCUCGGCCGUGCCACAACUCAUAUCCUUUGACGGGAGUAACUCGGUGGAGCCGUAGCGGAUGACAAGAAGGUAGGGGAGGAGCAGAGGAUGGAUGUAGUGUUUGGGAACGUAGUAAUUCAAAAAAAUUCCUACGAUCAUGCAAGAUCUAUCUAGGACAAGCAUAGCAACGAGCGGGGAGAGUGUGUCUACGUACCCUCGUACACCAAAAGCGGAAGCGUUUAGUAACGCGGUUGAUGUAGUCGAACGUCUUCAUGAUCCAACCAAUCCAAGUACCGAACGUACGACACCUCCGUGUUCAGCACACAUUCAACACGAUGAUGUCCCUCGAGCUCUUGAUCCAGUUGAGAACGAGGGAGAGUUCCGUUAGCACGAUGGCGUGGCGACGGUGAUGAUGAAGUUACCGGCGCAGGGCUUUGCCUAAGCACUACGACAAUAUGACCAAGGUGUGUCAAUGUGUCGGGGGGCACCACACACGGCUAAGAGAAGACUUGGUGUGUCUUUGGGGUGCCCCCUCCCACGUAUAUAAAGGAGGGGGGAAGAGGAGUCCGGCCCAAGGGGGGUGCGCCAAAGGGGGGAGUCCUACUUGGACUCCCGGUCCAAGUAGGAUUCGCCCCCCUUUCCUAUUCCGACUAGGCGAAGGAGGGAAGGAGGAAGAGGGGAGAAUGAAAGAGGGGGGCACCGCCCCCUCCUAGUCCAAUUCGGACCUGCCAUGGGCGGGGGGCGCAGCCACCCCUUGAGGUCCUUCUCUCCUUUCCCCUAAAGCCCAUUAAGGCCCAUUACUCUCCCGAGGUGUUCCGGUAACCUUCCGGGAAAAUACCCGAAACACUUCGAAACCAUUCCGGUGUCCGAAUAUAACCUUCCAAUAUAUCGAUCUUUACCUCUCGACCAUUUCGAGACUCCUCGUCAUGUCCGUGAUCUCAUCCGGGACUCCGAACAAAUUUUGGUCAUCAAAUCACAUAACUCAUAAUACAAAUCGUCAUCGAAUGUUAAGCGCGGACCCUACGGGUUCGAAAACUAUGUAGACAUGACCGAGACACAUCUCCAGUAAAUAACCAAUAGCGGAACCUGGAUGCUCAUAUUGGUUCCUACAUAUUCUACGAAGAUCUUUAUCGGUCAAACCGCAUAACAACAUACGUUAUUCCCUUUGUCAUCGGUAUGUUACUUGCCCGAGAUUCGAUCGUCGGUAUCGUCAUACCUAGUUCAAUCUCGUUAACGACAAGUCUCUUUACUCAUUCCGUAAUGCGUCAUCUCAUGACUAACUCAUUAGUCACAUUGCUUGCAAGGCUUAUAGUGAUGUGAAUUACCGAGACGGCCCAGAGAUACCUCUCCGAUACACGGAGUGACAAAUCCUAAUCUCUAUCUAUGCCAACUCAACAAACACCAUCGGAGACACCUGUAGAGCAUCUUUAUAAUCACCCAGUUACGUUGUGACGUUUGAUAACACACAAGGUGUUCCUUCGUUAUUCGGGAGUUGCGUAAUCUCAUAGUCAGAGGAACAUGUAUAAGUCAUGAUGAAAGCAAUAACAAAAAAACUAAACGAUCAUUAAUGUUAAGCUAACGGAUGGGUCUUGUCUAUCACAUCAUUCUCUAACGAUGUGAUCAUGUUCAUCAAAUGACAACACAUGUCUAUGGUUAGGAAACUUAACCAUCUUUGAUAACGAGCUAGUCAAGUAGAGGCAUACUAGGGACACUCUGUUUGUCUAUGCAUUCACACAUGUACUAAGUUUCCGGUUAAUACAAUCCGAGCAUGAAUAAUAAACAUUUAUCGUGAUAUAAGGAAAUAUAAAUAACAACUUUAUUAUUGCCUCUAGGGCAUAUUUCCUCCAGUCUCCCAGUCGCACUACAGUCAAUAAUCUAGAUUACAUACUAAUGAUUCUAACACCCAUGGAGUCUUGGUGUUGAUCAUGUUUUGCUCGUGAGAGAGGCUUAGUCAACAAGUCUGCAACAUUCAGAUCCGUAUGUAUCUUGCAAAUCUCUAUGUCUCUCUCCUUGACCAGAUCGCGGAUGGAAUUGAAGCGUCUCUUGAUGUGCUUGGUUCUCCUGUGAAAUCUAGAUUCCUUCGCCAAGGCAAUUGCUCCAGUAUUGUCACAAAAGAUUUUCAUUGGACCAGAUGCACUAGGUAUUACACCUAGAUCGGAUAUGAACUCCUUCACCCAGACUCCUUCAUUUGCUGCUUCCGAAGCAGCUAUGUACUCCGCUUCACACGUAGAUCCCACCACAACGCUUUGCUUGGAGCUGCACCAACUUACAGGUCCACCAUUUAAUAUAAAUACGUAUCCGGUUUGUGACUUAGAGUCAUCCGGAUCAGUGUCAAAGCUUGCAUCGACGUAACCAUUUACGAUGAGCUCUUUAUCACCUCCAUAAACAAGAAACAUAUCCUUAGUUCUUUUCAGGUAUUUCAGGAUGUUCUUGACCGCUGUCUAGUGAUCCACUCCUGGAUUACUUUGGUACCUCCCUGCUAUACUUAUAGCAAGGCACACAUCAGGCCUGGUACGCAGCAUUGCAUACAUGAUAGAACCUAUUGUUGAGGCAUAGGGAAUGACUUUCAUUUCCUCUCUAUCUUCUGCAGUGGUCGGGCAUUGAGUCUGACUCAACUUCACACCUUGUAACACAAGCAGGAACCAUUUCUUUGACUGGUCCAUUUUGAAUUUCUUCAAAACUUUAUCAAGGUAUGUGCUUUGUGAAAGUCCAAUUAAGCGUCUUGAUCUAUCUCUAUAGAUCUUGAUGCCCAAUAUAUAAGCAGCUUCACCGAGGUCUUUCAUUGAAAAAUUCUUAUUCAAUUAUCCUUUUAUGCUAUCCAGAAAUACUGUAUCAUUUCCAAUCAAUAAUAUGUCAUCCACAUAUAAUAUUAGAAAUGCUACAAAGCUCCCACUCACUUUCUUGUAAAUACAGGCUUCUCCAAAAGUCUGUAUAUAACCAUAUGCUUUGAUCACACUAUUAAAGCGUAUAUUCCAACUCCGAGAGGCUUACACCAGCCCAUAAAUGGAUCGCUCGAGCUUGCUCACAUUGUUAGCACCUUUUGGAUCGACAAAACCUUCUAGUUGCAUCAUAUACAACUCUUCUUUAAGAUAUCCAUUAAGGAAUGCAGUUUGACAUCCAUUUGCCAAAUAUAAUAAUCAUAAAAUGCGGCAAUUGCUAACAUGAUUCAGACAAACUUAAGCAUCGCUACGGGUGAGAAGGUCUCAUCGUAGUCAACUCCUUGAACUUGUCGAAAACCUUUCGCAACAAGUCGAGCUUUGUAGACAGUAGCAUUGCCGUCAACAUCAGUCUUCUUCUUGAAGAUCCAUUUAUUCUCAAUGGCUUGCCCAUCAUUGGGCAAGUCAACCAAAGUACACACUUUGUUCUCAUACAUGGAUCCCAUCUCAGAUUUCAUGGCCUCAAGCCAUUUCGCGGAACCUGGGCUCAUCAUCGCUUCCUCAUAGUUCGUAGGUUCUUCAUGGUCAAGUAACAUGACUUCCAGAACAGGAUUACCGUACCACUCUGGUGCGGAUCGUACUCUGGUUGACCUACGAGGUUCGGUAGUAACUUGAUCUGAAGUUUCAUGAUCAUCAUCAUUAGCUUCCUCACUAAUUGGUGUAGGAAUCACUGGAACUGAUUUCUGUGAUGAACUACUUUCCAAUAAGGGAGCAGGUACAAUUACCUCAUCAAGUUCUACUUUCCUCCCACUCACUUCUUUCGAGAGAAACUCCUUCUCGAGAAAGGAUCCAUUCUUAGCAACGAAUAUCUUGCCUUCGGAUCUGUGAUAGAAGGUGUACCCAACAGUCUCCUUUGGGUAUCCUAUAAAGACACAUUUCUUCGAUUUUGGUUCUAACUUAUCAGGUUGAUGCUUUUUCACAUAAUCAUCGCAGCCCCAAACUUUAAGAAACGACAACUUAGGUUUCUUGCCAAACCACAGUUCAUAUGGUUUCGUCUCAACGGAUUUUGAUGGUGCCCUAUUUAACGUGAAUGCAGCCGUCUCUAAAGCAUAACCCCAAAACGAUAACGGUAAAUUAGUAAGAGACAUCAUAGAUCGCACCAUUUCUAAAAAAGGACGGUUACAACGUUCGGACACACCAUUAUGUUGUGGUGUUCCAGGUGGCGUGUGUUGUGAAACUAUUCCACAUUGUUUCAAAUAAAGACCAAACUCGUAACUCAAAUAUUCACCUCCACGAUCAGAUCAUAGAAACUUUAUUUUCUUGUUACGGUGAUUUUCCACUUCACUCCGAAAUUCUUUGAACUUUUCAAAUGUUUUAGACUUAUGUUUCAUCAAGUAGAUAUACCCAUAUCUUCUCAAAUCAUCCGUGAAGGUCAGAAAAUAACAAUACCCGCCGCGGCCUCAAGACUCAUCGGACCGCAUACAUCAGUAUGUAUUAUUUCCAAUAAAUCUGUUGCUCGCUCCAUUGUUCCGGAGAACGGAGUCUUAGUCAUCUUGCCCAUGAGGCAUGGUUCGCAAGAAUCAAGUGAUUCAUAAUCAAGUGAUUCCAAAAGCCCAUCAGCAUGGAGUUUCUUCAUGCGCUUUACACCAAUAUGACCUAAACGACAGUGCCACAAAUAAGUUGCACUAUCAUUAUUAACCUUGCACCUUUUGGCUUCAAUAUUAUGAAUAUGUGUAUCACCACAAUCGAGAUUCAACAAAAAUAGACCACUCAUCAAGGGUGCAUGACAAUAAAAGAUAUUACUCAUAUAAAUAGAACAACCAUUAUUCUCUGAUUUAAAUGAAUAACCAUCACAUAUCAAACAAGAUCCAGAUAUAAUGUUCAUGCUCAACGCUGGCACCAAAUAACAAUUAUUUAGGUCUAAAACUAAUCCCGACGGUAGAUGUAGAGGUAGCAUGCCGACGGCGAUCACAUCGACUUUGGAACCAUUUCCCACACACAUCGUCACCUCGUCCUUAGCCAAUCUUCGCUUAAUCCGUAGCCCCUGUUUCGAGUUGCAAAUAUGAGAAAUAGAACCAGUAUCAAAUACCCAGGCGCUACUACGAGCAUUAGUAAGGUACACAUCAAUAACAUGUAUAUCAAAUACACCUUUCACUUUUCCAUCAUUCUUAUCCGCCAAAUACUUGGGGCAGUUCCGCUUCCAGUGACCAGUCCCUUUGCAGUAGAAGCACUCAGUCUUAGGCUUAGGUCCAGACUUGGGCUUCUUCACUUAAGCAUCAACUUGCUUGCCGUUCUUCUUGAAGUUCGCCUUCUUCCCUUUACCCUUUUUCUUGAAACUAGUGGUCUUGUUAACCAUCAACACUUGAUGCUCCUUCUUGAUUUCUACCUCCGCAGCCUUCGCGAAGAGCUCGGGAAUAGUCUUCUCCAUCCCUUGCAUAUUAUAGUUCAUCACGAAGCCUUUAUAUCUUGGUGGCAGUGAUUGAAAACUCUGUCAAUGGCACUAUCAUCAGGAAGAUUAACUCCCAGCUGAGUCAAGUGCUUGUGGUACCCAGACAUUCUGAGUAUGUGCUCAUUAACAGAACUGUUCUCCUCCAUCUUGCAGCUAUAGAACUUGUUGGAGACUUCAUAUCUCUCAACUUGGGCAUUUGCUUGAAAUAUUAACUUCAACUCCUGGAACAUCUCAUAUGCUCCAUGACGUUCAAAACGUCUUUGAAGUCCCGAUUCUAAGGCGUAAAGCAUAGCACACUGAACUAUCGAGUAGUCAUCAGCUUUGCUCUGCCAGGCGUUCAUAACGUCCGGAGUUGCUCCUGCAGCGGGUCUUGCACCUAGCGGUGCUUUCAGGACGUAAUUCUUCUGUGCAGCAAUAAGGAUAAUCCUCAAGUUACGGACCCAGUCCGUGUAGUUGCUACCAUCAUCUUUCAACUUAGCUUUCUCUAGGAACACAUUAAAAUUCAAGGAAAUGGUAGCACGGGCCAUUGAUCUACAAUAACAUAGACAUGCAAAAUACUAUCAGGUACUAAGUUCGUGAUAAAUUAAAGUUUUAUUAAUCAUAUUACUUAAGAACUCCCACUUAGAUAGACAUCCCUCUAGUCAUCUAAAUGAUCACGUGAUCCAAAUCAACUAAACCAUGUCCGAUCAUCACGUGAGAUGGAGUAGUUUUCAAUGGUGAACAUCACUAUGUUGAUCAUAUUUACUAUAUGAUUCAUGCUCGACCUUUCGGUCUCAGUGUUUCGAGGCCAUAUCUGCAUAUGCUAGGCUCGUCAAGUUUAACCCGAGUAUUCUGCAUGUGCAAAACUGGCUUGCACCCGUUGUAUGUGAACGUAGAGCUUAUCACACCCGAUCAUCACGUGGUGUCUCGGCACGACAAACUGUAGCAACGGUGCAUACUCAGGAAGAACACUUAUACCUUGAAAUUUAGUGAGGGAUCAUCAUAUAAUGCUACCGCCGUACUUAAAAAAAUAAGAUGCAUAAAAGAUAAACAUCACAUGCAAUCAAUAUAAGUGAUAUGAUAUGGCCAUCAUCAUCUUGUGCCUUUGAUCUCCAUCUCCAAAGCACCGUCAUGAUCACCAUCGUCACCGGCUUGACACCUUGAUCUCCAUCGUAGCAUCGGUGUCGUCUCGCCAACUAUUGCUUCUACGACUAUCGCUACCGCUUAGUGAUAAAGUAAAGCAAUUACAUGGAAAUUGCAUUUCAUACAAUAAAGCGACAACCAUAAGGCCCCUGCCAGUUGCCGAUAACUUUUACAAAACAUGAUCAUCUCAUACAACAAUUUAUAUAUCAUCACGUCAUGACCAUAUCACAUCACAACAUGCCCUGCAAAAACAAGUUAGACGGGCUUCUAGCAAGAACCGUUCUUACCUACACAUCAAAAGCACAACGAGUUUUCAUCAAGUGUGCUGUUUUAACCUUCAACAAGGACUGGCUGUAGUCAAACGCGAUUCAACUAAAGUUGGAGAAACAGACACCCGCCAGCCACCUGUGUGCAAAGCACGUCGGUAGAACCAGUCUCAUGAACGCGAUCAUGUAAUGUCGGUCCGGGCCGCUUCAUCCAACAAUACCGCCGAAUCAAAGUAAGACGUUGCUGGUAAGCAGUAUGACUAUUAUCGCCCACAACUCUUUGUGUUCUACUCAUGCAGAUAAUAUCUACGCAUAGACCUGGCUCGGAUGCCACUGUUGGGGAACGUAGUAAUUCAAAAAAAUUCCUACGAUCACAAAAGAUCUAUCUAGGAGUAGCAUAGCAACGAGCAGGGAGAGUGUGUCCAUGUACCCUCGUAGACCGAAAGCGGAAGCUUUUAGUAACGCGGUUGAUGUAGUCGAACGUCUUCACGAUCCAAUCGAUCCAAGUACCGAACGUACGGCACCUCCGGUUCAGCACACGUUCAGCAUGAUGACGUCCCUCGAGCUCUUGAUCCAGUUGAGGACGAUGGAGAGUUCUGUCAGCACGAUGGCAUGGCGACGGUGAUGAUGAAGUUACCGGUGCAGGGCUUCGCCUAAGCACUACGACGAUAUGACCGAGGUGUGUCACUAUGGAGGGGGAACCACACACGGCUAAGAGAAGACUUCGUGUGUCUUUGGGGUGCCCCCUCCCAUGUAUAUAAAUGAGGGGGGAAGAGGAGGCCGGCCCAAGGGGGGACACGCCAAAGGGGGGAGUCCUACUUGGACUCCCGGUCCAAGUAGGAUUCGCCCCCCGUUUCCUAUUCCAACUAGGAUAAGGAGGGAAGGAGGAAGAGGGAAGGAAAGAGGGGGGCGCCGCCCCCUCCUAGUCCAAUUCAGACCAGCCAUGGGGGGGGGGCACCCCUUAAGGCCCUUAUCUCCUUUCCCCUAAAGCCCAUUAAGGCCCAUUACUCUCCCGGGGGGUUCCGGUAACCUCCCGGUACUCCGAAAAAUAACCGAAACACUUCGGAACCAUUCCGGUGUCCGAAUAUAACCUUCCAAUAUAUUGAUCUUUACCUCUCGACCAUUUUGAGACUCCUCGUCAUGUCUGUGAUCUCAUCCGGGACUCCGAACAAACUUCGGUCAUCAAAUCACAUAACUCAUAAUACAAAUCGUCAUCGAACGUUAAGCAUGCAGACCCUACGGGUUCGAGAACUAUGUAGACAUGACCGAGACACAUCUCCGGUCAAUAACCAAUAGAGGAACCUGGAUGCUCAUAUUGGUUCCUACAUAUUCUACGAAGAUCUUUAUCGGUCAAACCGCAUAACAACAUACGUUAUUCCCUUUGUCAUCGGUAUGUUAUUUACCCGAGAUUCGAUCGUCGGUAUCCUCAUACCUAGUUCAAUCUCGUUACGGGCAAGUCUCUUUACUCGUUCUGUAAUGCAUCAUCCCGUGACUAACUCAUUAGUCACAUUGCUUGCAAGGCUUAUAGUGAUGUGCAUUACCGAGAGGGCCUAGAGAUACCUCUCCGGUACACGGAGUGACAAGUCCUAAUCUCGAUCUAUGCCAACUCAACAAACACCAUCGGAGACACCUGUAGAGCAUCUUUAUAAUCACCCAGUUACGUUGUGACGUUUGAUAGCACACAAGGUGUUCCUCCGGUAUUCGGGAGUUGCAUAAUCUCAUAGUCGGAGGAACAUGUAUAAGUCAUGAUGAAAGCAAUAGCAAAAAAACUAAACGAUCAUUAAUGCUAAGCUAACGGAUGGGUCUUGUCUAUCACAUCAUUCUCUAAUGAUGUGAUCAUGUUCAUCAAAUGACAACACAUGUCUAUGGUUAGGAAACUUAACCAUCUUUGAUUAACGAGCUAGUCAAGUAGAGGCAUACUAGGGACACUCUGUUUGUCUAUGUAUUCACACAUGUACUAAGUUUCCGGUCAAUUCCAGAACAAAUAAUAAACAUUUAUCAUGAUAUAAGGAAAUAUAAAUAACAACUUUAUUAUUGCCUCUAGGGCAUAUUUCCUUCAUCUAGAGGCGGCGCUCGAUGGAGCCGGGGAAAACAAAUCUGGGUGCAAUAUUAUCGUUGACGUGGCUGGGAUUGACAUAGCCGUGGCCUUGAUCCAUGGAUCUGUCAUGUGCCUGACGGGAUUUGGGGCGUGGCCAUGAAGUGGAGAGGUAGUGGUGGAGAUGUGGUGUUGUGGUGGUGAGGACGUGGAGGCUAGAGGGUCGGGAUGGGUCGCGGGGUGGAAGGCCGGGGUACUAGCAACGGGCGGCGAAGGAGCAGUGGGAGGCCCACGCAGGUAAGCGGACCAGAGGGGAAGAGGUUGCGGUGGUUGGUGGGGUUCGCAUGGGGUGGCGGCGGGAAAUUAGCCGGUGAGGAAGAAGGUGGGGUGUGGGGCGGAUGUUGUUUUUCUGGCUGGUUUGGUGGUUCGUUUUUUCAGAGGAAUGCCUUUGGUGCACUUUAUUAAAAUCAAAUGACAGUUACAUCAAGAACAAUGUCUGGGUUAAUAAAACUGGAGGUUCGGUUAGCGUAGGGUGGAGGGCUUGGUUAGGGCAUCUCCAAAGCUGGCCCACAAAUGUCUCUGGUAUAUGUCCUUUUUUUGUCUAGGCGUGAUUCGUGGACAUGAUGCGGGACGGAGCCAUCCAAUGCUAAUCACAAAGUAUCCGGUUGAGAGGAAAAAAGUAGGUGGGGACCAUGCAUGUGGUGGAAUGUUUGUGGUUUAGUGUCCGGUUGGGACGAGAGAAAGAGAAGAGAGGGGCCAUGCAUGUGCGGUUGAGAGGAGAGAGAGAAGAGGGGGACCAUGCAUGUGAUUGAUCAAGUGUACUACCUCCGUCUCGGUGAAUAAGUCAUUCGCGUAGUUCUAGGUCGACGAUUUAACUAUCUAAAUAUGUAUUAUAUGUGACAAAAUAUAUAUAUUUAGAAACUACAUCCGUGUAGAAAUCUAGUGAUAUACUUUUCAUGGCAUAUAACACAUAUUUAAUUCCUCACAUCGAUGACCUAGAACUACGCAAAUGACUUAUUCACCUAGACGGAGGUAGUACUUUUGUUUAGAAAAGGAGGAUGACCUCCGGCCUCUGCAUCUGGACGAUGCAUGCAGCCAUUUUAUUAAUUAUUCACAAAGACCUUACAAAGUAAUACAUCAGUAAGUAUGAAGCCACCAUCUUGGCAACAUCUGCCACUACUCCUAUCUAGCUGAUGAAGGGGUGCCGGAAGUCCGAGCCAAGUACCAAACAGACCUCGCACCAAAGCCUAACAUCUAAAGCCGGAGGCCCCAACCAAGCCUCAUACCGGGUCUGGGGCACAAACCAGUCCGACGAAGUCUCAGAAGUCGCCGCCGCCAUCUUCCACUGAUCCAUCUUCAGAGCAGGCACUCAUGCAUCGACCUUGCUAGGCCUGCCGUCGAGGCCCCCACGACGCUAGAUAGCGCCCCCGCCCUGCGCGAGUCCAUCAACUCACAUCCGUCAGCGAGACCCUGCUACACCAUGCCGUCGAGACUCACCGUCGUCGACGCAAUAGAUGUACACCGCUCCACUCCUUGCGUCCUCCGUCCAGCAACUGCUCCAAAACAAUGCCCUCAUGAGGUAGAGCGACACAAAGAGCGCCGCCAUCAUCCGAUCCAGAAUACCCGGAUUUGGGGUUUCCCCUGGAACAGUGCGAGUGGGAAGAAGGUGUAUGCAGUGGCGAUGCCUUCAACAAGGUAGCGACGCUUAGACGGCGUCAUCGCCUGCCAUGACCGUUGUCGGAGCACGGUUUUCACGGGCAGCCACGCCUCCCCAACUCGCCGCCGGUACUUGAUGUGGGAUCCAGAGAUCCGCCACAGCCAGUUGGCCGACCAACUCUGGCGGAGGAGUAGACCGCCACCGCCAUGCCCGGGCAGCUGCCCGAGGCUUCCCCAUGCUGCGUGACUAGCCCAGGAGCACCUCCACGUACCGCCAUCGGAGCCGUCGAGAUGUAGUAGGGACAACCACGUGUAGGAUGAGGCCCGCCCAGACCCAUCUAUGCCUAGAUCAGGCCUGCCUGCACCACGCCACCGCCACCCACUGUCGUCUACGCCGCUCGCAGCCACAAGCACGCCAAGCCGCGCUUGUCGCCGCCACCCUGAAACACUGCUGCCGAAGAGGCCGGGACAUUGUAUGUCCAGACUCUGGCAAAGCCCCUAAUGUUGUCUCUUGGAUACGAGAAUCCGUACGUCCAGACUGCUAAGCGGACAUAUACAGGUCUCCGUUGGAUGACAAAAGUGGUCCGGACAUUGUGGUCUGGACAUGGGUCCGCUUUGGAGAUUUCCUAAGGGUCUCAAGUGUAUGUCCAGACUCCGGCAAAGCCCCCGACGUUUGUCUAUUGGAUACCGGAAUCCGUAUGCCCGGACUAUUAAGCGGACAUAUACGGGUCUCAUUGAAUUUGUGUAGCUUACAAAGCAAUGCUCAUUACACAGAAAAACUGUAAAAUCAUAGGCACAAUAUGUGCAUGAAAUGAACCAAAUUCUAGUUAUUUGACGUCCAAACCAUUCAAGUUGAUGCCCUUCCCAUGGAGCCUUAUUCCAAGCAAGCUCAUCUUUCCUAUUAGGGUUGAACAGCAAACCAAAAUUAGAUGCAGGUAGCCUCGACUUAUAGACUUAACUGGAAACUCACUUCGACGGUCCAAUGGGUUAUUUCCUAUUCUCCUGCAGCAAAGCACAUAUAUAUAUGUAUUCCCUUAAUUUAUUAAUUUAUGCUCAAUAAAUCUGCAGAAAAAUGUCCUAGUUUGUAUUUUUAACUACCCUUGUGAGGACCAGGGAUUUUCACCAUCGCAUCACACCCACAGAAAGGAUAGAGGCAGGCGGGCGGAGACCAGGAGAUCGCCAUAAGCACGGCAAAUAUACACAUCAAAAGUAUCGUCAAGCAUGCACUGGGGAAUUGACAUCCAUCACGUGCCUUGCCAACAUUGGUUGUGCCAAGCUCACAUUAGGUGGCCGUGCCAAGACCAGGAUUAGAUGUUGAUGCUCAAUGCAUAUGCAUAGAUUGCGGUGGCAGCUGCAAGCAUGAGUGGCGAGGACGGCGCAGCUCCAGUACUCCAGUGCGAGCCCCUUCUGUGUAGAUACGGCUUGCCUACGGGCAGGAGAAGGAGGCUGUGAAGUAUGUUUCAGUUGUGAAGCACGACGUAUCAUAAAGCAUCUCCAACAAAUCAAUGGUAAAAGUCUCACUUCAGUUAUAUGGUCUCACAAACACAUGAUGAAUGGGUACCUUUGCCAGAUCAGACAUGAUCACUAACUGUGCCCAUUAGUGUUACUUGCAUGUGGAAUACUCCCUCUGAUGCAUGGAUGCUAACUAAUCUUGCAUUCAGUUCUAAAACGAACAAUGCAUCAAAAUAUUGAAAGAAACAAAUAAUAAACCAUAACGCUAACAGGGUGUCCACAGUAAGGCGAAAAGGGAGUCAUGGCAUUACACAUCAAUACCAUUGCUGAAAAAUUAUGAGACAAACAAAUACGUAUAUUAGCAAAAAACAGUUGUCUCAGACAAAUGAAAAGAAAACCAAAAUCGCAUUGUCUAAUCUAAAAGGAGUGUAAUCCAUCACCAUGUAUGUGGUAAGGAUUCUGAUCGUGAAGGCUUAAGUAACCCCUUCUUAUCCAUUCCAUUUUCUUUCAUUAACACAAUAUUGGUAGGUCCACGAAAAAUAUAGAUCAAAACUGUUCUGAAUAAAACCCAAUUCGCAAAUCUGAAUGGACUGCAACUGGACAGAUCAUUCAAUCAAUAAUUUCAAUGAUCUUCAGAUUCGGUGAUGUAAAAGUAAUUAGGGCAAGAGUAAUACAAUACUGAAUCCCACAUACCUUACUGACGGGAACAUUGACGCCAAUGCUAGAGCAGUUCAGCUUGUGCAUUGCAAUGAAAUCCCACAAACUUCCUGCCGGGCUAGUGAUGUUUCGGCAUGAUUGAGAGUGCAGAGGGACAUGCGUAAAGAAAAUAUUUUGGUAGAGGCAAGUAGAGCCCAGCCGCAAGGAGCCCCUCUUAUUUUCUCCUGUCGCAGUCACGCCAACCGGAUCAUCAGAUCGGCGUUCUUCAUGCCAGGGCAAAGGGAGGAGGGGCUGGACGAUGGGCUGUACGACUGAGGGGCAACGCCGAUGCGGGGCGUCAGCCAAGCGCUGUCGUCCAGGCGCAGCACCGAAAGCGCAUCUUGGCGCCGCGUGGGGAUGAGGUCGCGCGCCGAAGCUCUAUUCCGGCGGCUACGACUGGAUCAAGAAUAGGGAGCAACUAGUUAACGAGCCCUCCUUCGGAAGACUUGCAACGAUCAGCGCCACUUGGCGCGCUCUCAGCCAUUCGCCACGUGUCGCGUUCUGGAUGCUCCCUUCGGNNNNNNNNNNNNNNNNNNNNNNNNNNNNNNNNNNNNNNNNNNNNNNNNNNNNNNNNNNNNNNNNNNNNNNNNNNNNNNNNNNNNNNNNNNNNNNNNNNNNNNNNNNNNNNNNNNNNNNNNNNNNNNNNNNNNNNNNNNNNNNNNNNNNNNNNNNNNNNNNNNNNNNNNNNNNNNNNNNNNNNNNNNNNNNNNNNNNNNNNNNNNNNNNNNNNNNNNNNNNNNNNNNNNNNNNNNNNNNNNNNNNNNNNNNNNNNNNNNNNNNNNNNNNNNNNNNNNNNNNNNNNNNNNNNNNNNNNNNNNNNNNNNNNNNNNNNNNNNNNNNNNNNNNNNNNNNNNNNNNNNNNNNNNNUCUUAGCUUUUUGAUCAAAAAACAAUUUUCAAAAAAAAAGUUUUUUGCGCGAAAAAACGCGUUUUUUUCCUUUCGAGAAAGUCACGGUUUUUUUCCGCAAGAGGCACGGUUGUGCUUUAUCGAGAGUCACAGCCGUGCCUUUCGGAAACGAAAAAAACUCGUUUUUUGUUUUUUUUUCUUUCGCGAGAGUCAUGGUUUUGCUUCCGCGAGAGGCACGGUUGUGCUUUCGCGAGAGUCAUGGCCAUGCCUCUCGGAAAGGGAAAAACAAAACGCGUUUUCUGUUUUUUUUCUUUCGUGAGAGUCACGGUUUUGCUUUCGCGAGAGGCACGGUUGUGCUUACGCGAAAGUCACGGCCGUGCCUCUCGAAAAGGGAAAAAAUACGCGUUUUUUUUCUUUCGCGAGAGUCACAGUUUUGCUUUCGCGAGAGGCACGGUUGUGCUUUCGCGAGAGUCACGGCCGUGCCUCUCGGAAACGGAAAAAAACGCGUUUUUUGUCUUUUUUUUCUUUUCACGAGAGUCACGGUUUUGAUUCCACGAGAGGCACGGUUGUGAUUUCGCGAGAGGCACGGGCGUGCCUCUUUCGGAAAGGAAAAAAAACCAUGCUCCCGGUUCGUUUUUUCGCCCGAUUUUUUUAAUCCGGUUUUUCUCGUGAAAAAAAAAUUCGUCAAAACCUAUCAACAUGGGAUCUAGUUUUGAGGAUCUCGACGCGAGGAAUCCAAUGGUGAAAACGGUUCGAGAUUUGGACGCAUGGUUUAAGAGAUAAAAUGUUUUGUAUAAGCGGAUCUACGAAAAAAGGGAAAACUCCCAGGUUGCGACAAGUGGCGUGCUGCAUGUGCGCCACUAGUCGCCACCCGGGAAAGUGGAGUGUUCUUUGCAACGAGUACUCCUUAAUUAGUGACAUCGUCAAGAAUAUAGGUGGGAUGGGAAGAUGAGAUGUGCGGACCAGGUCUAUUCAUCGGAGAGAUAUAAUAUGGUGGGGAGAUGAGACGAUAAAUCUGGGUUAGUGCCCUUGGAAGAGGAAGCAAUUUCGGUCGAGAGGCUGCUUUCAAUCGGGUGUUACGUUUGGAAACGAAACUGCUAGUUGAGAAGACAAAAAAUAGGAAGGAGUAGCGGGUCCUCCUGCAGUUCUGCUGGUAAUAGAAGGCUAACAUGGCCAUUCUUUUAUGCUGGUCAACAUGUGGCGGGUCCCUUUAAGUGGGUAACGAAGUGGUCAUGUGGCUGGCUUGCUGAUGUGGAUAGCUUGCAUGUUAAGAGAAAUGAAAUAGUGGGGAUGAAUUAUUUAGGUAUUAUAAAUUAAUUAAUAUUGAUUGAGCUUUUUCAGAACACAAUGGAUACAGUGGACGAGGAUUAAUAUGGAGAGAUGCCUCCCAUGAAGUCCUUUUUGCUGCAGCGGGCUCAUCCCAAUCAAUUUCCAAUGCUUUACACGCUGAGACAGUGACCCUUUGCACUGUAGUUAAAUGGGCUGUUCAAAUGGGGGUGGGCAGAGUACAUUUUGAGACUGAUUGUCUAGUGCUACAACAAGCUGUGUCAUCGGAUAUGUACGACCUGUCUUCCCUUGGUCAACUGUUCAAAGAGCAUAAGGCGAAUCUUGCCACACAAUUUAUCCAGGCUAUGGUUGUACACACGCCACGUGUUUGUAACAAGCGAGCGCAUGUGCUGGCUGCUAUUGGUGCGGGUUUAGUUGCUGGAGAGUCUAACCAGUGGUUCUCUAACUAACCUGAUGAUGUAACCCGUGUUGUAACCGACGAUUUAGCCGUGUCUUAAUGGAAUACGAGUGUUCCAUCUAAAAAAACUUGCACACGAUACUUCCUCUCUCGUCGCCGCCAACCGCUCAGUCGCCCCUCGCACCCGCCGCUCAGCCCCGCUGCACCCUUGCACAUGAACGGUGGAGGCCACACGCACGCACGCACCUGACAGGUAGGCCGGACGGGUGGAGGCCGCUCGCACCUGAUGGGGAGGCCGCAUGGGUGGCGGCCGCACGCACCCGAGGCCUGCCGACCUGGGGUUGCAUCGGCCGAAUCUCCGCCUGGCAGAUAGGUUGCACACGGCCCCGACGCCUGCCGACUGUCGUCCUCCUCUCCGCCGCCCGCAUAUUUUCCACUCUGUAUGGCCGCACCACACCCGCGCCCGCGCCCGCUGAUUCUCCACUUGGUCCAGGCCGCACGACGCCGUCACCCGCCCCCUUCACGUCACGCCCUGGGGUUAAUAGGCGCGCCACCCGUCGAUUCUAUGCCGCCGCCUGCCAUGUCACGUCCUAGGGUUGCUGGGCGUUGACGCCAACACAAUCUGCCAUCCCCAAAUCCUCUUGGCGCAGUUUUGCUGGCUGUGAACACCAUCUGCUACCGAAUCCUUUCCCACAUAAAGUACUGAUAUGCUCAUAUCCUUUUGUAUCCAUUUACAUAUUUUGAUUUACAGAUGGAGAAUCAUAAUCCACCUGUAUCACUGUUCGGAUUAGCGGAGCGUUCCCUGUUUAAAGACCUGAUGACGCCCCUGUUUAUGGGAAUGCAAAUCCCACAAGUAAAAAUCUGCGAGAAUAAAAAUUGAAGGGCGCUCAAAGUUGGUAUGCCCGAAUGUCCAAUGAGAAAAGAGCAGAAUACAACCAAAAGCGGCUCACAACCCACGCAGAAAAGAAGGCGCUAUAAAUAUAGGAUCUUUACUUGGUAAACUCCACUGCCAAUUAUUACUUUCAUGUUUCGACUACUUUUUUACCUAAUUUUACAGUAUGCAAUCCGUUCCCAUUUUUUAUUUUACAUUAUGUACUAUUGUUAUGCAUUAUCGUAUAUUUUGCUUAUUGUGGAUUCAACGUGCACAACGAAUUCUUUGUGAUGUUGAAUUUAUUACAGUGAUGAAGAAUUUGGAAUUGUUGCUGGGCAUGGCUGACAAUUACUUAUAUGAGGAAAACAGAUCAGGUGCUUUAUCAUGUGUGAGUUGAGUGCUAAUUUUACUCCAUCCCCCUUCUAUGCUUAAUACUCUUUCUAAGUCCAACAAGAUUCUUAUCUAGUAUCUAUAUGUAUGUACGAUCUUUGAUUAAGAGGGGACCAAUCACUACUAGGGAAAAUCUUAUACACAGAAUCUUAGCAGCAGCGCGGUUUAAAAAGAGACGCUACUGCUAAUUAGCACUAGCGAGCUCCAUAAAACCGCGCUACUAAUAGCACGGUAGCAGUAGCAGUCUAGGUGAAACAAGCGCUACUACUAUAAUUGCCACAGUGUUGGCCCUAGGCUUAAUAUAGUAGUAGCGCCCUUCCUCAGACGCGCUACUGCUAAAGUACUUAGUAGCAGCGUUUUUCUUCAAAACACGCUACUGCUAAGUAUUGCACCUAAUUAAGUUUAGUCCCAUACUGCUAAGCGAACAAGGUGUUUACCACCUUAAAUAUGUUACUUCUCAAACUAUCUCGAGCACUUGGUCUUCAUUGAACUAUAUGUGUAGGAUUUGUGGCUGCAAUAUGAAUCUUGACCAGUGCCUAUACAGGUACUGUGAGGAUUCAUGUUGACUAUUUAGAUUCUACACAAAAAGAUCAAUGAUGACCAAUGUAUAUAUUUGAAGUUUUUACAUGCUUAGACUUAGCAGUAGCGUUUUUUCAGGGCAAAGCGCUACUGAUAUUAUAAAACAGAAAGGAAUAGCUGUAGCGCGUUUCGCUUGCCACGCUAUAGCUAACUUAGCUAUAGCGCGUUCCGGCAAAAUGCGCUGCUGCUAGUUUGACUUAACCCCCGGCCGCGCGGGCUCAAAAUUUCGCUAAGUCCUUCCCCUCCACUUCCCACUCUGCCCCAACUGCUCCAUCGCCGCCGUCGCCCUACCGCUCUCGACCUCACUGCCGCCGCCCGCCACCGCCCUCAACCUUACCACCGCCGCCACACGCCGCACACCCUCGAGGCCGCCCCCGACCCCGACCUCGACGCCACCCCCGACCCCGACAUCGACGCCGCCCUCCGCCGCGCGCCCGAGCCCUGACCCCUUCCUCGACGCCGCCUGCCCCUCCCUCGCCGCAGUCACCAUAAGGCUCUGCCUGUCCUCUCCCCUACCCUCCUCUCUCUCUGCUAGGGUAAUUCAUAUAUGUGUUGAUGCUGUGGUGAUGUUCUUUGAACCCUAGGUGUUCAUAUGAACCCUAGGUGUUCAUAUGAACCCUAGAUUUGUUUAGGCCAGUAGGCAUUUUUUAGCAUUUAGGAAAAAUGAUUAGCAAUUUUUUUAGGAAAUUAGCUAGGGCAAAUUUUUAUGAAAAUGCCUAAACAGUAAUUUCAUUAAAAAAACAAAAAAACAGAAUUGUUUUUCUUUCAAAAACUUGGUUGAACUAAUUGUUGCUAUGUAAACAAAAAACAAGAUUGUUGUUAUAUGAUAUAUGUCAUUGAUGUUCAUUUGCAUAUUCCAUUAUUGAAGUGGUUCGAUUGUGCCCAAGUGGCUUGUUGUUUCCAGGGAAUGAAGUCGAGUGGCCUAUGUUUUGCCGGAAUGUUGAUUCAUUUCUGUUCCGGCAAAUUUCAGGUUCCCGAUUUGUCCACUUUUUAGUAAAACUCAUGCCGAAAUUUUGCGUGAAUUUCGGCAUGACUUGUGCUACAAACUAGGACAUAUCGAGUGCCCGGGAUUUGCCGCACCGGGAAGGAGUCAACAUUCCUGCAAAGCAUAGGCCUUUUUAUGUCAUUAUUCAUUUUAUUAGGUAUAGAAUUAAUUGACUAGAUUUAAUCGUAAGAACUAGUUGAACAUGCCACAUUUGUUGUUAUUUUUUUAGUUAAAGCAAUUUUUCGCGCAUCGACGUCGACGAUGCCUAUCCCGCAUCCUCGUCGUCGAGUCGGCGGAGGACACCUACGUCACCAGAUGGGCCAUGUCCGGGACUGGGCUCCGACGGGGUGGUACCGGGAGGUGCUACCUACCGGGGGCGCAGGUUGGUGAGGAGCCAGCCUGUCGUUGACCCGAACCUUCUUUGGUGGCGGUCGCAUGGGCCAGUGACGGUCCAGAGGCUCGAGGACCCCGCGGAGGUGGUGCGUCACCGUGUCAGUGAGGAGGACGCGCACGUCCGUCGCUACUUGUUUGCGUUGGAGCACAAGUUCUCCAAUACCUGGCAGGUUCUCCAGGGAUCUCACUGGAGCUAUGAUCAUACGAUGGUUCCUUCUCUUUGGGUGUCCACCGCCCGCGCCGAUACCCAUUGUGCGUUAGGGUUUUAGUUGUAUUAGUGAUGCUAUAUGUAUGAUACUAUUCGGGAUGUAUUAGUGAUAAUAUUCGACGAUGUACGGACGCAUGAGAUGAUUUACUUUUGCUUAUUGAAUGCAUGCUAAUUUGAAUACUUAUUUAUUUUACGAUUUGGUUUUGCUUAUUGAAUGCUCAAGUCAAUAUGAGUCCUAUAAGAUAUUUUGUGUAUCCUGGUAGUUGUCUUCGAUCGAUUUUCAAUUAAUGUUUCAACUAUGAACAUAGGAAAUGUCUGACAACGAAAAGGAUUUUGGUAUUUGCAAAUACUGCGAAGACGAGCGCGGCCUGUGCGACGGAAUCUUCCUAGAUGAUGAUAGGCGCUUCAGCAUCAAGCUUGACGUGAACUUCGAAGUGGAUACAGUAAGUCACAACGACAAGUCUUUUUUCGUAAUUAAGCAUGACAUCUGCUUCAUUUGCUUCAACUUAUAUAAUUUUUUACUAUUCUACUAGCGUAUCCCCUGCCAUGCAAGAGUUUUUGUCUUGGAUAAGAUAGGUUUCAGUCGUACUAUGGAGGUAAAGAAAGUUUACUUGAAGACCGAGCAUGGUUAUAUUUUCCACGCAAAAUUAUACAACGCAGACGACUACACCUAUUUUGGAUGCAAAACUUGGCGAGCACUAUGCAAGACUUAUGCAUUUGAGCCUGAUAUGGUUAUCACCUUUGAUAUUCGUCCGGAAGAUGAUAUUGAAGGUAAUACCAAUAUCUGGGUCGAUGUGCAGACGCCUCCAGUUAUACCAUUAUGUGAGUUUCUCAACCAUAUUUAUGUCUUUGAUAUUGUUUAUUCAAAAAUAGUUGACAACUAAUUUCUAUUGUCAGCUUAUUUCCGUGCAAGCAAACAUGUCCAGCGCUUGGUAGACAGGACCUACUCCUGUCCCGGGGCUGAACUAAACUGCGAGGAGCUAAAUCAUUAUGUUUCAUGGCUUGAGGAUCUUGAUACUGUCAAGACAAAUUUUCUUCCUGCACUUAGAAAUGUUAGUACUGAAAACGUGCGACCAAUAGUGUUCGUAAUGAACUACGGUCACAUCUAUUUAGGAAAGAUGGUAAGAUUUUUACUAUUUGUCCUCAGUGCAUCUUUUGCAUACAUUAUUUUUUAAGCUAAACUUCAUUGCUAAGUAUGUUACUAUACGAUGUUCUUCAACAGAGACUCCCGAUGAAUGUUGUGCCUCAUGGGAUCGAGACUAAUGGUACCAUGAGUAUUGUUAGCUUACGGCUAAGAUAUCCUACAAUGCACUUUAGUGCAUUCAGGAUUUCUAAGAGCGAGGAAGUCUUAAUAGUGAAAGACUGGACCAAAUUUGUGAUGGAGGAGUGCAGAGAAGUACUAGGGGGCAGUAAUCAGAAGCGCAGCCCACGAUUAGGAGACAGGUUCAUCUGCAUACUCCAACUUGAUGAAGGAGGAGAGCUACACAUGUUUUAUGUUAUUUUACCUAAGAGAGAGCAGCAGGAGUGAUUAGCUAGCUAGAAAUGAGUUUGAAGAUGAUGAUGUGCUACACUAUGACUAUGAUGAUUAAAUAGCUAGUGUUGGUGGUAAUGACUAUGAUGAUUAUUAUUAACUAGUGUUGGUGGUGAUUAGAUAGCUACCGCAUCUAGUGUUGGUGGUGAUUAGCUAGCUAGAAUGAGUUUGAAGAUGAUGAUGUGCUACACUAUGACUAUGGUGAUUACAUAAAUACUGUUGGUGGUAAUGACUAUGAUGAUGAUUAAAUAGCUUGUGCUGGCGGAUUAGAUUCAAGUGGAGGCAACAUGUGGUGCACAUCGAAAGUACUACUAGUCCAAACUAGAUCAAGUUUGGAUUAGUAGUAUACUUUUGACAUGCACCACACAUUGCCUCCACUUGAACCUAAUCCACCUUCAUUUGACACACUGUUAUGGACAUAAUGAUAUAAACCUCAUAAUUGGCAUUGUACCAAAAUUUAUAUAACGGCGUAUAAAUACACUAAAAAUGAAAAAAAAGAAUACUAGUAGCGAUGGAUAGUAAACACGCUGCAACUAGCUAGAUUAGCAGCAGCGCGGGAUAGAACAAGCGUUGCCGCUAUGUGUCUUAGCAGUAGCGCUUGUCGCACACGCUACUGUUAAGUAAUAGCUGUAGCACCUUAAUUAUUAGUAGCGCGGCAGCCCGCGCUACUAGUGGGCAUUAAACCCGCGCUACUACUAGGGUUUUCCCUAGUAGUGAAUGUCUGAUUAAUAUCUAGAAUGAUCAAGCUCUAUAUGUUCAUGUUUGAGCUGUGCUCAGAACUUCAUAAUGAAUUGCUUACAUCUAACUAUAAUAAAUUUAUACACCCCAGUCAAAUAAAUAAAUAAAUUUAUACACAAGGGUAUGUUCCAGUGCCUGCUUUUGAUCAUAGGAAACUGAACUAGGCAGAAGGAUCUUGCUAUACUCACUGACACCAAAAUCAAAGCUAAGUUGCUCCGAGUUACUCUCACUGCCUAUUUUGAUAAAUGCAGCCCUUAUUCUGUAAAACAUUUGGUGCCAGGCCCGUAGAGUGCCAGGGUGACUGAAGAUUGAUCUGAUAUUUGAAGAAUACAGUAAUGUCUCCAACAAAUAAUUAUUGUUUGACAAAGAAAAGGUGAUAUACAAUUUUAUGCUGACAUAUAUUCUACAUAUUAUUUUAUUUUAUUUGAGGUUAGUAUUGAUAUCCACAAGAAGCAUGUGGUCAGCAGGGGGGUGAUUUGCAUGUGACAAAUGUAUGAGACAGAAAGCCAAAACCCUUGUCCAAAUCUUCCUGCUGAUGUUUGCUUGGUUAGCUCCAAGACAGCUCGAACAAGUCCAUCUCAAGCUUAUAUUGGAUGGUGCCCUCUAUCGAAAAAGGUUUGCGUUAUAGAAGAUGAUGAUAGUGCCAACGUUCCAGACAAAUCUGACAAUAUGCUGGGAGUGAGAAAAUUUAACAACUUGGCUUCACUGUAAGUCCUUGACCAACUAUAUCUAUAUUCACUCCAAGAAUUUCAAAAUUGGCUUGCAUUCAUCAGUUUAGCAAAGAACAUAACAUUUGCCUGAUUGGCCAUUUAGCCAUUAGUCUACUGUUCAGUUGAAACCAUGGAAGGUUGCCUUAGUUCACCAGACUGAACUGCUAUGUUCACUUGAUCACAUGUCAAAUUUUUAUCUUAUUACAACACCUGAGGAGAACUCAUGCAUACCCUAACCUACCACUUGCAAGGUACUCAUGCUCAAGGUUUUGGUUACCGGUCGAAAUUUCGAGAUUUCCCAUGGUUACCGCGUAUUUCCGUGCCCCUCAAUAAAUCCCCUUACCGAGCAAAAAAUACCUUUUUUUGAAAUUUUAGAAUUUAAACACUCGAUUUAUAGAAAAGUGCGUAGGAUGUAAUUAAUGCCAUGAGAGUUGGUUCUACUGUGUUGGUAGCAACCUAGUUCCUGUUUUGAGAGGUCUCUGGAUCAAAUGUUCAUUCAUCCACUUAUUUGAAUUCAAAAUUCAACUAUAGAAUUCGUUCGAAAUAUUCUCGGUAUUUCUCGAUAACCGUGGUAACCACAUUUACCAGUCCCCCUCGGUAGAAAUGCCUCAUUCGGUAACCAAAACCUUGCUCAUGCUAUCCUUCUUAUUUCACUAGAAUAUUCACUUGCAUAUUUAGCUAACCUUGCAAGGUUUUAUUGUCAUCUGACAUCUGUCAGAAAUAUGUAUGUGCAAGUAUUAUAAAGCUGGAUCUAUCUGGUAAUUUCUCAUGACAUAUUCGUAAAUGAAAAUAUAAUUCCAAGGUGUGCUGAUGUAUACGAAAGUACUGCUGCAUUAUAAGUUGUACAAGCCCUUUCUUGAUUACUUUUACUGAUCUUUUGCGGGAGCUUCCAGUGGCAGCCUUCCUACUCUCCUGAUCUCAAAGGACUCGCCGCGGCUGCCCCGGGUCUCUGUCUCCCCCAUGGUGCAGCGCUUGCAGGAUUGAGCCACUUUCUCCGAUCAUCCUCUCACAAGUAUGAGCUGCCUGCGCAUGAGCUAGGUGUGCAGACUGCGUAAGCAUCGAGCGGCGAGACAUGGACGUGAACACACUGUAAGAUGAUUCAACUUAGUGGUUGUUGUAGCUAACAUUUAAACUGAGAUCUUCAUUUUAAUACAUCAACUUGCAUUUGUUCACAUAUAAUGAGUGCACUGGUUUAGCUCGAUGAUAAUCAUGCUAACUGUGCCUUUAUGUGGUGACCUUGAGUUUGUCAUUGCAUAUGUGGCACCAAAUUUAAAUAGGUGUGGUUUCUCCUCGUGCAAUCGCAUUGAACCAACUAAAUUGAACUGGUCAUAAACAUAUUUUUUUUUCAUUUGUAAUAUUUUUAAUGCAAUCAGAAUAUCUUUCUGUGUAUGUUAAUUCUCACAUAUGCCCUCGCAAUUUUAUCUCUCUUAUAUAUGUUAAUAUUAGUCUAGACGUGCAUUUGCACGUGCAAGCUUACUAGUACUACACUAAGUAUUGUUAUAAAUAUCUGUCAUUGUAACGUGAACGGUGCAGUAGCUUGGAUAGCUUGCUAUCCAACAGUUGUUCUCAUGUUCGAGAUGCAGAGGCCGUCUGUUAUGUUUUUAUUUACAUGUACUGACAAGCGGGCCCCAUGUCCCAUGAGUCAAGAAAUGAAAUGGCAUCUGCCGCGUUGACAGGGGCUUUUUGUGAGAAAUACAUUUUUGUGGGGGGUUUCGGCAAAAAAAAGGCUACACGCGCUCCUCUACGCCUUCAAUUACCGACAACAGUCACGAUGCUACGCUGGCACGACAAGUUAGCGUCGACUUCGUAUCCAAACGCGAUUAGCACCAUAUUUGCAUGUCUGAGCCAAGUUUUUACACCAGUUCAAUGUAUGCCGCAUGUUCUAGCACCAAAGUGACUGUUCCUGGCAAGUUUAAGCACCACCACUGUAAUUGACUCAAAAAAGUACUAAUGUAAUAGCUAAUCUUAUAGCCCACACCAUUGUAUGAGUGAAUAGAAAUGAUGGUUAUAAAUGACAUGGUAGUUUCAUAUAGCCAGCAGCUAGCUAUACUAUUAACCAUGCUCUAAAAAAACAAAUCUAUGACAUCAGCAGGUGACAUGGCUUCACCAGAAUGCAGGAAAAUCAUGCAGUGGGGUGGGGUGCUCCUAUUUAGGAUAUCCAAGAUUUGUUACCUCGCCGCCAAUGAGCUUGCGUGUGGAUCCUCACCUCUCCGUUCCCUUUCACCUCCCCCGACUCUCAUUCUAACCCAUCCCAUGUUGCUUCUGAUAUCGACCUCAUGUAGCGCCGCGGUACGAUUCGAUCACCUCUUCACCCAGGUAAUUGUCCUCCUCCACCUGUCCUUUCAUCCCCUCUCUCUCAUGCUAUUUCAUAUUUCUUGAACCCUAGCCCUAACCUGAGUAUUUGACUCCAAUAGCACAUCAAGCAACACACCCCUCUCAAUUCUCAAGGACAUUGGAUGCGGAGCAGGCGACUAUGCCUUGACUCUCAACAGGGCCCUACACCUUGUCCUUAACCUACAACCCUGAACUUAGAGGACAACAGCUUGCAAGGAUACGCCUGAUCAUAGCUUUGGUACAGAUGGAAUAAACUUCUCAACUAGUGGUUUGUGAUGAUAUGGUCAACCUACGACUUAUUGAUGGUCGUAAGAUCUAGUUCAUUAGGCUGUUCAAAUCGCCUAGGUUGGGUAUUCACAGAAACACAAAUAUUUGCCCUCCAUCGACUUUGGUAAUUGCUAAUGUUCACUACUACUUCUGUGUAUAAAACCUUUUUGAAUACUCUAUCGCUCAAUGCAGUUUUUAGUGUUCUGUUUAACUGACACUACUAGAAUCAGGAUCUUUGCCGUCGGCCCGUUCUUUGUUGUCUGCUAGCUGACGGCAAAGGAGGUCUUUGCCAUCAGCCCAGAGAAGGCUGACGACAAAGAACUAGCGGACGACAAAGAGCUUGUUUGCCAUCAGUAAUCUCUUUGCCGCCUGCUAGCGGACGACAUAGAAGUUUUGCCAUCUGCUAGCGGACGGCUAAGAGGGAGGGUGGCCCACUAGUUGUCAACCCGUAACGGGCCCCUCUUGGCCGUCCGCUAGCAGACGACAAAGGUGGGGCUGACGGCAAAGCUUGAAAAUUGACUUAACAGUCGCGCCCCGCCAUCGCCCUCUCUCUCUCUGUCUCUCUCCUCUUUCUUCCCCCUCGUGCCACCCCGCGACGUCGUCGCCGCACGCCGUCGCCGCCGCACCCUCCCCGCGUCAUUGCCGCCCCGUCGCUGGCCCCUUCCCGCCCCGUGGCCGCCCCCUCCCUGCCUCCCCACCCUANNNNNNNNNNNNNNNNNNNNNNNNNNNNNNNNNNNNNNNNNNNNNNNNNNNNNNNNNNNNNNNNNNNNNNNNNNNNNNNNNNNNNNNNNNNNNNNNNNNNNNNNNNNNNNNNNNNNNNNNNNNNNNNNNNNNNNNNNNNNNNNNNNNNNNNNNNNNNNNNNNNNNNNNNNNNNNNNNNNNNNNNNNNNNNNNNNNNNNNNNNNNNNNNNNNNNNNNNNNNNNNNNNNNNNNNNNNNNNNNNNNNNNNNNNNNNNNNNNNNNNNNNNNNNNNNNNNNNNNNNNNNNNNNNNNNNNNNNNNNNNNNNNNNNNNNNNNNNNNNNNNNNNNNNNNNNNNNNNNNNNNNNNNNNNNNNNNNNNNNNNNNNNNNNNNNNNNNNNNNNNNNNNNNNNNNNNNNNNNNNNNNNNNNNNNNNNNNNNNNNNNNNNNNNNNNNNNNNNNNNNNNNNNNNNNNNNNNNNNNNNNNNNNNNNNNNNNNNNNNNNNNNNNNNNNNNNNNNNNNNNNNNNNNNNNNNNNNNNNNNNNNNNNNNNNNNNNNNNNNNNNNNNNNNNNNNNNNNNNNNNNNNNNNNNNNNNNNNNNNNNNNNNNNNNNNNNNNNNNNNNNNNNNNNNNNNNNNNNNNNNNNNNNNNNNNNNNNNNNNNNNNNNNNNNNNNNNNNNNGAGGAGGAGGAGAAAAAGAGGAGAAGAUGAGAAUAAAAGAGGAAAAAGUAAAAGAAGGAAGAAGAAAAAUAAGAAGAAAAAGAAGAAGAGGAGGAGGAGUUAUGUUCUUUUCUCUGUUUUAGAUAAUAGAUAUAUUAUCUAUAUAGUUAGCUAGAUUAAAUUAUAUUAGAUUAGACUAGUUUUAGGUUUUAGUUGAAUAGUCAUAAUUAAAGGAAGUGAAAAAAGAUGAAAAAAGAAGAAGAAAAGUAGAAUAAGUAGAAGGGGGAAGAAGAAGAAGAAGAAAAAGAGGAAGAAGAAGAAGAAGAAGAAGAAGAAGAAGAAGAAGAGGAGGAGGAGGAGGAGGAGGAGGUUUUAGUUAGGUUAGUUUGAUUUUCUAGGUUAGUUAGGUUAGUUAUCUCUAGACUAGGUUAGUUAUGUUAGUUUCUAGGUUAGUUAGGUUAAUUAGUUUGAGGGGUUUUGGUGAUGUCAUUUUGUUCUCCAAGAGAUGAUACUUGGCAAGAUAACCAAAUAUGGCAUUUUUUACAUGCUAGAAUUUUCUUGGAAUUUAUAGAGAAUAUUUCAUUUGUAAAUAUUCCAAAAGCUUGAAAUAUCAGAAAACGGUUUUCACCCACCAAAUAUUUUAUUAUGUUUAUGUUGUACUAAUUCCGUUUACUCUUUGUCAUUGCAGGUGUUGAUAGAUGGUGGGCGCGGGUCGAGACCGCUCCGAGGCUCCUUCCUCGGCGCGUGCUGGGAGGGGUGUUAUUAUUCCACCCCAGCACCUUCGGAGAGCGCUGGAUGAUAGUAUGCAGACACCGGCGGGCGCUUCUUCUUCGGCCGGGAGAGGUCGGGGGAAGCCGAAGAGGGCUGCUAGAGGUGGACAUGGCGGCGGGAGAGGUAGGAAGGCUGCUGCGCCUUCCUUGCCGCCACCCCCAGCUGAUUCUCCGGACCACCGUAGUGCUCCGUCUCAGGAGGACUGGUCUCGGACUCCGGUCCACGAGCAUCAGGUCGAUGAGCUUUCGUCCCAGGAGACUCCGGUCCCAGAGCCUUCGUCCCAGGAGACUCGGGCCCUAGAGUCUUCGUCCCACAAGACUCCGGUCCCAUAGUCUUCGCCCCAUGUAUCUCCGGACACUAGUGGCCAUGCUGAUGACGAGGAGACCUGGUCUGAGGAUAGUUUUAGCGAGGAUGAGCUGGUUGAGCAGGGCAAGAGGGUCUACCAGCGUGGUGGUACGAAGCUCCCGACCGUGCCGGCGACCCGCGAUCAGAGGUGGUUGAUUCAGCCUAACAGGGAGAAGUAAGUGCAUUUACUCUUUUUUAACCUUUGUCCUUAAUGUUUCUUGAAAUUAAUAUCUAAUGUGUUGGCCUUGUCAUACUGCAGUGGUUGGAUACACCCCAAUGGUGUCCGCAUGCCCAACCAGGUCCUUGGUGUGAUUUGCCGACAGCACUUCCCGGGGUGGGUCACGUUGCCCGGUGAGGGUUAGGCUCCACAGUUAGCAAUGAGAUGGGAGCUGUACGGGGCUGCCCCGGCCCAGCCAGAAGAGAGGGUCGACGGUGUCGUGUGCGAGACGGUGGCCGACAUUGUGAGGCGGCGGUUUUGGGUAAUUUCUCCUUUACAGAAUUAAAAAUCAACAUUACCUAGUGAUUGUACUAAUCAGUGUUGUCUUGUUCGAUUGCAGACCUUCUACAGGGUUGCUGAGGAACACGAGGCGGAGGCGGCUAGGGUUCUUGAAGCCGAGUGCAAGCGCCUACUUUAGAACUUAUGGCACGAGGCUAGGGUGCAGGCUGUUCAAGACUACUACCCCUCGACUAACAUUAGGAGGGCCAAGAAGAAGUGUCGUCGCAAGUAUCUGAGUAAGGAGAAGUACAUGAGGGUAAUUACCUAUUCUUAAGGCCUUGUACUUACUUUCCUUGAUUUCAUUCGUAGGCGUAGCGCUGAAAUUUCUCUUAGCCAAACUUAGAUGCCCCUGAGAUGAUGUGCAGAUAUGAUGGACUGUUGGGAGGCGUUGGUGGAUGAGUGGUGCUCUCCCCAAUGGCUAGCCAAACACAACAAGGCCAGGGAUAAGCGUUCCCAAAUGCGAGGUGUGCCACACCAUCAAGGGAGCUCCAACCUGUUUGAGUACGGGGAUCACUGGGUAUGUGGUUUCAACCCUUAACGAUUCAUGCAAUUUCAUUCUUCAUGCUAGCUUCAGCCCUUAACUAAUAUGUUGUUCCUCUCUUUUAGGCAAAACACAACAAGAAGGAAGUGCCACCGCUGUAAAACCUCUAUGCCAUGGCCCAUAUGGCCCCGUUCAAGAAGGCCAAGGCAUUCUUUGAGGAUGACCUCGAUCAUCCAGAGAGCUUCACCAACAUCUCCUCCCACAAACAAGCUCGUGAGGUACAGAGACUUUGGGAAGGCGACGAAAGGGGAUGACUUCAACCCGAGCCAAAGUCCUUUUGAUACAGAGCUCGUGAUUCUAUCUGGUGAGGGGAGGAAACAUGGCUCGGUAGCCAUUGGGGAUGGACUGAUACGUUGUCCUAGAAGUCUCCCGGAGAUCAAGAAGCGCCACGCGAGGUCUCUUCCUGAGAUACCGCCUCGACCACGGCUAGUGGACCUCGCCAUGGAGGUUAGGGCCCAGGAGCUUCUGGCGGAGGCAACCAGGCAGGCCAAGGAGAGGGACAUCGAGCUGGAGCAGAAGACGGCUAGGAUGCUAGAGGAGGAGAGGAACCGGAAUGACGCGUCUCACCGGGCCCUAUAUGAGCUCCUCGUGGUAAGUUUCUCCUGCUUAUUAGACAAAUCAUGCAUGCAAUGUUCGUUUCAUUACUAGCUAAUAUGACUGACUCGUGAAAACAAAAUGUCGUGUCCGAGAAAAACGGUCAGACCCCUCCGCCGAUGCCUCAGAUUGCUAGAGCGGACACAGUGAGUUUCAUUUGAAUGGUCAUUAGUUACUAGUAUUCACAUUUCAGUUGCAUCAUGCUAACGAGACAUUGCAAAUGAUCUUUGGUGUAGCAUGCCUCCCGACAAGCAUCGACCAAUCCUUCUCCGUCUCCCACUAGCGCAACCCCGACCCUGGCCGGUCCUUCUCCGUCUGGCACUGGCGUAGACCCGACCGGUCCUUCACCUCCGUGAUGACGGUAAGUUUUCUCUAGUGUUUUGCCUACAAAUGCAUAAAGACCUAGACUUAGCUUUAUUUCCUCCAAAAUGGUUACCAUAAUGACCUAGACUUAGCUAAUCUUCCUACAAAAUGACAUAAUUAGCUUACUUAGCUCCAAAAUGAUCUAUACUUAACUAAAUUAGCUCUAAUAUGCUUAGUUACCUAGGUUAGCUCAAUAAAGACAUAUACUUAGCUUACUUAUGUCAAAAAAGGCAUAAUAUGCUUAGUUAACUCAAAAAUGGCAUAAUUACUUAUGUUAGCACAAAAAUGACCUAUACUUACCUUAAUUUCCUCCAAAUUGACACAAGAAGAUUAGUUAGCUAAAAAUGGCAUAAUUGCCUAUGUAAGCUUUAAAAUGACACAAAUAAGGAAUAAGAAGAAGAAAAACAAUGAAGAGGAGAAAAAGAAAGAAUAGAAGAAGAAAGAGAAGAAAAAGAAAGAAUAAAAGAAGAAGAAUGAGAAGGAAAAGGGUAAAAACCUUCUUCUUCUUCUAGUCUUCUUGUUCUUCUUGUUCUUCUUGUUCUUCUAGUCUUCUUCUUCUUCUCCAAAAUGACCUAAGUUAGCUCUAAGUUAGCUCUAAUAUGCUUAGUUCCCUAGGUUAGCUCAAUAAUAACCUAUAAUUAGCUGCUUUAUAUCAAAAAUGGCAUAAUAUGCUUAGUUCACUCAAAAAAGGCAUAAUUAGCCAUUUUACCUAAGUAUGCUUACUUCUUCUUCUUCUUCUUCAUUUUCUUCUUCUUCUUCUUCUUCUUCUUCUAGUUUUCUUCUUCUAACUUUCUUGUUUCCCAUUUUGCAGAUUUCAUUUACUUCACGGAAGCUUGCAUGGAUAGAGUGUUCCCUUUCUGCUUUUCUUUUGUAUCGAUGACCAAUGUGGAACUUGUUAGAUGGAUGGAUAGGUGUUGGAUGAACAAUGUGAUGAAACUAUGUGUUGGUGAUGUAUGGAUGGAACCAUGUGUUGGUUAUGUAUGUGGGAUGAAACUUGUGUGUUGGAUAUAUCAUAUGUCUACUGUGAAAUUUGUGUGUUGAAAUUGAAUGAAUAUAAGAAGAAACAAAAAAAAACAGGGGUUGUACAGGCUCUUUGCCGUCUGCCAGCAGACGGCAAAAAGCUUUGCCCUCUACCAACAGACGGCAAAGCUGCCACGUGGCAGCUACCUGUGCAACCUGGGGUACUGGCUGGCCUAUUUGGUUACUUUGCCGUCUGCUGGCAGACAGCAAACAGCGUUGCACCUUUGCCGUCCGCCAGCAGAAGGCAUAGCUUGACACGUGGCAGCACCUGGGGGCUGCCUAUUUCGCUACGUUGCCGUCAGCUGGCAGACAACAAAGGUGCAAUGGUCUUGGUGGACGGCAAAGCACGCCGUUAACCCCCUAACGGACCUAACCUGGCACUUGUGCCGUCCAGGCUCUUUGCCAUCUGCUGGCGGACGGCAAAGAGCCUUUCAUCUUUGCCGUCCGCCAGAAGACAGCAAAGAACCCUUCGUCGUAGCCUAUUCACCCAGACCUGUUGCUGUUUGUUGGUGGACGGCAAAAACCUUUGCCGUCAGUCAGGCAUGCCUUUGUCGUCAGCCAUGGCAGACGGCAAAGUGCCUGAUUCCUAUAUUGUGAUUGUGUGAAAGUUAAAGAUACCCAGAAACGUGAUAUUUGUUAGCGCCUCUGAAAUGUCACCGAAAAGCUGGUUCUGGGACAUGUGAGUGAUUUUGUUGAGUCAUCCUACCAAAUUCCUGUGGAAUAUCACUAGUGAAGGCAUUGCCUGACAUGGCAUUGUCAGAUCAGACAAUUGAUUGUUGCAUGCAUACUUUGACAACCAACACUUGCAAAAUUUAUUUCAUAGAACUUGUUUGAAUGCUAGAAACCUAAUUGCAUCACAUGAAACCGGCUGAACUCCAAAUAUAAAUCUAUGCCCCACUCAUUGGCUGGUUCCAAUCAGGGUUUUGGUUACCGCUCGAAAUUUCGGGUUACGCAGUUACCGAGCUUUUCGGCCCCCAUGGGUAAAUGGGCAUUUCGAGCAAAAAAAUCAAUUUUAAUUGAAUUUUUUGAAUUUAAACGACCAAUGCGUAGUCGACUAGUGGAGAAACCGACUAUGAACACGUACACUUGGAAAAUAACCGAAACACUUCGGAACCAUUCCGGUGUCCGAAUAUAACCUUCCAAUAUAUUGAUCUUUACCUCUCGACCAUUUUGAGACUCCUCGUCAUGUCUGUGAUCUCAUCCGGGACUCCGAACAAACUUCGGUCAUCAAAUCACAUAACUCAUAAUACAAAUCGUCAUCGAACGUUAAGCAUGCAGACCCUACGGGUUCGAGAACUAUGUAGACAUGACCGAGACACAUCUCCGGUCAAUAACCAAUAGAGGAACAUGGAUGCUCAUAUUGGUUCCUACAUAUUCUACGAAGAUCUUUAUCGGUCAAACCGCAUAACAACAUACGUUAUUCCCUUUGUCAUCGGUAUGUUACUUACCCGAGAUUCGAUCGUCGGUAUCCUCAUACCUAGUUCAAUCUCGUUACAGGCAAGUCUCUUUACUCGUUCUGUAAUGCAUCAUCCCGUGACUAACUCAUUAGUCACAUUGCUUGCAAGGCUUAUAGUGAUGUGCAUUACCGAGAGGGCCUAGAGAUACCUCUCCGGUACACGGAGUGACAAAUCCUAAUCUCGAUCUAUGCCAACUCAACAAACACCAUCGGAGACACCUGUAGAGCAUCUUUAUAAUCACCCAGUUACGUUGUGACGUUUGAUAGCACACAAGGUGUUCCUCCGGUAUUCGGGAGUUGCAUAAUCUCAUAGUCAGAGGAACAUGUAUAAGUCAUGAUGAAAGCAAUAGCAAAAAAACUAAACGAUCAUUAAUGCUAAGCUAAAGGAUGGGUCUUGUCUAUCACAUCAUUCUCUAAUGAUGUGAUCAUGUUCAUCAAAUGACAACACAUCUCUGUGGUUAGGAAACUUAACCAUCUUUGAUUAACGAGCUAGUCAAGUAGAGGCAUACUAGGGACACUCUGUUUGUCUAUGUAUUCACACAUGUACUAAGUUUCCGGUUAAUACAAUUCUAGAAUGAAUAAUAAACAUUUAUCAUGAUAUAAGGAAAUAUAAAUAACAAUUUUAUUAUUGCCUCUAGGGCAUAUUUCCUUCAUCUAGAGGCGGCGCUCGAUGGAGCCGGGGAUAACAAAUCUGGGUGCAAUAUUAUCGUAGACGUGGCUGGGAUUGACAUAGCCGUGGCCUUGAUCCACGGAUCUGUCAUGUGCCUGACGGGAUUUGGGGCAUGGCCAUGAAGUGGAGAGGUAGUGGUGGAGAUGUGGUGUUGUGGUGGUGAGGACGUGGAGGCUAGAGGGUCGGGAUGGGUCGCGGGGUGGAAGGCCGGGGUACUAGCAACGGGCGGCGAAGGAGCAGUGGGAGGCCCACGCAGGUAAGCGGACCAGAGGGGAAGAGGUUGCGGUGGUUGGUGGGGUUCGCAUGGGGUGGCGGCGGGAAAUUAGCCGGUGAGGAAGAAGGUGGGGUGUGGGGCGGAUGUUGUUUUUCUGGCUGGUUUGGUGGUUCGUUUUUUCAGAGGAAUGCCUUUGGUGCACUUUAUUAAAAUCAAAUGACAGUUACAUCAAGAACAAUGUCUGGGUUAAUAAAACUGGAGGUUCGGUUAGCGUAGGGUGGAGGGCUUGGUUAGGGCAUCUCCAAAGCUGGCCCACAAAUGUCUCUGGUAUAUGUCCUUUUUUUGUCUAGGCGUGAUUCGUGGACAUGAUGCGGGACGGAGCCAUCCAAUGCUAAUCACAAAGUAUCCGGUUGAGAGGAAAAAAGUAGGUGGGGACCAUGCAUGUGGUGGAAUGUUUGUGGUUUAGUGUCCGGUUGGGACGAGAGAAAGAGAAGAGAGGGGCCAUGCAUGUGCGGUUGAGAGAAGAGAGAGAAGAGGGGGGACCAUGCAUGUGAUUGAUCAAGUGUACUGCCUCCGUCUCGGUGAAUAAGUCAUUCGCGUAGUUCUAGGUCGACGAUUUAACUAUCUAAAUAUGUAUUAUAUGUGACAAAAUAUAUAUAUUUAGAAACUACAUCCGUGUAGAAAUCUAGUGAUAUACUUUUCAUGGCAUAUAACACAUAUUUAAUUCCUCAAAUCGAUGACCUAGAACUACGCGAAUGACUUAUUCACCUAGACGGAGGUAGUACUUUUUUUUAGAAAAGGAGGAUGACCUCCGGCCUCAGCAUCUGGACGAUGCAUGCAACCAUUUUAUUAAUUAUUCACAAAGACCUUACAAAGUAAUACAUCAGUAAGUAUGAAGCCACCAUCUUGGCAACAUCUGCCACUACUCCUAUCUAGCUGAUGAAGGGGUGCCGAAAGUCCGAGCCAAGUACCAAACAGACCUCGCACCAAAGCCUAACAUCUAAAGCCGGAGGCCCCAACCAAGCCUCAUACCGGGUCUGGGGCACAAACCGGUCCGACGAAGUCUCAGAAGUCACCGCCGCCAUCUUCCACUGAUCCAUCUUCAGAGCAGGCACUCAUGCAUCGACCUUGCUAGGCCUGCCGUCGACGCCCCCACGACGCUAGAUAGCGCCCCCCGCCCUACGCGAGUCCAUCAACUCACAUCUGUCAGCGAGACCCUGCUGCACCAUGCCGUCGAGACUCACCGUCGUCGACGCAAUAGAUGUACACCGCUCCACUCCUUGCGUCCUCCAUCCAGCAACUGCUCCAAAACAAUGCCCUCAUGAUGUAGAGCGACACAAAGAGCGCCGCCAUCAUCCGAUCCAGAAUACCCGGAUUUGGGGUUUCCCCUGGAACAGCGCGAGUGGGAAGAAGGUGUAUGCAAUGGCGAUGCCUUCAACAAGGUAGCGACGCUUAGAUGGCGUCAUCGCCUGCCAUGACCGUAGUCGGAGCACGGUUUUCACGGGCAGCCACGCCUCCCCAACUCGCCGCCGGUACUUGAUGUGGGAUCCAGAGAUCCGCCACAGCCAGUUGGCCGACCAACUCUGGUGGAGGAGUAGGCCGCCACCGCCAUGCCCGGGCAACUGCCCGAGGCUUCCCCAUGCUGCGUGACUAGCCCAGGAGCACCUCCACGUACCGCCAUCGGAGCCGUCGAGAUGUAGUAGGGACAACCACGUGUAGGAUGCGGCCCGCCCAGACCCAUCUAUGCCUAGAUCAGGCCUGCCUGCACCACGCCACCGCCACCCACUGUCGUCUACGCCGCUCACAGCCACAAGCACGCCAAGCCGCGCUUGUCACCGCCACCCUGAAACACUGCUGCCGAAGAGGCCGGGACAUUGUAUGUCCAGACUCUGGCAAAGCCCCUAAUGUUGUCUCUUGGAUACAAGAAUCCGUACGUCCAGACUGCUAAGCGGACAUAUACAGGUCUCCGUUGGAUGACAAAAGUGGUCCGGACAUUGUGGUCUGGACAUGGGUCCGCUUUGGAGAUUUCCUAAGGGUCUCAAGUGUAUGUCCAGACUCCGGCAAAGCCCCCGACGUUUGUCUAUUGGAUACCGGAAUCCGUAUGCCCGGACUACUAAGCGGACAUAUACGGGUCUCAUUGAAUUUGUGUAGCUUACAGAGCGACGUCUUGUGUUCGAAUCCCAUCUCUGACAUUUGUUCUUUUUGCCUAAUUCUUUUGAUAUAAACGGAAUUAAGAAGAAUACUGGACGUCGGGGUGCUAAUUCGAGACCAACAAGGUAACCAGGACGUAAGGCUACGAGUAAAAACCAUUGCGCUAUGAGCAGAUUGUUGUGAAAUAUUAGUGCCUUAACUACUUGACUUAGUCUAAAUAUUUGUAUUCGAUUUACAUUUGAAAAUUUCGAACGGUAUUUCGUGAUAACCAUGGUAACUGCGUUUUCGGCCCUCCUCAGUAAUUUUUUGGUAUUCGGUACCCAAAACCUUGGUUCCAAUGCUUCCUGAUUUUAUAAAAUGAAUUCAAUUUGGGUAUACUGUUCUGUCUAGUCAUAGGUAGUGAUGGAAAGUGCAACACCAAGUAGUCUCUACGCUGGUCUUGUUCAGUAUAGAAUGUGCAUAUAGUUAUGUGCACAUCACGAAGUAAACAUUUGACUUUGUUAUUUUUUCAUGAGAAAGCAAGUAUCUGACUUCUAACUGUUGCAUGGUUCAUAUAUUCUGGAAAAUGGAUGCCACAUCAUAAUCCACAUAUAUAGGCAACUGGACGCAGGUUUCUUCCUGGAAGUCUUUUUUCUACUUGCAAGUUGCAAUUUAAUUUCAGCGCUACUGUAAUAGGGACUUAACUGUGAGUUGCUUACUCUCUGUGACAUGCAUUUUCUGCCUUCUAUUUACUAGAUAUAUCAUGUACCAAGUCUCUAGACUGCCGCCGUUCCACAGUUAAUGAUAUGCAUUCAUUCUCAUUUUGGUUGAUUUGUUCAAACUGAGAAAAACAUAAAAUACAUAAAUGCAUAAUACCUUCAGAAAGAUUUGGGAGAUAAGGUAACUGAUACAUUACAUUGCCCACAAGAAUAGAAGAAUUUGUUUUUAUCAGUAACCCUUAAAUAUUAAAAGGUAUGAGCUAAAAUCUGCUGAUUUUCUCCCUUGUUGUGAAUGAGGACAGUCUUAUCGGAGUAGCACUAUCUAUAUUUUUCCCACUAGGUAAGCAGCACUCUUACUUCAAAUUUCCCAAGAUAUGUAAUCUAAAGUGGGGUUUCAGGGAGAGCUUUUAGAACUAAGCGCAACAGUCUGGCUUGGAAUUUCCUUAGAAAAUUACUACUUCCUUGUAAUAAUUAUCUAUAAGUUGCAGCAAAGUUGGCUUUCUUUUGAUAAGUAUGUUAUAAAUAGCCAUCUCUUUAUAUACAGACAUUAUAGCUCGUAGUACAUUGUUCAACUUCAUUUGUUGUAGUCGUGCUUUUUAUAGCAAAGUAGUAGUGAUCAAUAUUACGAUGCUUUUACAGGAUGGAACUAAAAUAUUGGUCCGGUGUUUGUUGUUGCACACUUCACGUUUAUUAACUACAUUAGCCAGUUUUCUUACACACCUCAUCACAUUUGUAGGACAAUAAGCAAGCCACAAAUUCAUGCCUCUUCAAGCCUUAGCAAAUGUAAUGAAAAGAAAUUAGUCUUGAUGCAAAAUUUUUUUUUUUAUGGUCUUAAAGGUUAUGAUGGCAAGUUGUAUUCUUUUCUUGUCCAGAACUUGCCUAAUUCAAGCUUUGAACCUUGAUUUUUUUUGGUUAUGAGUCAAUUAUAUUGCCUUUGUGCCUUCUAGAUCUGAACCAUGUUUGUCUGAUUGAAUUAUGAUGCAUUUGUGCCUUCUAGACCCUAGACAUGACCCAUCCUUGCCUGGGUUAAUUAUGAUAUUAAUCAGGAAAAAGUGCAUUAUUAUUUUUGGGUUUAUUAGCUGCCUUAGAUUGUAAAUGUGUUGAAUGUAUAGAUGGAGUUCUGGACGUUUAUUAUUUCUGAUUAUAAUUCAGAGCAGCCAAACAGCACAUGACAUUUAUUUCAUUUCAUUUCAUAAACCCAUGUCAGCCAAACAAGAAAAUUGGGUAUGGAAUCCAAAUCCCACCAAAUGAAAUCCUCUCAGGAUUACGUUUUCAUGUCAUUUCCACAAAACGAAAUGAAAAGGUAGGUGCCAAACGAGCUGGUAUAGAAUAGUGAAAUGUAGAUAUAGCCACUGUACUACUAUUUGGAGUGUCCUCUCAACUCAUAACAUGCUCAUCUAGACAACCACAAAGAAAG